UUUAGAAUCAAACCCAAAAGCAGCGUCGUUAAAAGAAACGUCAUCUAAAGUAAGGUAGGUUUCUUCGAAUGGGGAAAAAUAUGGAGGGCGUUGGAUUGAAGAUGGUGGAAGGAUUUUAAACUCUCUUGUUGAUGGGUUCCAAAUGGCAGCCUUAUCCUUUGAAGAAUCAAAUAAACACAAUAAUCCAUGACAUGCACCAUAAACAGAGGGGCUAUCAUCCUCAAAAAAGGGCAAGUGAAUGUUUUGUUUUACUAUAUAAUUUUGAUCUUUUUCAUUUGAAAGUUGAGAUAAAUAAGGUUGGAAGGUGUUACCAUCACAGCGACUAAGAAGUAGAUUAAGGUUGUUGUUUUCAAGGUUGUUGUGAUAAUUAUUGGAAAUGAAAUGAGGAGUUUGAAAAGAAGAACACCAAUACUUACAAACACAGUUGAAACGAGUAAGGGAUUUAACUGGAAGCUUUGAUAGAAUUUCCAUAACCAAAGCUUCUGGCAAUUCAAAUCUUGGCCUCUGCAUCUUCCUCUUUUGAUUUUCUUUGUAAUUGACUAAGAGGAAUAAAUAAGCAAGCAAAAUGGGAGUUGGUAGGUGUCAUCUAUGGUCCAAACCUUAACCAUGAAGCAAACAUAAAAGGUAAGCAUUUGAUACAUUAUAGUAAUUAAAUGCAAUUUAUGAUGCAAAGUGAGAAAAUGAAUAAAAAUCAACAAAGGAUGCAAUCAAGGGAGUUUGAAUAUAAGACCUUACCUUGCUUGACACUUUAACCAUUAAGGCUUGUAAUCUAUUCUUAUCAACAAUUAAUUUCUAAUGUAUUCUAAGUUCGCUUACUCUAUUCUUAUUAUUCUUUUAAAAAAUUUAAAUUUCUUCUACCCCUAAUUUUGGGAUGUGACAAGGCAACUCAAGCUGUUUUGACGGAGUAUAAAAUGUAAGUUUAGCAAUUACGGUUAUCCACAAUUGAAUUGAAUUCUUUUUAUUUAAUAUAUAAUUUAUUUUAAUUUUUUAUUAUAUAUAUUUAAAAUAAUGAAAAUAAUUUAAAAGUUUUUAUAAAAUCAUAAUUUUUUAGAACUAUUUAUGGAAAGGGCUUUCUACAUAAAUUUACAUAAAUAUUUAUGGUGAGGAUUGAAACUCAAUCAAUAAAAAAAAGAAGAAGAGAAAAUCGAAAAUUGGAAGAAUAAAGUAAAUAAAAACCCAAACUUUUGAAAGUAAAUAUAUUUUUUUUUGAAAGGGAAAAGAUUUGAUAUUUUUUGUUCAAUUGCUUGAAUCUGGUUGGAUAGUUUCUAUUUUCGUUUUAUUAAAUUUCCUUUUUCUCUGUUUGAAGACGACUUUAAAGGAAAAAGUAACAUGCGAAGGAAUUGCGUUGGACUUUGCAAAGAUAAAACACACAUUAAAAAUAUGUAUUAUUAGUUCUGUUGGACUUAAAGAUUUUGGGUUAUAACAGUAGUAGAAAUUAUAUAAAGAAAGAUAUUGAAUGUUAUGGGAUUGGGUUUGGGUUAUUUUAAAUCUAUAUUCAGAUUAAUGUUAUUUCAAAAUCGAAUCAUUUUAAGUUUAAAUCAUUUAAAUUUGUUGAUCGAACUUUAUAAACAUAAAAGAACAUAUUAAAAAUAUGUAAUAUUAAUUGGAUUAUUUUAAACUAUGGCAUAAAUACUUGAGUUUCAAAAUAAGCACUAACUCAAUAAAACGCAUAUGAUAAUUUAGAGUACUGUAAUAAAACACAUAUUGAUAAUUCAGAUAUUAUAUUAAACAUUUUAAACAUAUACGAGACAAUUGUGGUAAAGUUAGCUAUGGAAAUUCUAUGGUAUCGGAUCCACUACUGUACAGACCAUAAAAUAAGUUGGAACAAUUUUGGGGAGUUCCAAAGGUAUGGGAUGGCCUCGGUCUUCCAUAAUAGAUAAACAUCUCCCCGAGUAGUAGAACUCUAGUUCUUCUGUGUUUAUUGCAUGAAAUUUGUGGAGAUGCUCCUAUAAGUUGGAAAACUAUGUCCGCAACUUAUCGGACCGUAUAGGUGGAUCCACGUGUGUCCCAUAGCUGAAUCCCAAAAUUCAUUAAAACAAAUAAGAGACAAUAAAGUAUAUUAAACACAAAUAGGAAUGUGAAGGGAAAAUAAAAACAAUUUAUUCGAUAUACUUGAAUUUAAAUUUUUCCUAAGUUGUAUGGCCGAUUGGAAGUAUGACUGAGGAUGUUGUGCAAAGUCGGAACAUGUGCCAUGUUUCAUCCAUUCCUUGAACCAAAACUCAAUGUUUGACCCUGUCGAUGCCAAGUUUGGCCAUAGUGUGGGCAAUUGGUUCCAAAGAGCUACAUCGCUUAUCAACAAUUGCUUUUAAAUAAGAAACAAAAAAAAUGAUUAUAUUACAAAUAAAUUACUUAAUAGUUUCAAGCGAAGAAUGUACGUACGCGUACUUGGAGUGGUGGCCGGGUUAGAAUAGGUUGUGGAUGGGUGCAAGGCUUCCUUGCAUUGUACAGGGGCACCGACACGUCAUGAGCGUCUUGUGCCCAAAUUCCAUGUAUUUUGAAUCCAGUUGGGAUUGGGAGUUUACAGUUGAGAGUAGAGCUACAAACAGAGGGAGGCCACUAAAGUGCCAACUUAUAGAAGUCUACCACUGGAAUUACUGGCGGCUAGGGUACUGCAAAUGCUACCCAUAAUGAAAAAUGAUACAAUGCAUUUUUACAAAUUUACAAAUCAAAAGAGAACUACUCCAUACAUAGAUAUUACAUAUAUAGAAGGUUGGGCUGAGAUUGAAUGAUUGUGCUUUGCAAGCAACUGGUUUAUGAUCUCCUUUAUAAGCUUGGCACACAUAUUUCACAAAAUUUUCAAAGUCCUGCAACCAUGAAAUAAAUAUUGAAGUUACUUGUCACAAAUUUUACUUCACAGUCACACCAAGAGAGAGAAGUAAACAAACUCACUUGUCUGAGUGGCUGAUUAUUCACCACCACCCAUGGCACAUAUUCUUGAGGUGGCUUCAGAUUUGCUGUCUCGUUAGCAUAUUGCAGCAGAAAUUGCAUUUUAUUAAUUUGGAAAUUCAAUGUUAGAAAAAGCUAAGGAGAAGUGUUAAUUAAAUACUAAGACAUGCAGCCAACCUUAUAUCCAAAUCCAGUAGUAUAGCAUUUGUUGAUUAUCCCCUAAUUCAAUCUCAGCUUUUCACUACAAUUUUUCCACAGCGUUUCAACGGGCUCCCUUUAAGCUUUGUUGCUCUAUGCAGCCAAUGAAUUCCAAGUGUUCUUUCUGCACCACAAUAGAGUAAUGAAACACGAGUUGGAGACGAGUACAAAUACUUAUUGCUAAUAGAAGUUACCACAUCAGGCCAGAAAUGGAUGACACAAUUGUUAAAAGGUAAUGUAGAAAUUAUUUGUUACUGAUUGAAUAAGUUAGUCGUUGAGUCAGUCAAAGUCUGUUUUAAAAACAAACUUAGUCUUUGUUUAAUGCCAGUAGUGUUCCUUUUAUUUAGUAGAUUUAUCAAGAUACUAUUAGGUUCUAAUAUAUCUCUAAGUUGUUAGCUACUUUACAGUAUUUAAAGUACUCUUCAUGGAAUAAAAGAGUACGUCAUUGUUUUCAAUUUUUCUGAAUUCCUAUUGCUUUUGUUUAAGUCGUUUGUUCUAUUUUUUUACUUUUAUAUUUAGCAGCAGUUUUUUUUGUCAACAUCUGGUAUCAGAGCUACUCGAGGCUUGUGUUCAAGCUUAUGAUGGCAAGCAAUCAGAAUGGAGUGAACCUCUCACAGUCGCUGGUUCUAAUUUUUUAAGGCAGCAAUUAUGGGGUUUGGAGCACUAAGAUGAAGACUUUGUUUUUAUCCCAAGACCUAUGGGACUUGGUGGAAAAUGGUUAUGAUGAAUAGGACUCUCAAAGAUAUAAGAAAGAGGGAUGCUAAAGCUUUGUUUUUCAUCCAACAAGCUGUGGAUAAAUCAAUUUUCCUCGCAUUGAAGCGGUGACGCAUUCGAAAGAAGCAUGGGACACGCUGCGAACGACAUAUCAAGGUACUGCAAACGUGAUGACUGUCAAACUUCAAACUCUACGUAGGAAGUUUGAUAAUUUUAUUAUGGAAGAUGAUGAUGUUUUAGAUAAUUAUGUGUCAAAAGUAAUUGAUGUUGUGAAUCAAAUUUAAAAAUAUUGUGAAGAUUUAAGUGAGCAAAGGGUAGUUGAGAAGAUUCUUAGGAGUUUACCGAGAAAAUAAAAUCAUGUAGUUGCAGCUAUAGAAUAAUCAAAAGAUUUGAGUGUGUUAACAAUUGAUGAGUUGCAAAGCUCUCUUUAUUCUCAUGAUGAUAGGAUGAAAAGGUAUGAUAAUGCGUCUGUUGAGAAUGCCUUUUAUAGUAGGUAGCAAUACUCUCAUGGCGGAAAGAGCACCAGCGAAACAAACUUCAAUGACUGGCGUGGAGGAAAUUCAUCUCGUGAGAGAAGAAGAGGUAGGGUUGAUGGCUGAUUCAAUGGACAAAACCAACGGUAUAGAGAUGACGAUAAAGGAGAAAAUAGUAGUCCAAAACAAUGCUACUAUUGAAAAGGUUUGGGCAUAUUGAGAGGUUUUGCAAGCUUAAAGAGAAGCAGGCUAACCUAGCUUAUGAAGAUAGUGAAGAAGAUGAGACAGAGAGCCUGUUCGUUGCUUGCUUUAGUGCUAAGGAGUGUUCUUCUGAGGUCUGGUACAUAGAUAGUGGCUGUAGCAAUCAUAUGGCAAGUGAAUUAAGUACUCUUCAGCAAUUUAGAUAAGUCGGUAACUAGCUGAAUAACGCUUGGUGAUGGAACUAUUUGUGUAGCAAAGGGAAAAGGUACUGUGUAGAUGAAUUCCCUAGGUCUUAAUUGCAUUCGUAAUAUUUUGUAUGUUCUAGACUUAAAUUCUAAUUUGCUAAGUGUUGGGCAAUUUAUGGUGGAUGGGUAUUCACUUGUCUUUGAGGAAUUCAAUUGCUGCAUUUUUAAGGAUAAAUCAAAAAAGCACCUAUUAGCGAGUGUUCCAAUGAAAAAAAAAUUUCCUUAUAAUCUCGUAAUUGAUGAAAAGAUUGCAUUGAAGGUAGAAUCAUUUGAUGAAAAUUGGUUGUGGCAUCACAGAUAUGGGCACUUAAAUUUAGUUUAAAACUCAUGUCAGAAAAGAAUUUAGUUGAUGGUUUACCUCUAAUAAAAAAUGUUGGUGAUGUGUGUGAGAGCUGUAUAUUUGGGAAACAACAUCGAGAUUCAUUUCCAAAGGGCAAGGCAAGGAGAGUUUCCUAACUUGCUAAACUUAUUCAUGCUGAUCUUUGUAGGCCGAUGAGAACACUUUCUCUCAAUAACAACAGGUACUUUUUAGUCUUUGUUGAUGACUACAGUAGAAUGACAUGGGUGUACUUUGUCAAAGAAAAAUCAGAGGCUCUUUCAGUUUUUAAGAAGUUUAAGGUAAGUAUUGAGAAACAAAGUGGCCAGCCUAUAAAGACCUUGCGGACAGAUAGUGGUGGAGAAUUUCUCUCUACUGAAUUCAACAAAUUCUGUGAAGAAUCUGGCAUUCAACGCCAGCUAACAGCAAGCUACACUCCUCAACAAAACGGAGUCGCUGAGAGGAAGAAUCGGAGUCUUGUUGAGAUGGGAAAAUGCUUACUUAAAGUUAAAGAUCUUCCAAAAAGUUUCUGGGCAGAAGCAAUUCACACAGAAGUGUACAUCCUCAACCGAUCUCCAACAACAGCUCUAGAACAAAAAACACCAUUUGAAGCUUGGCAUGAGUGGAAACCUGAGGUAACUCAUAUGAGAAUUUUUGGUUGCAUUGCAUUUGGGCAUAUUCGACCUCAAAAGAGAGGAAAAUUAGAUGAUAAUAGCACUAAAUGUAUCUUUGUUGGGUAUAGCUCUAAAACUAAAGGAUAUCGAUUGUAUAAUCCUUUAUCUAAGAAGCUAUUAAUUAGUCGUGAUGUUGUUUUUGAUGAGAAAGACUCUUAGAAUUGGAAGGAAUUACAAGCAGGUUCAGAAGCAUUACUUGAAGAUGGUGAAUGUCUCGACACUCAUCCGAAUCAAGAAAAUAGAGAUGGAAGUUCUUGCUCAUCAGCACCAACUAGUCCUUCAGUAAUUCCAAAUACCACUUCAUCAAACUCUUCUUCAUCAAAAUCACCACCUAGGAAAUGGAGAUCGUUGGUAGAAAGUUGUAAUGGCCCAAAUUUGAGGUUAUCGGAACAGUGGUUUCGGGACCACAAAUCCGAUGAGAAAAAUUUUAUUUUUCUUAUAUUUUUAUGGUCUACAAUUUCACAAAAUGAUUUCGUGAAAAUUUCGUUCGAAAAUUUCGACGUUUGGGCACUCAAUUUAGUCAAAAGGACUAAAUUGUAAAAGUGCAAAAGUUGAGUUCUACAUGUUAGAGGUGUCCAAUUGUUAUGAAAAUUUAAAUUGGAGGUCCUUAUAUGGUAAUUAUACCAUUGGUAACCUGGUAGACAAAAAUGGACAUGAGAUAAGUGAAAUAGAAAAUUUUUAAGUUAGGGGCAAUUUGGUAAUCUAGUAAUUAAAAUGAAUUAAAAGGGAAAAAGAUGGCAAAAAUCAUCAUCUUCUUGAUAUGAACGAAAUCAGCAAGGAGGGAAGCCAUAGUUAGGGUUUUCAAGCUUCCAAGCUCCAUAGUAAGUGAUCCCAAACCCCGUUUUUAAUGUUCUUUACGUUUUUGAGAUCCCGGUAGCUUAAUUUAGCUUAUUCUAGCAAUAAUUUAACCUAGGGUUUAUAUUUGGAAAAAUACCCAUAGGUGAAAAGUGUUUAUUUUGAUGUUUUAUGAUAGAACAUGAAGCUAGAAAUUAUGUUAAACAACUUUUGCUAAGCGAUUUUAAGUGAAAACGAGUAAAACGACAUAAUCGGUAAAAAUACCUAAUGUUCAUAAGUACAUGUUAGAGUGGGAAUUUGAUGUUGCCAUAGAAGGGAAAAAUGUUCAUAAUGUUAUAAAACAUAAGAAUAAGAGAUGAAGNNNNNNNNNNNNNNNNNNNNNNNNNNNNNNNNNNNNNNNNNNNNNNNNNNNNNNNNNNNNNNNNNNNNNNNNNNNNNNNNNNNNNNNNNNNNNNNNNNNNNNNNNNNNNNNNNNNNNNNNNNNNNNNNNNNNNNNNNNNNNNNNNNNNNNNNNNNNNNNNNNNNNNNNNNNNNNNNNNNNNNNNNNNNNNNNNNNNNNNNNNNNNNNNNNNNNNNNNNNNNNNNNNNNNNNNNNNNNNNNNNNNNNNNNNNNNNNNNNNNNNNNNNNNNNNNNNNNNNNNNNNNNNNNNNNNNNNNNNNNNNNNNNNNNNNNNNNNNNNNNNNNNNNNNNNNNNNNNNNNNNNNNNNNNNUGCUAAUGAGUGAUGUGUAAGUAUUUGAUGAUGUAUGGUCAUUAAAAUGGUUAAGGAUGAAGGUGUUUGUUGUUAUGAAAGAUUAGGUGAUAAAUUAUGCAUGGAAAUCAUGAAAGGAUAAAAUUUUGCAAAGAAACAGAAUUCAGGCAGCACAGUGACGUGAAUUUGAAAAAUCACCCAAGAUAGUAUAAAAUGAAUUAGAGGGUGAAUGAUAUAUGGAAUUGAAGGUUGUUGAGUCUAUUUUCAUAGAAAAAUAACGGUGUAGGAAAAGGAAAUUUAUAUUUUAAGAUAUGUGAAUUUUCGUGAGACAGGGUCAGAACAGUUUUUGGAGUCCCCUGUUCUGAGUUUAGAAAAUAAUUACAAAUUGUACAAAAAUGGUUAUGAGUUGAAAUUUACAUGCUUAGAUUCCUUAAUGAGUCUAUUUUCUGUAGGAACAAGUGGGAAUAGCAUAUGAAAAUCCUAUAACGAGAAAAGUUAUUUUUAGUAACAAGAGGUCAGAAUAGUCGAAUGGUGAAACAGGGGAGACUUUAACUAAUAAACUGUACUAAUUGGCUGAACCAAAAAUUCUAAAAAUUUUAUGGUGAGUAGAUAUAUGAGUCUAGUUUUAGGGAAAAUUUACAGAAUUAAAUUUCGAGUUCUGUAGCUCAAGUUAUAAUUAAUUUAGUAACUGCUGCGCGAUUGGACAGAUUUGCUGUAAAUAGUGAAAUAAAUUUUCAAACCUAGUUUUUAUGCUCCGAAUUGGUAAGAUAAGCUAAGUAAUGCCUCGUGCUCGACUCCGGAAACGGUCUCGGGUAAGGGGUGUUACAGAAAUUUAUGCAAGCACUGAACAAUGCCAAUUCACCCAAAUUAAAGAUCCAAUCAUCUUUGAAGAAGCAAUCAAAUCCAAGGAAUGGCAAGAUGCAAUGGAUGAUGAUAUGAAAGCCUUGGAAAGGAACAAGACGUGGGAAUUAGUAGAUCUUCCAAAUGGAAAAGAAGCUGUUGGGUUAAAAUGGAUUUUCAAAACUAAAUUCCAGGCUGAUGGUUCCAUUCAAAAGCAUAAAGCAAGACUGGUUGCACGAGGGUAUAUGCAGCGUGAAGGGUUAGAUUUCUAAGAAACUUUCUCUUCGGUAGCAAGAUUUGACACCAUACGUGUUAUUCUAUCAAUUGCAGCUCAAUUAAGUUGGGAGGCUUAUCAAUUCGAUGUCAAGUCAGCCUUUUUAAAUGAGAUCUUAGAAGAAGAAGUAUAUGUGCAGCAACCAAAAGGUUACGAGAUUACAAAUCAAGAAGAGAAAGUGUAUAGGUUGAAAAAGGCUCUAUAUGGCUUAAAGCAAGCGACGCGAGCCUGGUAUGGAAGAAUUGAUGGACAUUUUAGCAAUAAUGGUUUUCAAAGAAGUUCCAGUGAGCCAAGUCUAUAUGUUAAAAGUAGAGGUACUUCUAAGAUUCUCAUUAUUUGCCUUUAUGUUGAUGAUUUGAUUUAUACUAGCAAUAGUAGUGCUUUGUUGAAUGAGUUUAAAAAGCUGAUGACAGACGAAUUUGAAAUGACUGAUUUAGGGUUGAUGAGUUUCUUUCUGGGGCUAGAAAUUAAACAAUGUGUAGAGGGUAUUUUUAUGUCUCAAGAAAAAUAUGUGAAUGAUCUCCUUGAAAAGUUCAACUUGAAGGACUGCAAUCUCGUGAGUACUCCAAUGUGCACCAAUCAAAAAUUUUGUUUAGAUGAUGGGGGAGGGAAAAUUGAUCGUUAAUUGUUUCAAAGUUUGAUUGGGAGUCUGUUGUAUCUAAUAAAUAGUAGACCUGAUAUUUUGCAAGCAACAAGUCUCGUGUCUAGAUAUACGCAGAGUCCAAGCAAGCAUCACUUUGGAGCUGCCAAGCAAAUCUUGCGCUAUUUGAAGGGGACAAGCUCAUUUGGAAUAUGGUAUAAGUUCUCUAACAAUCAAAGACUAUAUGGUUUCUCAGAUAGUGAAGUGGGUGGUUGCAUUGAAGAUCGCAAGAGUACAACUGGUUACGUUUUUACUAUGGGUAGCGGAGCUAUUUCAUGGAGCUCAAAGAAGCAACCAUCAACUGCUUUAUCAUCUACAGAGGCUGAAUAUAUGGCUGUUACUGCUGCUGCAUGUCAAGCUAUCUGGAUACGAAGAAUUCUUGAUGAUUUAAAGCUAACACAAGUGGAGGCAACUACCAUCUAUUGUGAUAAUCAAUCAAAAAUUGCAAUGACAAAAUCCCCUAUUUAUCAUAGUAGAACAAGACACAUUGAAACACGUCAUCAUUUCAUAAGAGAGCUGGUUGCAAAGGGAGAUAUCAAGUUGGAGCACUUUUGCACUGAAGAACAAGUUGCUGAUUUGUUCACAAAGCCACUCCCGCCGAAGAAGUUCAUUUAUUUGAGAGAAUUGUUGGGUGUUGGAGAGUUUCUACCUUAAGGGGGAGUGUUAAAGGGUAAUGUAGAAAUUAUUUGUUACUAAUUGAAUAAGUUAGUUAUUGAGUCAGUCAAAGUCUGUGUUAAAAACAGACUUAGUCUUUGUUUAAUGCCAAUAGUGUUCCUUUUAUUUAGGAGAUUUAUUAAGAUACUAUUAGAGUCCUAAUAUAUCUCUAAGUUGUUAGCUACUUCACAGUAUUUAAAGUACUCUUCAUGGAAUAAAAGAGUACGUCACUGUUUUCAAUUUUUUUGAAUUUCUAUUGCUUCUGCUUAAGUCCUUUGUUCUGUUUUUUUACUUUUAUAUUCAGCAGCAGUUUUUUUGUCAACAACAACUAUGUAUAGUGUUUAAGUGGCAUUAUUUUUCUCCAUGCUGCAUAUUGUUGCAUAAAAUAUAAUUAGUUACAAUAGAAGAAAGAAAUUGAACUUCAUUAGUUAAUAAUGAAAAUAUAUUAAAAUGAAAAAUGGAGUUGUAAACCUGGCAAUGGAUUUCAGCAUUACUCCAAGGGACCAAUCUUAGAUUGAUAAUGGUAUGGAGGUCAGUGUGUAAGACCUUGACAAAGUCAUUGGAGAUAAAUAAGGCAUAACGUGGACAUAAACUUGUUUCAUAGUACAGUGACACAGUAACCUUGUCAUUAACAUUAUCUAAAGAGGAAUAGGAGGGAGAAAUAAGCCAGAAUAUUGCAAGAGCAGACAUAAUAUAGAAGAUCAAUGGUUAAAGAUAAGCCAUUGUUUUAGUGGUAGCUUCUGCACAAUGUUGAACCUCCAUUAUGCAAGGGUUUUUAUGGUUGAGAAUUGGGAUGAUCACUAUUGUUUUUUAUCACUUUCAGAAACCAUGUGACGUUAUCAUCCCUAAAAGAACUAUUAUACACCACUUUAAAAAAUUAUUUACAUGAAGAUUGUUUAUUUAUGUAUAAGGUUCUUGCUUUUUCUAAUUUUACUUUGGAAAUUACAAAAAUCAUCAACAUUGUAGUUAUAUCUAAUACCAGUUUCAAUCACAUGUAAUAAGUUCCACGUUAAUAAAAGAAGUCACUAAUUUUUCUUAACAUGGCUUUCGAUGUGUCUGUUUCAAUAUGUAUAAAUAUGGUGAAUCAACUUCAUAAGUAAUUGCUUAUAACGGUUUAUUGCUUAUAACAAUUGAUAUAUAUGUAUAUAUAUGAACUUAACCAAACAUCCUCAAAGUUGUUAGAAUUUUUGUUUCUUUAAAAUUUUAGUAAGGUUUAAAUCUUGAUUAAGAGUAUGGUAAUUAAUGGUUAGAGGAGAAAAUGAAUUGAUUUGUUUUUAUAAGUACUGUUAUUCUUUCACAUGAAACAGUGUAAGAAUCUCAAUUUAACAAAAAAGGAUUUGCUUUUAUCAAAGUCUCAUGAUUAUAAGGUAGCAUUGGUUGGCUGGUAUUUUCAUGCGUAGAAAUAUAUUUGUUUUGUUAAAUUGUGAUUUUUCCUACACUUGUAUGUGAUUCACAUUAGCAGGUAAAUUCUUUCGUUUGUUGAGUAAAUUAAAUUAUCAAAGGCGUUCAAAGUCAAAUAUUAACUUAAAUGUUGCAAUAAUUAAUGCAAAAGAGAGAUUAUGAGUGAUUGUUGGAGAUCAUACCAUAGGUAGAAAGGGAGGAAAGAGUGGGACAACCAACAAAGCCAAGACUUGAUCCAUUUAUCAAAUCCUUGCUAUCUCAACUCAGCCAUUAAGAUGUAAUGCAGUAGUUUAUACUUCUAAGUUUGGUUUCUCAAGAAUUAAAUUUAUUAUCAAAAUUAGAUUUAUCCAUAAUCGAAUUGGAUUGAGAUUACAUCAAGUUUUCCUAACGUAACCAAUGCCACAUUUAUUAAAAAUAUAUAAUCAUGUUUUAAAGUAGAAAAAAUGAUUUUACAAAACACACAAGUUUUUAUAAGAGAAGAUUAAAAAGGACCAUAGCCUUUUUAAGUUGUGAUUUGUGAUGGGAAAGAAAUGAUAAAACUUUGAUUUAAUUCUCUAAAAAUUAUAAAGAUAUAAGUUACUGAAAUAGUAAAAUUACAUUUUAACAAUCGUAAAAUUAUACAAUUUAAUCUCCCCAAAAUGAAAUUUUCCUAACUUCAUCCCUAAUUGACAAUACUAAUUUAAAUUUACUCCUAAGUCGUAUUUUUAGAUCCGUCACUAUGCACACAAAAUUUUCAUCACCCAAGCUUCAGGUAGUUUAAAGCUCCUCCUUUGCAUCUUUGUUUUCAUUUGUAUGGUGUGAAAUAGUUUGUUUAGUUUUUAACAUACGUACAUGCAGAGUUAAGAAAAUGAUAUGUUUGAUAUUCGUCAAAUGAAAUAGAUAUAUUGGCAUAAAUUUGAUAUAUGUUUGAAUGUCUUAAUGUAUUAAGCUAUGUUAUAAUUUGAUUAUUCGAAUGCCAUUAAUGAGAUGUACAUAUGAUUCGUAUAAUUAAGUUUAUAUUAUCUUAAACAUGAAUAGUAAUGAUUGACUGUCCUGAGCUGUGUUUUGUUCAGUAAUACCUCGUAACCUUAAUCUGGCGACGGAUACGGGUUAAGGAUGUUACAUUCCCUAAUUGACUAAACUUCACACCUCUUCUAAAGAGGAACUCCUUUGUAGGAAUACGGUCAAUUGAUACCAACCACAAGAAACUUUCCACUCUAGGAGGCACUUUUAACUUCUAGAUUUCAUCAAAAGCGAACCUAUUAUCCACCACAUCAACACUGACCAGUAAUUCUGUUAUUUUCCUUAUCGAGAACACCCCUUUAUUGUCAUGAAUCUAUAUUAACCGAUUUUCCUCUUCAGGGAGCAAAACCAUACAGCUAACAGCUUCCUUUAAACGAGAGACCAUAAUAAUCUCCCUAUCCAAUAACGAACGAGAAAAGAAACCAACCUAAUUAACAUCGUUAAACCCGUUCGACAUCAAAAAAUCUUUAACCAGACCACUCUUAUUCAAAGGCUAAACAAAAUAGCCUUGGAAAUUCCACUCUCAGAGGUCUUUCACCACACCAAAUAUCCUCCCAGAAAAUUAUCGAAUUUCCAUUCCCCACCAGCCAACGAAAAGACUCAAUCUUUAUUCAUUUUGCCACUUUCGAAUCUUUCGCAUUCUCCACAAUACCCCUCCAAACCACCGACAUAUCUUUUAAAUUGUUCGAUCUAAAACGCCAAUGUUGCAUAGGGGUACCAUACUUUGCAGCAAUUAUGUUCCUCCGCAAAGCUUCUCUAUCCACUGCGAAUCUCCAACACUAUUUGGCCAUGAGAGACUUAUUUUUAACCUUGAUAUCCAUCACUCCGGCGCCCCCUUAUCCUUUGGCAUAAAAAUCUAUUUCCACUUUACCUUCGCCAUCUUCCUCCGACCACCUACACUUCCCCACAAAAAAUUCCAUCUAAUUUUGUCUAUCUUGUUAAUCACUGCAAUAGGCGCUUGAAAGAUUGACAUAAAAUAAGUAGGCAGUGAGGAUAACACAGCAUUAAUUAGCACAACUUUGACUGCCUAAGAGAGAGACCUACUUUUCCAAUCCGAUAAGUUCCUCUCUACUCUUUCCACAAUUCUAUUCCAAGAAGAAAUCUUUCUAGGGUUAGCACCUAAAGAAUACCCAAAUAAUUGAAUGGCAAUUCCCUAAUCUUACAUUUACAAACAGCAGCCAUUCUGAACAUGAACUCCACUUUCGUGCCAAAACCCACUAAGCAAAACUUUCAAAAAUUAAUACUUAAACUAGAAAAGAUUUCAAAAUAGCGAAGAAUAUACUUAGAAAUCCUUACCACAGCCUCAUCCAUUCUUAAAAAUAAAAUGGUGUCACCGUAAAUUGAAGAUGAGAAACUGACUGUCCAGGAAAAAUGUCUAUAAUCCCCUCAAUGACCCCCAAUUCCUCCGCUUCCACUAAUAUCAAAUGCAAAACUUCCGUUACCAGAAUGAAUAAAAAAAGAGAUAAUGGAUCCCCUUGCCAGAGACUUCUACAUUCUGAACUCAUUUGUAACCGCCCCAUUAAUAAGCAUUGCAACCCUCGUUAUUGAGACACACUCCACCAUGCAGCCCGUCCAUCGUUGUCGAAACCCAUCUUCAACAAAAUCAACUCCAAGAAAUCCCACCUCACACAAUCAUAUGCCUUAGCAAAAUACAACUUAAAAAACUGUUGAAGUUAGUUCCCAUGCAACAAGUUGAAAUACAAAAGUGGCCAUGCAGCAGAAGGCACAACAUGCAGUCGAGCCUAGCUGUGCAGCAACUGAAGCAUAAUGCUGCUGUUUUGUUUGUUACAUUUAGUUACUUUUUAAUCUUCUUGUAAUCUAGUUCAUUUUGAACUUAGUAGGUAAAUUUUUGAUGUAAUCUUGAUGUUGAUUGACUGAAAGAUUAGCAAAAUAACACGUACAAGUUAAUUUAGCAAGUUUCAAUGUAAAUUAGUGGUGUUAGGUAGUUGAUUAGGUGAUAGCUUGUUUGUUUUGUCCAAGCUGACUGAUAUAUGUAAUGGCUUAAUGCUUUAUCUUGUUGUUAAUUAAAAAUUUCAGCUUGUUUUUCAUUAAAACUCUCUUUCAUUUUCCUUUGCUUUUAUUCUAUUUUCAAUUUACAAAGCAUUUUCAACUUUUAUUUCUUCACCAAGCCACGAGGCUUGCUACUCAAUGAAGCCUAAACAAGCUUGCUUACUAUCUUUUGCACCAACAAAAACAAAUAACCCCCCAAAUCAUCCUUUUUCUUAACCAUAUGUAUCAAGUCAUUUGCGAUUACAAUGACAUCAAAAAUUUUUCUACCUCGAAUGAAGGCACAUUGCAUAUCACUGACCACAUCCCUAAUAACAACUCGUAAUCUUCUCGAUAAAACCUUAGCAACAAUUUUGUACAGCAAGCUCACAAAACUGACUGGUCUAAAUUCAAAAAUAUCCUGCGGAUUAUCAUUCUUGGGAAUUAACGCAAUAAAAAAUGAAUUUAUACUUUGCUCCAAUUUUUAGAAUUGAAAAACUUCACCAUCAUCUCGAACAAAUCCUCUUCAACAACCUCCCAACAUUUUCUAAAAAAUCAUAAAUUAAAGCCAUCUGAGCUCGGGGCUUUGUUCUCAACGCAGCUCAAAACCGCCUCCUUGAUCUCCUCUAUUGAAAAAGGCAUCUCCAAGUUCAAAACAUCAAAUUCUUUCAACCUCUUAAAAUUCAACGCCAAAUCCAUUCUCCAUCUCAAACCUGACCCAACCCAUGAACACCUCUUGUUAACACCAUUUUUUUUGAUAAAACGGGAUUGACUUGGAUUUUAAAAAUGAAAACGAAUAUGGGAGUCUCCACCAAUCCUUUUUGAUAAGGUGUGAUCGAGCCACUUUGAAAAGUGGUUGUUUACAAUUUAAUUUUAUUAAGACAAUGAUUUUGGUUCACGAAAUUUAGAAAAAUGGGUUCGGGAGUCGGUUACGUACGAGGAAGGAUUAGCACCCUUGUAAUGCCCAAAAUUAGUACCUAGUUGAUUAAUUAAUGUCUUAGUGUCGAAGAUAGAAAACUUUAAAGAGAUUUAAAAUACGAUCCUUUAUUUAAAUGUUGAAAAUUUUCAGGAAAAGGGCAUAUUUUACGUUAAUCGAGAAAGAGAAUUAUAUCCAGUAAGUUAGGACACAAUGUCUUGAAUACCCGAUGUGCGAAUGAAUGGUGAAAAUUUACUUAUUUAAAAGAUAUUUAGCUAUCCCGGAUUUAAAAAAGGGAUCAUGCCCAGUAAGUUAGGACGCGAUCUUUUCUUAAUUCCCGAAAUCGUUUAAAACUUGAGGAAAAAAGGGAUCAUGCCUAGUAAGUUAGGACACGAUCUCUUCUUAAUUCCCGAGAUCGUUUAAAACAUGAGUUUGAAAAGAUUCGUGUGUUUAGAUUUAUUGUAAAAAUUGAAACUCAGUAAGUUAGGGUAUGACCUUCUCGUAUCUAAACACGAGAUUUUGCUUAUUCAAAAAUCAUAAUUUAUGAAUUGAAUAAAAUUAAUCUAACACGAAAUAGCAGAAAUAAAACACUGUGUUAAUACUCGUAACAAAACAAUAAUGAAUUCGAUAAUGUAAGUAUGAAUAAUAUGAAUAAUCAUCAAAAAUGAAAUAUAUAAAUAUAAGAGACAAAUCAAUCAUAUAAUUGCAAAUAAAUAAAUAAAUAGAAUUAAUACAUUCUUUCAAAAUAAUAAUGAACAUGUAAAUUACAAUAAAGAAAAUGAAUACAAUUAAAAAUGUAAAGACAUAUAUAUGUAUGUAUAUAGAUAUAAAUAUAUUUAUAAAUUGUAAAAUAUAAAAAUAUAUGUAUAUGUGAAUUAUAAAAAAAUAUAAAAAAUAUAUAUUUUAAAAUAUAAAGAAUAUAUAUAAGUAUGUAUAUGAAGUAAAAUAUGUAUAUAUAUAUUUAGGUAUAUAAAAAUUAUGAAAUCUGAAAAAUAUAAAGGUAUGUAUAUAUAUGUAUACAUUUAUAAAAAUUAAAAAUAUGUGCAAACAAAAAUAAUAAUUGAAUAAAAAGGGUACACAUAAAUAUAUAUAUAUAUAUAUAUAUAUAUAUAUAAAGUUGAUAAUAAAUGAAAACUGUAUUAAAUUGCAGUUAAAAUAAUAUUGAGAGCCCAAAUUUAAAAAUAAAACUCGAAAGGGACUAAAUUGAAAGAGAAAUAAAAUUAAAGAUCCAAAUUUAAAAAAGAAAAGAGAAAGAAAAAAAUUAGUGCCCCAAUGUGACGCGCGUAAAAAUGGAGCGACCAAAAAGGAAAUUUAUCCUUCUCUUUUAAACCGACGUAGCUUCAAGGGACCAGAUUGUAAAGCAAAAUAAAUUACUGGGCGACUUUAAAAAAUAAAAGCCACUUGAUUGUAAAACUAUUUAAAAGCGGAAGGGCUAAAAGGAUACAUAACCCAAAGCCCAAAAACGCACGGAUCCCCGGUCGGGUCGAGUCGACGCGCGGAUCUGAGGGCAAAACGACGCCAUUUUGGCUAUUGGUGCCCAAGCUCAAAAUGACGUCGUUUCAUGGGCCUAUUCAUUCUUCACCAUUCAUUUAAAAAAACUCUAAAAAAUUCUCUCAAUCCCUCUCUCCCUCUGAUGUUGUCUUCGGCCAAUGGCCACCGCGCCAGACUCUGAUUGUCGGCAUCAACGCCGUCGUGCACGGUGGCCAGUGAGGGUAAAAGUAUCCCCUUUUUUAGGUCUUAACCCCCUAAGUCUGGAUCUGGCCUCAAAACAACCAAAAAUAAAUGGAAAAAGGUCGUUAUGCUCCUCUACAGUCAGUUUCAUCACCGAAGAAGGAGCCUCUGACGACGAGAAAACGGAGUGACCUCUGGUGAGUUUCUUUUCCUUUUCUUUUUUUUUUGUUUUCGUGUAUGAAAAAAAAGUAAAUUAAAUAAAAAUAGGAGUAUAUAACCUAAGUAAAUACCUAAAACAGAAAAUAGAUCCCAUCGAAAGUGUUGUAUUUUUAUUGCCUAUUUUUUGUUAAAAAAAAGAGAAGAUUUUACUAGCAUUGGUUCUUGGCUUUAAUAGCCGAAUCCUUCUUUUCUAUUUUCUGUCUACUAUACUGCAACCUCAGUGAGAUAAGACUAGUGGCUUCAAUCUGCUUCCCUACUACCUUGAGAAGAUAAGAUUCAUCGUCUUUGAUCUGCUCUACUACUGCUUAGGGAGACAAGAUCUGCAAUCUUGAACCUACUCCACUGCUGCUCAGGGAGAUAGGAUGGUGGCUUAAAUCUACUUCCUUACUACCUUAGGAAGAUAAGAUUCAUCAUCUUCGAUCUGCUCCACUACUGCUUAGGGAGACAGGAUCUGCAAUUUUCAACCUAUUCCACUAUUGCUCAGGGAGACAAGGCUGGUGGCUUAAAUCCGCUUCCCUACUACUUUGGGAAGAUAAUGUCUGAUACGAUAUACUCUACUGCAAUUUCAGAGAGAUAAGAUCGGCAAUUUAGCUUUAAUCUAUUUAACUGCAAUGUCGAGAAAGCAAGAUUCACCGUUGUAGCUUUAAUCUAUUCCACUACACCGCCAGGGAAGUAAGAUUCACUGUCGUAGCUUCAAUCUAUUUAAUUGCAAUGUCGGGGAAGCAAGAUUCGCUGUUGUAUCUUCAAUCUGUUCCACUAUGCCGCCAGAUAAAAGAUUCAUCAUCUUUGAUCUGCUCCACUACUACUUAGGGAGACAAGAUCUACUAUCAUCAACCUACUCCAUUGCUUCUCAAGGAGAUAAGUAACUUUAUUGAUCUGUUCUCUGGGGAACAUGACCUGUAGAAUCCAUUUCAUGGACCUAUUUAUGCCUAGUGAUUAGGAUGUCAUUAUCAAAAUGAAUCAAAUGUUCCUAACUAGGUAUGUAUGAAUGAUGUUUGCAUGAAUGCAGAAAUGUCAUGAGAAUGAUCCCUCUUUAACGCUUAGGUUGUCAUUCCUCGUUGUUUAAUAAGGCUUUAUUGCUGUUAGAAUGCUAUAUUCUCCGGUUGAUAACGAUCGUAUCUUACUUAACCGGAUUGCCCCCACUAUAAUUUUCAAAGUUCAAUCCACUGUAACUUUGGGACAUAAAAUUUGAACCAUUCUCCUCCCACUGAGUAUAAGAUCUGGCUCUUUCCCAAUCCUCUCCCACUGCAAUUCAGGGAUACAGGAUCUAAAUCUCCUUGGUCUCCUACACCAUUCCCAGGGUGUCAUACCAAAUGUUUAUGCACAAUUAUAGAACUUUCUCUUUCGAGAAACCUCUUCUUAUUACUUAGUGAUUAUUGUUUGCUUGUUCAUUUAAGCCUUAUCACCAACACGACCUUUUGUCGUUUUGUUAAAUCAAUGUUUUAACAACAAGAUCCAAAGAGAUAGUCUUAAUUUAGACUCUUCCUUCUUAGAUUUCCAACCUUUAAACUUGGUGCGUUCUAAACAAAAGUCUUGUUUUAGGUUACUAUAUUAUUUAGAAACUUCUAGAGUAAUAUGCAAAACUUCCCUUGUGAAAGUAGUAUUAGUCCAUUGAUCAUUAUUCCAAUGCAAUGUGCUUGCAAAAAUAUUAUAAAAAUGGAUAAAAAUGAAAUUGAUUUAGGAGCAUAGCUCGAAAUGAAUAAAUUAUCAAGGAUAAUAAAGAUAAAAGAUGAAUAGAUUGGGAACACGUAUCUUGAAAAAUAAAGAAGUAUUCCAAGAAAAACAAAUUCAAUCUAAAUAAUCUGAAGAUUAGAUGCCCCAGAUAUCGCAACUUUAACUUCUCUGUACAAACUUUCUGAAGAACGAUCCUGAGUUUGACAUGUGUUUAGGAGAUCUACAGUACUUCGAUGCCCCAAGAUGUCGCCUACCCUUUCCUGUUGAUUUAGGUAUAAGAAGAUCACCUAAUGCCCUAUUCUGAUCAAAAUUUGAGCUGCUCUGAUCACCUCAUACCCCAUUUUGAUCCAAAAUGAAAUAUAUGCCCUUUUUAGGUUUUCAACUCAAAUCCCCUUUGGUUUCAAGGCGCCCUUUGUGGGUUUUUGCCUUGGCCUCUCCUUUUCUUUCCUUAUUUUUUUUAAAUAUAUUUUUAUUGACUCUGAACUCAUAGGAUUAGGCAACUCCUUGUUAUCCCUUACGGUCAAAAUCAAUGCUUUUCCAAAAACUCAGAGAAAAGGAAUCUCGACUUCAAUGGGCAAAAUCGUAAUAGGCCAAAGUGAAAGGCGUUACCCAAUAGAUUUUUUUACUAUACCGUUCAUUUUGGGGCGAUAUGGUGUUAAUCUUAAACAGGCUACAAACUUUUGAUAUCGUGCUCUUGUUUAAAUUUAGUGCAUUGUCAGAUAUGAUCCUUUUUGGCAUUUCAUACUGACAUAUGAUUUUUUUCAAGAAUUUGCUGAUAGUCGAGUUUGUGAUAUUGGUAUAUGAAGUAGCUUCCACCCACUUAGUAAAGUAAUCAACGACCACAAAGAUGAAUUGAUGACCGUCAGAAGCUUUUGGCAAGAUUGGCCUACUGACAUCUAUGCCCCACAUAGAGAAAGUUUAUGGAAAAGUCAUAACAUGAAGGGAUGAAUGAGGCACAUGAAUCUUGUCUCCAUAAAUUUGGCACUUAUGACAUUUCUUGGUACAACUAAUGCAAUCCCCUUCCAUGGUGGACCAGUAGUACCCGAAUCUCAUGACUUGCUUGGCCAUUGUAAAACCAUUAGCAUGUGCUUCUCAGAAACCCUUAUAGACCUCUUCCAAGAUUUUCUUAGCCUCAACAGCAUCCAUACGUCUUAGUAGCUCAGGAAUAUCUUGAUAUGAUCAUGCAAAAACAUCUUUGAAUUCUUGGAGUAACUCAAUGUCGCCUCGCUUUGUCUUUACUGUGAUACUGGCUCCGAUCUUCACCUCCUUCUCUUCUCCUAAGCUCACAAUUUCCACUUGAUUCCUUGUAAGGCAGGAUCUGUUUCUCAACUUGUUCUACCAUCCUUAACAAGUCCAAAAAUAGGCUACAAUCUAUGUCAUCUUCAAAGUCAUGAGAUCCCUCUAAACACAUGUCUUGCUCAAAAAGAGAUUCCGAGUCUGUAUCAAUGUCACUUAUGAGCCUAUUUCACAAAGGAGUUCUUAUUUCCUCUAGGCUGAAAGCAACAAGUGUUCUGAACAUUACUCUAAAUAAGCUCUAAAUACUACAGAGAUUUCUUUUGCAAUCCAAUUAUUUAGAACACUCUCAAGUUUAUAACAGUAGAUAUCUAACAAGGUCCCUUUUCAGGCAAUGAUGUGAACAUUUCCUUCUUCUUCUUCUUCUUCUUCUUUUUUUAAUUUCUUCACAGAGCUCCAUCUCUUUAUUGUCCACCAUAUUUAGUUAGAUCUUGGCUAAUUGUUCUUGCAUUUGCAAUUGUAGUUGGUCUUGUCUCCCCUUUUAGAGUUGUUCAAGUUUUUCCAAUCUUUGGUCCAUGUCUUCUAUUUUUGCUCGGGUACCAUAAGGGUGUUUGGUUGGUAGGUUGGUUUUCAUACUAACUAAGGAAUAAUUUUAAGAUCUUUUGGUGGACUUUAAUGUAUAUGAUGUAAUGUAAUACAAAUGCAUGAAAUGAAUGCAAAAAAGAAACAUUGGUUCUUGGUUCAAUUCUAUUAGAACAACUUUACUAGAAAAUAAAUCUCUUUACAUAAAGUGGAUAUAUAUACGAUUUUUCCCUCAUAGGAGAAGACAUUCGAUCCUCUUAUUUAUCCGAGUGUUAAGAUAAAUCUCACGAACUUUUCAAAAGGGGCGUCUCUUCUAUCUCCUUUUUGAUUGAUCCGGGCCGCCACUCGUUGCUCACUUAUCCUCAUGAUGCUCGUUGGCUUCUCUUUAAGAAAGUUCGGUGGCUCUCGAAUAAUCUUUGCCAUCUUGAAUCCUCGGGCAAUGAAGCAAAGUCGUGUACUCAUUCAUCAGACUAUCACCCUUCCCUCGUUACAUUUUUCAGACCAUAUUCGAACGACCGUAUUGUCUCCCACUUUAUCAAGAAACUCAUUUUCCAUGACAAGCUCUCUAUUUAGUAACUAAACGUGAAUCAACACCUCUUUUCUAUUAUGAAAUUACAAUGCAAUCAUAACCAAAACAAAAGAAAACAAGUUAGUACAAAGCAAAACCAAGCAAGAAAGAAACAAAUAGAGCACAAAUUUAGGUGACCACUAGGGGCUUGAAAUGGUUCUACCUAGGGUAGGUUCUUAGGGCUCACUACAUGCGGUUCGGCUCUAAAGUAAAGGGUACCUAAACUAGCAGAUUCCUCUAUCCUCACCCAUUAUAGGUUCAUAUGGACCGAGUUCAAUUCAGGGGAAUACAUUUCCCUAUGGCUGCACGGAGAUGAAAAUCUCACGAAGACAUAGGUACAAAUGUAUCCCGAAAGCGAUCCAGUAUCCUGCACGGAGGUGAAUACCUUAUGAAGGAGUGGCUUCUCACUCCCACUUAAAAGGGUGUGACCAACGGUCAUGCAAUAUAAUGUGCAGAAAGAUACCAAAACUUAAACUAACACAGCAAUUAUAAACCACAACGAUGAAUAUCAUAAUAAAGACGGAUGAAAUGCAACGAAAGGAUCGUCUAUUUAAAUCAAGUUUUCAAUUUUUGUCAAAAAGACAAAAAAUAAUCAACUCGUGGCUUGACUAUCUUUUUAAGUCCCUAGCAGAGUCGCCAAGCUUUUGACACCAUUUUUUUGGUAAAACGGAAUCGAUUUGGAUUAUAAAAAUGAAAACGAAUAUGGAAGUCGCCAAUAAUCCUUUUUUGAUAAGGUGUGAUCAAGCCACCAUGAAAAGUGGUUGUUUUUAAUAAACAAUUUAAUUUUAUUAAAACAACGAUUUUGGUCAACAAAAUUUAGAAAAACGGGUUUGAGAGUCGGUUACGUAUGAGGAAGGAUUAGCAACUUCGUAACGCCCAAAAUUGGUACCUAGUUGAUUAAUUAAUGUCUUAGUGUCAAAGAUCGAAAACUUUAAAGAGAUUUAAAAUACGAUCCUUUAUUGAAAUGUUGAAAAUUUUCAAGAAAAGGGCAUAUUUUACGUUAAUCGAGAAAGAGAAUUAUAUCCAGUAAGUUAGGACACAAUGUCUUGAAUUUUCGAUGCGCGAAUGAAUGCCGAAAAUUUACUUAUUUAAAAGAUAUUUAGCUAUCUUAGAUUUAAAAAAGGGAUCAUGCCCAGUAAGUUAGGACGCGAUCUUUUCUUAAUUCCUGAAAUCGUUUAAAACUUGAGGAAAAAAAGAGAUCAUGCCUUAUAAGUUAGGACACGAUCUCUUCUUAAUUCCCGAGAUCGUUUAAAACUUUGGUUUGAAAAGAUUCGUGUAUUAGAUUUAUUGUGAAAAUUGAAACCCAGUAAGUUAGGGUACGACCUUCUCGAAUCUAAACACGAGAUUUUGCUUAUUCAAAAAUCUUAAUUUAUGCAUUGAAUAAAAUUAAUCUAACACGAAAUAGCAGAAAUAAAACACGGUGUUAAUACUCGUAACAAAACAACAAUGAAUUCGAUAAUGUAAGUAUGAAUAAUAUGAACAAUCAUCAAAAAUGAAAUAAAUAAAUAUAAGAGACAAAUCAAUCAUAUAAUUACAAAUAAAUAAACGAAUAGAAUUAAAACAUUCUUUCAAAAUAAUAAUGAACAUGUAAAUAACAAUAAAGAAAAUGAAUACAAUUAAAAAUGUAAAGAGAUAUAUAUGUCUGUAUAUAGAUAUAAAUAUAUUUAUAAAUUGUAAAAUAUAAAAAUAUAUGUAUAUGUGAAUUAUAAAAAUAUAUAUAAAAUAUAUAUAAUAUUUUUAAAUAUAAAGAAUAUAUAUAAGUAUGUAUAUGAAGUAAAAUAUGUGUAUAUAUAUAUGUAGGUAUAUAAAAAUUAUGAAAUAUGAAAAAUAUAAAAGUAUGUAUAUAUAUGUAUACAUUUAUAAAAAUUAAAAAUAUGUGCAAACAAAAAUAAUAAAUGAAUAAAAAGGGUACACAUAAAUAUAUAUAAAAAAAUUGAUAAUAAAUGAAAAUUGUAUUAAAUUGAAGUUAAAAUAAAAUUGAGAGCCCAAAUUAAAAAUAAAACGCGAAAGGGACUAAAUUGAAAGAGAAAUAAAAUUAAAGAUCCAAAUUUAAAAAAGAAAAGAGAAAGAAAAAAAAUUAGGGCCCCAAUAUGAUGCGCGUAAAAAUGGAGCGACCAAAAGGAAAUUUAUCCUUCUCCUUUAAAACGACGUAGCUUCAAUGGACUAGAUUGUAAAGCAAAAUAAAUUACUAGGUGAAUUUCAAAAAUAAAAGGCACUUGAUUGUAAAACUAUUUAAAAGCGGAAGGGCUAAAAGGAUAAAUAACCCAAAGCCCAAAAUCUCACGGAUCCCCCGGUCGGGUCCAGUCGACGCGCGGAUCUAGGGGAAAAACGACGCCGUUUCGUCUAUUGGUUCCCAAGCUCAAAACGACGCCGUUUCAUGGGCCUAUUUAAGUUAAAUAUUUUUUUUAAAUCAUUCUUCACCAUUCAUUUAAAAAACUCUAAAAAACUCUCUCAAGCCUUCUUUCCCUCUGAUUUUGGCUCCGGCCAAUGGCCACCGCGUUGGACUCUGGUCGCCGACGUCAGCGCCGUAUUGCACGGUGGCCGACGAGGGUAAAAGUAUACCCUUUUUGAGGUCUUAACCCCCUGAGUCCGGAUCCAGCCUUAAAACAACCAAAAACAAAGGGCAAAAGGCCGUUAUACUCCUCUACAAUCGGUUCCAUCACCGGAGAAGGAGCCUUCGACGACAAGAAAACGGAGCGACCCCUGGUGAGUUUCUUUUCCUUUUCUUUUUUUUUGUUUUCGUAUAUGAUAAAAAAAGUAAAGUAAAUAAAAAUAGGAGUAUAUAACCUAAGUAAAUACCUAAAAUGAAAAAUAGAUCCCCUUGAAAGUGUUGUAUUGUACUUUUAUUGCCUGUUUUUUGUCAAAAAAAAAGAGAAGAUUUUACAAGCAUUGGUUCUCGGCUUUUACAGUCGAAUCCUUCUUUUCUAUUUUUGAUAUUUUUUCUUUUUGUUACGUGUUUUCUUUCCUUUUGCAGGUGGAGCAGGUGGCUGAGUGGUGGCAAGUGGGCAGCGACCGACGUGACAGUGGCGGCUGGCCAAGGCAAGUGGGCGACAGAAGGCUGCGGCGCUAGGCUAGGGUUUUAGAAAACUGAAACCCUAGUUUGACUAUUGGGAAUUUGGGUUGGGUCUAACUUGGGUUUGGGUAAUUGGGUUAAUUUGGUUGGGCCAUGGGGAUUUUAGGCCCCAAUGUGAUGCGCGUAAAAAUGGAAGGGCCAAAAAGGAAAUUUAUCCUUCUCCUUUAAAACGACGUAGCUUCAAGGGACCAGUUUGUAAAGCAAAAUAAAUUACUGGGUGAAUUUAAAAAAUAAAAGGCACUUGAUUGUAAAAUUAUUUAAAAGAGGAAGGGCUAAAAGGAUAAAUAACCCGAAGCCCAAACAUGGGUGGAUUCCCCGGUCGGGUCGAGUCGACGCGCGAAUCUGGGGGCAGAACGACUAUUGGUGCCCAAGCUCAAAAUGACGCCAUUUCAUGGGCGUAUUUAAGUUAAAUUUCUUUUUAAAAAACUCAUUCUUCACCAUUCAUUUAAAAAAACUCUGAAAAACUCUCUCAAGCCCUUUUUCCCUUUGAUUUUAGCUCCGGCCAAUGGCCAUCGCGCUAAACUCCGGUCGUCGGCGUCGGCGCCGCAUUGCAUGGUGGCCGGCGAGGGUAAAAGUAUCCCCUUUUUUAGGUCUUAACCCCCUAAGUCCGGAUCUGGCCCUAAAACAACCAAAAAAAUGGGCAAAAGGCUGUUAUGCUCCUCUACAGUCGAUUCCAUCACCAGAGAAGGAGCCUCCGACCACGAGAAAACGGAGCGACCCCCGGUGAGUUUCUUUUCCUUUUCUUUUUUCUUUUUACUUUCAUAUAUGAGAAAAAAAAGUAAAGUAAAUAAAAAUAGGAGUAUAUAACCUAAGUAAAUACCUAAAACGGCUUAAAAGUGUUGUAUUUUUAUUGCCUUUUUUUGUCAAAAAAAAGAGAGAAGAUUUUACAAACAUUGGUUCUCGGCUUUUACAGCCAAAUCCAUCUUUUUUAUUUUUGCUAUUUUUUCUUUUUGUUGCAUGUUUUCUUUCCUUUUGCAAGUGGAGCAGGUGGCUGAGUGGUGGCAAGUGGGCAGCGACCGACGUGACAGUGGCGGCUGGUCAGGGCAAGUGGGCGACAGAAGGCUGCGGUGCUAGGCUAAGGUUUCAGAAAAUUGAAACCCUAGUUUGACUAUUGGGAAUUUGGGUUGGGUCUAACUUGGGUUUGGGUAAUUGGGUUAAUUUGGUUGGGCCAUGGGGAUUUUGGGCCCAAAGUGAUGCGCGUAAAAAUAGAGGGGCCAAAAAGGAAAUUUAUCCUUCUUCUUUACAACGACGUAGCUUAAAGGGACCAGAUUGUAAAGCGAAAUAAAUUACUGGGCGAAUUUAAAAAAUAAAAUGCACUUGAUUGUAAAAAUAUUUAAAAGUAGAAGGGCUAAAAGGAUAAAUAACCCAAAGCCCAAACACGGGCGGAUCCCCCGGUCGGGUUGAGUCGACGCGCGGAUCUGAGGGCAAAAUGACGCCAUUUUGGCUAUUGGUGCCCAAGCUCAAAAUGACGCCAUUUCAUGGGCCUAUUUAAGUUAAAUUUUUAAAAAAAAAAUUCAUUCUUCACUAUUCAUUUAAAAAAAACUCUAAAAAACUCUCUCAAGCCCUCUUUCCCUCUGAUUUUGGCUCCGGCCAAUGGCCACCGCGCUAGACUUCGGUCACAGGCGUCGGCGCCGCAUUGUACGGUGGCCGACGAGGGUAAAAGUAUCCCCUUUUUUAGGUCUUAACCCCCUGAGUUCGGAUUCGGUCUUAAAACAACCAAAAACAAUGGGAAAAAGGCUGUUAUGCUCCUCUACAAUUGGUUCCAUCACCGGAGAAGGAGCCUCCGACGACAAGAAAACGGAGCGACCCCCGGUGAGUUUCUUUUCCUUUUCUCUUUUUUUUUUGUUUUCGUAUAUGAGAAAAAAAGUAAAGUAAAUAAAAAUAGGAGUAUAUAACCUAAGGAAAUACCUAAAACGGAAAAUAGAUCCCCUUGAAAGUGUUGUAUUUUUAUUGCCUAUUUUUUUUCAAAAAAAAGAAAUGAUUUUACAAGCAUUGGUUCUCGGCUUUUACAGCCGAAUCCUUCUUUUCUAUUUUUGCUAUUUUUUCUUUUUGUUGCAUGUUUUCUUUCCUUUUGAAGGUGGAGCAGGUGGCUGAGCGGUGGCAAGUGGGCAGCGACCGACGUGACAGUGGUGGCUGGUCAGGGUAAGUGGGCAUCAGAAGGCUGCGGCACUAGGCUAGGGUUUCAGACAAUUUAAACACUAGUUUGACUAUUUGGAAUUUGGGUUGGGCCUGACUUGGAUUUGGAUAAUUUGGGUUGGGCCAUGGGGAUUUUGGGCUUGGGUUUUAAUUUUGUUUAGGGUCUAUUGACUAGGUUGUUGGGUUAGGUUAUUUGGGUUUCAGGUUUCUGGGCUGUUUUGGAUAGUCGGCCUUGGGCUAUUGCAACUAGAUUGGGUUUAGUUGGUUAGGCUGAAACUUUUGGUUGUUGGGUUUUAAAUCUGGGCUUGUAUUUAGGUUUGGGCCAUUUGGUUUAGUUUGGCACUAGGCUAGGGUGUUUUUGGGUUAAUUUAGUUGUAAUGGGCUGGUAUUUUUUAUUUUUUUGUUUGUCUGGGCUCGAGCGAAAUUGGGCUUGUACACCUNNNNNNNNNNNNNNNNNNNNNNNNNNNNNNNNNNNNNNNNNNNNNNNNNNNNNNNNNNNNNNNNNNNNNNNNNNNNNNAAUAACACCAAGAGAUCCAUUAAACACCAAUACCUCGAGGGUAUAAUUUUAUGGGUAAAACUCGACAAAUUUUGGGAUAGGUGAAACCGAAAACUUCUCAUUAGCCAUGUCAAGUGAAAGAAUUAAAUUUUUUUCAUAAGGAGUGAACAAGCCCAAUUUCGCCCGGGCCCUGACAAACAAAAAAACAAACGAAAAGUACCAACCUAUUACAACUAGAUUUAGAUUAACCCAAAAACACCCUAGCCCAGUGCCAAACUAAACCAAACGACCCAAACCCAAAUACAAACCCAGAUUUAAAACCCAACAACCCAAAGUUUCAGCCUAACCAACUAAACCCUAGCCCAAACCCAUAACAGAAAAAAAAAUCCAAACCCUAGGUGGGCCAUACCUAGGUCUUCUGACCAGCUGGCUGUAACACCCCUUACCCAUAUUCAAUACCGGAAUAGGAUACGAGGCAUUACCAAAACACAUGCACUUGUAAACGUAUUUAACCGAGUUAUAAAAUUUCAUCUAAAUUAAGUCUUUCUAAAUAAUUAACAUGCUUCUAUAACUUUUCACAGUAUAUCCUCAAAAUGUUAUAAUCAUAAUAAUUAGGGCCUACGAAACCCGAUACAAACUCAUGCAAUUCAAUGCUUCAUUUCCAUUUCAUUCAAUUCGCAAUUUCUCAUGCUCACGAUUUAGAUCAUAUCACUAGCAAUUUCCAUUUAAUUCACGUACAAUUCAAUGACAUCAAGUUCAACACUAAUACGUAUUUACCAUUUAACUCAAUGUUUAUCGAUUAUACCAUUCAAUAACACAUUUAUGAAAUUCUCAAUUUUGCAAUGAAAAUAUCACUUUAGCUUAAAUAACAACAUCUUCCUGAUAUAAAUACACUACCACUUAUCCAUUUACUUUAAUUCUUUUGGGCCCAUUUGUCACUUACCGUCCUUGAUCAAAAUUAAGGAACGGUUACGGAAAAUUGAGUAAUUCACUUCCACUUUGCCAUAGUAUAACUAUGGUCUUACUUAUGAUCACUUAUCACUUGUCCCUAAUCAGAUAAGUGUAGCUAGACUACCACUUAUCACUUUGUCACUUGAUCAGAUAAGUGUAGCUAAGGCUACCACUUAUCACUUUGUCACUUGAUCAGAUAAGUGUAGCUAAGGCUACCACUUAUCACUUUGUCACUUGAUCAGAUAAGUGUAGCUAAUGCUACCACUUAUCACUUUGUCACUUGAUCAGAUAAGUGUAGCUAAUGCUACCACUUAUCACUUUAUCACUUGAUCAGAAGUACUCAAAUCCGGCGUUCCUCUCAAUUUGAUCAUUUAUUCAUAUAUCAGGCUUACCAACAUGUGUUAAUUCAUAAACCGUUCAUGACAUUAUUUCAUGCCAAAUCAUAUAUUGAAUAUACCAUACACACAUACUAUGAAACUUUAUUUUCACACAUGAGCUUAAACCAUGACCAAUAAUGUACAAAUAUAAGCAUAAUUCAUAUUUCAUCGUUUAUCAGUUAUAAUCAAACAUAUGACCAUUUAUACACGAAUCAUUCAUAUAUUUCCCAAUUUUCCUCCUCCUCCUCUCCAUUCCACAUCCUUAAUGUGUAUAACACACUUAAACAACAUUAACUAUAAUUUCACUAUUCACUCACAUGUAUAUUCAAAGCUGUUUAUCCGAGUCAGAGUCACUAAAUUAUUUUUAUCUGGAGCUACAGAGCUCAAAAUUAAGAUCCGUUAAUUUUCCCUGAAACUAGACACACAUAUAUUCUUGCAAUAAAAUUUUAAGAAUUUUUGGUUCAGCCACAUAGUACAGUUUAUUCUUUAAAGUUUCCCCUGUUUUGCUGUCUGACAGUUCCAACCACUCUUCACUAAAAAUUAAUUAUCUCAUUGUACAGAAUUCAGAUGAUGUUUUUGUUUAUUUAUUCUAAAAAUAGACUCAUUAAGGAUUCUAACCAUAUAAAUUAUAACUCAUAAUGAUUUUUUUACAAUUUUUAAUGAUUUUCCAAAGUCAGAAUAGGGGAACCCGAAUUCAUUCUGACCUUGUCUCACGAAAUCUAUUAUAUCUCAUGAUUUACAAUUCCAUUGCUCACACUGUUUCUUUUAUAAGAUACUAGACUCAAUAAGCUUUAAUUUAAUAUUUUAUUCAUCCUCUAUUUCAAUCUCUACAAUUUUUUGUGAUUUUUCAAAGUUACAAUACUGCUGCUGUCCAAAACUGCUUUAGUGCAAAAUGUUGAUUUCCAUUUUGCCCCAAAUUUCACUGUUUAUACACUUCGGUCCUUUCUCAAUUAACCCCUCAAUUAAUAUAAUUUUCUCAAUUAAUACUCUAGACAUUAUAAGUUGUUACACAACUAUUGAAAUUCAGAAUUUCCACAUAUAUCUCUAUCUUCAAACUCUUUUACUAUUAGGUCCCAAACAUUCACUUUCUAUUCAAUUCUUUCAAUAAAAUCAGCAUGUGAACAAUUUAAAGCUCUAAUUACAUGCUAAAUCAUCAUAUACUUCCAGCACAUAUUCAUAGCAACUUUCAAAUUCUUUCAUAAAAUCAAAAACUAAUGAAUUCAACAAGUGGGCCUAGUUGUAAAAGUCAUAAAAAUACAAAAAUUUCAAGAAAUAGUCAAGAAUUGAACUUACUUGUAGUAAAAAUAUGAAGAACCAGCUUGGAGAAGCCCUUCCAUGGUGUUUUAGCUGAUGAGAAUUCAGAAAAAUGAAGAGAAAUCUAGAUAAUUCCACUUUGGUCCUAACUUUAUUAAGCAAAUUUUGCAAUAUUCCAAUUUUUCCCUUAAUUCUCCUUACUUUCUUGCUGAUUUCAUGCCUUUGCUGUCCAGCCCAAAUAGACCUUGGGUUUAUUUGCCUUUUAAGCCCUCUUCCUUUUAUCAUUUAAGCUAUUUAAUCAUUUCCCAAAAUUUUGCAUUUGUUACAAUUUAGUCCUUUUUGUUCAAUUAAUUAUCAGAACUUUAAAAUUUCUUAACGAAACUUUAAUUCUUACUUUUUAACACUCCAUAAAUAUUUAUAAAAAUAUUUAUGGCUCGGUUUAAAAUCCUCGAGGUCUUGAUACCUCAUUUCGAUUCUAAUUAUUUUAAUAUUUAUUUCUAGUGCACUAUUCACUAUUUCAAAAAUUUUCCUAACUUCACAUUUAACUUAUACUUACUAAAUUAAUAAUAUUUUCCACCCAUUUGUCGAAUUUAGUGAUCUCGAAUCACUGUUCCGACACCUCUGAAAAUUCAGGCCAUUACAUUUUUUUUCCUCGUCGAAUUUGUGGUCCCAAAACCACUGUUCUGACUAGACCCAAAAUCGAGCUAUUACACUGGCUGCCGCCCAUAGCCCUUGCCACCACCAUUUGCUACCGCACCACUUGCACCUGCUCGUCAAUCACCUGCAAAACAAGACAAUACGCAACAGCAAAAAUAAAAGACAAGUAGCAAAACGAUAAAAAUAGAGAUUGAGAGUUGGUAAUUCGGCUAUAAAGGCCAAAUUCGAACCUUGUAACGUUUACACAGACAUUUCCAAAAAUAAAACAAAAAAAAUAAUUCAAGGUGAUUUACCUUCUUUAUUUUUAAAUUUCAAUCUAUUUUUUUUAUUUUUUAUUAUUAUUCUUUUUCUACAUACAAAAAUUAUAAAAAGAAAGGGGCUGAAAGGGGCAUACCUAAGGGUGUGCUCCACUGUCGGGACGGCUGAGGAAGUCACCUUCGAGGAUAGGUGGCCGGAAACCGAAAGGUCCCUUAGGGUUUCUUUUCUUUUUUCUUCAUUUUCUUGAAUAUUGGGGGUCCGCCAGGCCAUUUACCCCCACAUCUGGGCUCUACUCGAAAAGAGGAGUGAAAGGGGCGGUUUUGUUUUUUUCAGCCAUCGAGGACGGCGGCGCCGUCGCCGGGGACCGGCACGGUGGCCGAUGACCGGACCCCUGGCCGGAUUUUGGGGAGAGGAAUAGAACUAAGAGAGUUUGGCAGAUUUUUUUUUAAAAUAGGGCUGAAAUGAUUUUUUUGGGGUUAAAAAAUUUUAUUUAUAGUAUAGCCCAUACGACGUUGUUUUUGGCCUGAGCUUCAGGCUCCAAAAUGACAUCGUUUUAAUGUUGCCCGAUUACCCAACCUGCUCCAAGCUAGGGUUUGCGUGUUUUUAAUGGAAGGGCUAAUUGCACCUUUAGCCCUUCUGCUUUUUAAUGAUUUUUCAAUCAAGUAUUUUUGUUUUUUAAUUUUACCCCACAAUUUAUUGCGCUUUCAAUUUGGCCCCUAUUCGAACGACGUCGUUUUGGAGGAGAAGGGAAAAUUACCCUUUUAAUCCCUCCACGUUAUCCGCAUGUUCAAUUUGGUCUUUUUUCCUUUAUUUGUUACCGAUUUGCCCCAAAAAUUUGUCUUUAAGCUCAAUUUAGUCCCUUUAAUUUUGUUAUUUUAGCUAUUUUAUUAUUAAAUUAAUUAUUUUAAUUUUAUUAUCACUAUUAUUAUUUUACCCUCUUUAUUUACAUACUUAUUAUUAUUACCACAUUGUUAAAUUAAUUAAUUUUUACAUUAUUAUUUCUAUUAUAUUUUUAUAUUUAUGUACCUAAAUACUUUAAAUAUAUUUAUUUCAUUUUAUCCUUUUUUUAUAUAUUCUUUUAUAAUUUUAAAACCUUAAAUUGUUAAUUAUUAUUAUUAUUAAUCAUCAUUAUUAAUAUUAUUAUUCUUAAAUUGCUUUAUACCUUAUUUAUUUAUUUAAUAUUAGUUCUUUAGUUUCAAAUUGUUAAUUUGUCAUAUUUAUUAUUUGUCUUUUUACUUUCGACUUGUUUAUUUUAUUUCAUUUCCAUUCUUUAUAUUGUUGUUCAUAUGAAUGUAUUUAUAUUUAUUCUGUUGUACAUAUUAAUGACAUAAUCUAUUUUUUUACAUUUUCACUACCACAUCGUGUUACAUUUUACUCGAUAUGUUAAAAAAAUUCUGUUUUAAAUAAGCAAAACUUCAUAUUUUGAUUCAAACAGGUCGUACCCUAACUUACAGGGUUUCGAUUUUCUCGAUAAAUCCAAAUAAAUGAACAUUUUUAAAAGCAAAAUUUUUCUUUAAAAACAAUCUCGGAAAUAGGAAGAAUUGUAUUCUAACUUACGGAGUACGAUUCUUCCUAAAAUGGAGAGGAUCAAAUACCUUUCAAUAAAUAAACUUUUCGGUGUUUAUUCUCGUAUCGAGAAUUCAAUACAUUGCAUCCUAACUUACGGAACGUAAUUCUCUUUCUCGAUUAACGUGAAAUACGCCCAUUUCUCAGAAAUUUUCAACAUUUUAACAAAUGAUCGUAUUUUAAAUCUCUUCAAAGUGUUCAAUAUUCAACACUAAGACACUAAUUAAUUGACUAGGUACCAAUUUUGGGUGUAACGAGGGUGCUCAUCCUUCCUCGUACAUAACCGACUCCCAAAUCCGUCUUUCUAAAUUUUGUAGACCAAAAUCGUUGUUUUAAUAAAUCAAAUAAUUUAUUGAAAUACCUAUUUUUCGAGGUGACCUGAUCACAACUCAUUAAAAAUGAUUAGUGGCGACUCCCAUGUCGUUUUCGUUUUCAAAACCAAAGUCGACCUCGUUUUAAAAAAAAUAAUUUUGACAAGGAGUAUUCCCUAUCGUUGUUUGCCAAUAAAAAAUUCCAUCUAAGUAAUUAUUACUCAAAUAUAAUUCAAAUGGUCUAUAAUUAGGAGAUGGAAUUUCCUUCCAUGAAUCGAUUUAAGAGAAUACAACUCAACUUGGGACAUAUCAUCACCACUUGAAGUUUCACAUUUACUAUCAACAAAAGAAAGAGUAACAAAUCGUAUGAAUUUGUAGUAAUCAGUUUUAGAAUCAAACUCGAAAGCACCGCAGUCAAAAUAAACAAAGCCACAAGUAAGGCCUGGGUAAGUAGGGCUUUGGGCUAAGGAUGGAGGAAGAAUUUUAAAUUCUCCAGUUGAUGGGUUCCAAAUGAUGGAGGAAGAAUUUUAAAUUCCGUAUCAUCCAUGCAAGAACUAUGUAAAAAAAAUAAUCCGUGACGAGCACCCCAAACAUAGGGGUAUCGUGCAUAAAAAAAAGGAAAGCGAAUGUUUUGUUUUACUAAAAAGUUUUCAUCUUGUUCAACUGAAAGUUGAGAGAAAUAAGGGAUGUUGGCGUUGGCAUCAAAUCGUUGGAGAAUGGGGUUAAGGUUAUUGUUUUUAAGGUUGUUGUGAUAAUGCUUGGAAAUGAAACGAGGAGUUUGAAAAGAACACCAAUACUUACAAACACAGUUGAAACAAAUAAGGGACUUAACUGGAAGUUUACACAGAAUUUCCAUAACCAAAGCUUCUGCCACUUCAAAUCUUGACAUCUGCAUCUAUGGUAACUAUAUUUUCCUAAAAGUUAAGAGUCAUCUAUGGUGGCAACCUUAACCUUGAAGAAAAAAAAAGCAUAAAAGGAAAGUAUUUAAUGCAUUAUUUACAUGCAUUUUCGAAAAAAAAUUCCCUAUUUGCGUGUAAAAGAUAAUAUUUACUCUUCGCUCUCUAACCACCAUCCAAUAGACUUGGAAAAAAACAAGUCAAAUUGAUAUUGUAGGAAAAUCAGUUUCAUAUGAUAUUUAUAAGGGUAAACUACAAAAAUAGUCACUUUAGUUUGCAUUGGAUUACAUUUUAGUCACUUAUGUUUGAAAUGUUAUGUUUUAGUCACUUACGUUAUCGUUUUGUUACAAAGUGGGCACUCUACCGUUAAGCUCUUUUACCUCAUUAACGAUGGUCUUACGUGGCUGUCCAAAUGAGUUUUAAAUACCAACUUGGAUGUCCUACAUGGUAAUCCAAAUUAAAUUUAUUUAAUUAAAAACCUAUUUUCAUCCCAACAGCUGGACAUCCAAGUUGGCAUUUAAAACCCAUUUGGACUGCCAUGUAGGACUAUCGAGGUAACGGAGUUUAACGGUAGAGUGAUCAGUUUGUAACAAAACGAUAACAUAAGUGACUAAAAUGUAACAUUUCAAACAUAAGUGAGUAAAAUGUAAUAUGAGGCAAACAAAAGUGGCUAUUUUUAUAGUUUACCCUAUUUAUAAUUCAUAGCAAAAUUUUUAAACAAAUAAGGUAAGUUAGUAAAAAACUCUCUCUCUAACAAAAAUUAAGCAAACUGGUUGAAAACCUUAUAUGUCAUCUAUUAAGUUUAAUUGGAGAGAUCUUUUGUCUUGUGCAUUGGAUUAAAUGACUCCUAGAAGAUAAAUGUAUAGAUGUGAUUGACUAGACUGACAAUAAAUCGGGCAGAACCUAAGUAGAAUAGAUAUUGAAUCCAUAUAGAUUUAUUCACUUGUCACUAGGGGUGUUCAUCCGGUUAACCGACUGGUUAACCGACCCGAAAUUGCUAUAACCAAAUUAACCGACCUUCCAAAAUUUUUAACCGUUAACCGAACCGAAUUAUUAAAAAAAAUUAACCGAACUGAAUUUUUUUCGGUGAAUAAGGUCGGUUAACCGAAUUAACCGAAAAUUAUGUGUUUUUUUAUUUUUGGUUAAAAAGGACCCAAAUUACCCGAAUUACCCGAUUAACCGAAUUAACCGAAUUACCUAAAAAUUACCCGAACUACCCGAAAAUUACCCAAAAAGUUUGGUGUUGAGCUUGAGAAAAAAUUGGGUCGGGUUUAAUUUGACCUAGUUUAGGCCCUACCCUGCAAAAUUCGGUUUACCCGAUUUUUUCGGAUAACCGACCGGUUUCGAACUGAUUUAACCGUUAACUGAAAAAAUAAAAAAAUUAACCGACCCCCGACCAAAUUUUUUCGGUUAACCGACCGAUUAACCGAACUCAAAAAUCGGGUUAACCAAAUUAUGCACAGCCCCACUUGUGACAUAUCUUAAUCUUGAGUGGUUGUUGGACUAUGUAUGCCUGACUAAGGGUGAAUGUUCGGUCAAAUCGAAUCGAAUGGAAAAGUUUCGAGUUAAUUGAGUUGACGAAUCCUAUUUUAUCAUCCUAACUCAAUUUGAAAUUUUUUCAAAUCGAGUUGAUCGAGAUGGAAUUCGAAUCGAAUAUAUUUGUUCGAGUUAAAUUAAAAAAUGACUUUAGAUUCUUGUAGUCACUGCCACUCACCAUAAUCAAAAUUGCCUACCGUAAUCAAAUUUGUUAUUAACUUUCAUCCCCUCAUAAUUUAUUUAUCAAUCUUUUAUAUAUGGGUUAGCUUCUUUGCUUGCUUAGUUGCUUCAAUUAUCUUAUGAUUAUUGUCAACAUUUAUUUUGAAAUUAAAAAAUAUAUUAAAUGUAAAAAAAUAAAAUUUUUAAUAAAAAUUAUUUUAAAGAUAAAAUGUAAAAUGAUACUAAUAAAAAAUUUUAACACGAAUAUUUUAUGAAUGUAGCUUAUUAUAGAUCCAAAUCCAAAUUAUCACAGCACAAAAUGAGGCAAAUGAGAGUGCCUGUUAAAUCGGAAAACGUAGAAGCAUUCAGAUACUAAACCUCCAUGCCACGAGAAACAGUGAAGCAAUGAAUUUGAUUUAAUAGUUUUUCCAGUCAAAUGAAAAAAAAAACUAAAAAAAGAAGAGACGGAAGAAAAAAUUUAAAAGAGGAGAUAACAGUUUUUUUAGUUAAGGUUUAGGUUUAAAUAUUUUAAUUAAUUAAAUUUAUUUAAUUAAAAAUCUAUUUUCAUCCCAUUUAGAAAUCCAAGUUGGCACCUAAAAUCUAGUUGGACUGCAACAUAGGAUUACCGUUAGGGAGAUAACGAAACUUAACGGUAGAGUGAUCACUUCGUAACAAAAUAAUAACAUAAGUGACUAAAACGUAACAUUUCAAACAUAAGUGACUAAAAUGUAACAUGAGGCAAACAAAAGUGACUACUUUUGUAGAUUACCCUUACAUUUAUGCACAUAAAAAACUUGAGGUUUAAAAAAUAAUAACAUGAGUGUUAUUAUAAAUAAAAAUUUCAUAUAGCAAAUUAUAUGGGAUUUUUAUUUUUAUUUUGUUUUAAAUGUUUUAUUGUUAUUUAUGUCAAUUUUUUCUAUUACUAAUGUGCUACAAGAGAGAUGUACAAAAAUAUAAUAUGUGAGAAGGUGGAGAUGAUCAAAUCUUUCAGCAGGGAUGUCGUCAAGGAGGCUAGUAGGAGUUUUGGCUCUCUAAUGGAAAAAUCUUUAAAAAUGAAUGGUACGUUCUUCAAAGUUGUAUUUGUCCGCUCGGAUAUAUGAAAACCAAUAUAAUGUGGUGGAGUUUAUUGGAGCAGCUUGUCAUGCUAGGAUAAUUCCAUAUUUGUACAGGUCACCUUUUUCCAUGUAAAGAACAAAAGAAAAGAAAGCACUCUCUCCUUCUUAUUAAUAACAUUUUAUAUUUCUUAUUAAAUACAUUGGACAAUCGUGGCAGAGCUACCUAGGGAAACUUAUGAUAUCCGAUAGGCUAUUACAUUGGCCAUGAUAUAAAUGGGAACAGUUUUUAAGUGUUCCAAGGAGAUUGGAUGAUGUCGGUCUUUCAUAACAUAUAUACAUCUCCGAGAGUAAUAAUUGUCUAUUGUUUGUUCUAUUUCUAUUACACGAAAUUUGGGGAUAUGCGUGUAUAAGCUGAAAAACUGCAUUCACAGCUUGUUGGACCGUAUAGGUUGAAUCAGGUGUGAGUCCAAUAACUAGAUCACAGAAUUCAUUAAAACAAAUAAGAAACAAUAAAGUAUAUUAAACACAAAUAGAAAUGUGAAGGGAAAAUAAAAACAAAUUAGUUGAUAUACCUCGAGAUAAUUUUUUCUUUAGUUGUAUGGCGGAUUGAAAGUAUGACAGAGGUCGUUGUGCAAAGUCGGAACAUGUGCCAUGUUUUGUCCAUUCGUCGUGCCAAAAGCUAAUGUCUGACUUUCCCAAUAUCAAGUUUGGCCAUAGUCGGGGCAAGUCUAUCCAAAGAACUGGAUCACUUUGCAGAAAACCCUUUUAAAUUAAAAACAAAAAAUCUGGUUAGAUGACAGAUAAUUUACUUAAUAGUUUUAGGCGAAGAAUGUACGUAUGCGUACUUUCAGUUUCUUUUUAUCUAGAUUAGGAUUCGGAUGGGUGCAAGGAUUCCUUGGACCAUAUUGGGGCACCGGCCUGUCAUGAGCGUCUUGCGCCCAGAUUCCAUGUAUUUUAAACUCGGGUAGGAUUGGCUUUUUACAGUUGAGAGUAGAUUUGCACACUGAGGGAGGCCAUUGAACUGCUAGUUUAUAGAAGCCUACCACUGGAAUUGGUGGCGGCUGGGGUACUGCAAAUGCUACCCAUAAUGAAAAAUGAUACAAUGCAUUUUUACAAAUUUACAAAUCAAAAGAGAACUACUCCAUUUAUAGAUAUUACAUGCAUGGAUGGUUGGGCUGAGACCGGAUGAUUGUGCUUUGCAAGCAGCUGGUUUAUGAUCGCCUUUAUAAGCUUCACACACAUAUUUCACAAAAUUUUCCAAGUCCUGCAACUAUGAAAUAAUUAUUGAAGUUCCUUGUUACAAAAUGUUUACUUCACAAUCACACCAAGAGAGAGAAAUAAACAAACUCACUUGUCUGAGUGGCUGAUUAUUCACCACCACCCAUGGCACAUAUUCUUGAGGUGGCUUCAGAUGUGCAGUCUCAUUAGCAUGUUGCAACAGAAGCUGCAUUUUGUUAAUUUGGAAAAUCAAUGUUAGAAAAAGCAAAGGAGUAUUAGUUAAAUGCGAAGACAUGCAGCCAACCUUAUAUCCAAAUCCAGUAGUAUAGCAUUUGUUGAUUAUCUCCUCAUUCAAUCUCAGCUUUUCACUGCAAUUUUUCCACAGUGCUUCAACUGGCCCCCCUUUUAAGCUUUGUUGCUCUGUGCAGCGAAUGAAUUCCAAGUGCUCUUUCUGCACCACAGUAGAGUAAUUAAACACGAGUUCGAGACGAGUGCAAAUGCUUUUGGCUAAAAGAAUUUACCACAUCAGGCCAGAAAUGGAUGACACAGCUAUGUAUAGUGUUUAAGUAGCAUUCUUCUUCUCCAUGCUGCACAUUGUUGCAUAAACUAUAAUUAGUUAUAGUACCAAAAAGAAAUUGAACUUCAUUAGUUAAUAAUGAAAAUACAUUAAAAUGAAGAAUGGAGUUGUAAACCUGGCAAUGGAUUUCAACAUUGCCCCAAGGGACCAAUCUUAGAUUGAUAAUGGUAUGGAGGUCAGUGUGGAAGACCUUGACAAGGUCAUUGGAGAUAAAGGAGGCACAAUGCUGGCAUAAACUUGUUUCAUAGUACAGUGACAAAGUAACCCUGUCAUUAACAUUAUCUAAAGAGGAAUGGGAGGGAGAAAUAAGCAUGAAUAUUGCAAGAGCAGUCAGAAUAUAGAAGAUCAAUGGUCGAAGAUAAGCCAUUAUUUGUUUAAGUGAUAGCUUUUGCACAAUGCUGAACCUCCAUUAUGCAAGGGUUUUUAUAGUUGAGAAUGGGGAUGAUGACUAUUGUUUUCUUUCCCUUUCAGUAAACCAUGUGACGAGAAACAAUUAAUGUUGUUACUAUAUCUAAUGCAGACAGGUUUCAGUAAACCAUGUGAUUAUAAAAGUUGUACACUUUUUUAAAACAUUAAUUGUAAAAUUUAUGGCGCCAUACACACUGCAUGGGCUGUUCUUAUUUAGCUCAAUUAAUGGAUGCAUCCAUCUUUGAGCAAAGCUCAAACUGGGUUCCAAAAGAAGGAAAAAAUAAUGCUUAACCAUGUGCCAAUUAACAAUUUUUUUUAAUUUAAUAUUCUUUUUUGUGGAUUAUUUCAACUCCAAAAUACAUUAAAACAAUUCAUUAAAACAAUUCAUUGUAGUCCUCAUAUGUUGUGGUAGACUUCAACAACACAAAUUUCAUCUUUCAUGUGGAUUUUACAAUAUUCACUUUUUCCCCAACUUUUAUAUUCCUUUCCACUUUAUUUUAAACCAUACUUGUGGACAUUUAUAUAGAUUUGUUAAAAUAAAAGAAUUAUAUAUGUUGUCAUCUUAAAUUUAAAUUAAAUAGUACAUAUUUUAUGAUAAUUUUGAAGUUUAAUGAAAUAAAAAAAUUAAAUUAAAUUGUAACAAUUUUCAAAAAUCUAAUGGUAAAAAAUUAAAAUAUUAAGAUAAAUAUUCUUUAUUAUAUUGAAAUGAUAUUUAUAUUUAUAAUAAUGUUAUUUAUCUUUGUGAUAAUUAAAUUUAUCUAGCCAUUUCAAAUUAUACUUAAGAUUUUCAAUUUUAUUUAUUUAAAAUUAUUAAUUAUUUAUGUGUCAAUAUCUAGCCCAUUAAUGAAUCAUAUCACUUGGGGAAACUUAUUUGGAGAAUCGGAUUAGAUCGAAUCACCCUUAUCUAAUCCCUUGAAUCAAGGAAGUUGUAUUAGAUCGUUGAAGUCUUGGUUUCCAAGAACCCUUAUUUACCUUGCUUCUUCUUAUUAUAUUAUAUUAUAUUUCCCUAGUUAAUAUGUUGUUUAAUAGGGAUUGUGAUAAAUCAUUUCUAUGUUAGCAAGUCUCAAACAACCCUUCAAGGAAUAAAUCCAACUAAAAGAUAAGAAACUAAUUGUUGCAUUAUCAAAUGUAAUGUUUCGUUGGAUAUAAGCAUUUUUUCAAUAAAAAUUAUCAUCAAAAGGGUUUUUCAAUUGACUACAUCAGUCAAUCCUUUGAUAAAGAAAGCAAGGGAGCUUGAAAAGUUGAAAAGGAUAACAUCUCAAACAUAUAAACCAAAUAAUAACAGUAAUAUUAAGAAGCUCACAAGUGACUGUAGUCUACAUAAAAAUGCUCAUUAGGUCUUACACAUUUAUUUUCAAGUUCCCUAUCCAUCAUCAUAUUUAGUAUCUACUUGAUCUAUAUUUCUAUUUAUAUUAUUUGAUGCAUCUCCAACUAGUUGACGUAUUAUAUGAUCCCUAUGCUCUUGUAUUCCAUUGAUUGAAACCAGGCUCUCAACAUAAAAAAAGAGGGAGACGUACUCUCGAUGAUGAUCCAGGUAAGAAUUGAUCCCAAGCACCUUAAGCUCUUGGGUGGAGGGAUCAAACAAGACUACUUCAUAAUUUGUAUUUAAAAGAAAUAGUUCAUUAUUUUUCCAAAACCCCAAUGGGUUGACAACUCCAGGAAUAGAUUCAAUACUGAAUUGUUUAGUCCAUUCUUUCCCAUUCAUUACCCAUAAAUCAAAAGACUUGUCAAUUCCUUCCACCGGGUAAACAAGAACACCAACUGAUCCAUUAAACACCAAUACGUUAAUAUUGGUUUUUGAGAAAAACCCGACAAAUUCAAGGAUAGGUGAAACCGAAAACUUCUCAUUAGCCAUGUCAAAUGAAAGAAUCAUUACUUUUUCAUAAGGAGAGUUCCCCGUUACUAUUUGCCAAUAACAAAUUCCAUCUAAGCAAUUAUUACUCAAACAAUAAUCAAGUGGUCUAUAAUUAGGAGAUGGGAUUUCCUUCCAAGAAUCGCAUUUAAGAGAAUACAACUCAACUUGGGACACAUCAUCAGGACUUUCAAUUCCACGUUCACUAUCAACAUAACAAAGAGUAACAAAUCGUAUGAAUUUGUAGUCAUCAUUUUUAAAAUCAAACUCGAAAGCACCGCAGUCAAAAAUAACAUACUUACAGGUAAGGCCUGGGUAAGUAGGUCGUUGGACUGAGGACUGAGGAAGGAUUUUAAAUUCUCUAGUUGAUGGGUUCCAAAUGGCAACCUCCAUAUCAUUCAUGAAAGAACUAUGUAAACAAAAUAAUCCAUGACAAGCACCCCAAACAUAGGGGGAAUCGUGAAUGAAAAAAGGAAGGCGAAUGUUUUGUUUUACUAAGAAGUUUUCAUCUUUUUCUACUGAAAGCUGAGAUAAAUAAGCGAGAUUGGCGUUGCCAUCAAAUCGCUGGAGAAGGGGAUUAAGGUUAUUGUUUUUAAGGUUGUUGUGAUAAUGCUUGGAAAUGAAAUGAGGAGUUCGAAAAGAAGAACACCAAUAUUUACAAAUGCAGUUGAAACGCAUAAGGGACUUAACUGGAAGCUUAGACAGAAUUUCCGUCACCAAAGCUUCUGGCACUUCAAAUCUUGGCAUCUGCAUCUUCUUCUCUUUUUUUUCUCUCUCUAAUUUGCCUGUAAAAGAUAAUAUUUACACUUUGCUCUCUAACCACCAUCCAAUAAACUUGGAAAAAAACAAGGCAAAUUAGUAUUUUAGGAAAAUCAGUUUCAUAUGAUGUAUAUAAUUUAUGGAAAAAUUUGUAAACAAAUAAGGUAAGUUAGUUUAUAUGGCAUAGUUCACUACAAAAUUUAGGGGUUUUGGGAAGAUUAAAAAUGUCCCUAAUAGAUUUGGAGACAAUUUAAGCAGUCCCUUACAUGCAUUCUUAAAAACUAUUUUUAAAAAUUUUUAGGGAUAAUUAUGAAAAAUAAUCUUCAUAAUUAAAGAUGAAUUUCGCCCCUAAAGCUUUAAGGACGAAUUCCGUCCCCAAAUUCAUAAAAACAUACGAAAAUAAUUAGGGAUGAAUACCAUCCCAAAAUUAUUUAAUCAAGUUUCGUCUCUAAAAAUUCCAAGGUUUUGCUUUUCUUUUCCUUUUGACUUAACCUUUACAUAUCCAACUUACAAAUAUUCAACAACUAGUUCUCAAGUUUCUAACAUGAGGGAAAGCAAGGGUCACUUUUUAAGCAUCUAAUCCCCCAUUUUGCCUUUUUGUAAUGUAAGUAGAUAUGCCAAAUUAAAGUUUAGUUCCAUGCUUGAAACGAUCAAAUCCAAUUGCUAACUUUAAAAAUUUUCAAAAAGUUCAAAUGAAUACCUGAGAAUUUUUAGCAAUCUCUAUCUUCAAAUCAAUUAUGUUUAAAUAUCUAAUUUUGACUUGAUAUAUCACUUGGAACCAGAAUUUGACACCUUUUUCUAAGGUGGUACUUAUGUUAUUUUUGGUCCAAUCUAGUAUACCUAUAUUUGAAAAAAUUUAUUUGACUUAUGUUAUUUUGAUAUCCAAAGAUAAUAAUGUUAACGUUUAGUGUUUAAUUUAGGUUUAAUAAAUUAUUAUUAUUAUUUUUAAAAUAUUUGUUAUGUAUAUGCAACUGGAAGUCUUGUAGAAAUUGAAGGGCAAUUGUUAGAAGAAUUAAUUGAUAAGAAACUAAUUGUUGCAUUAUCAAAUGUAAAAGGAAGAACUUAUAAAGGUAAUGUUUCCUUGUACACAAGCAUUUUAAAUAUUUUAAACUAAUUUCAAUAAUAAUUAUCAUCAACAGGGUUUUUCAAUUGACUACAUCAGUACAUCCUUUGAUAAAAAAAGCAAGAGAGCUUGGAAGGUUGUAAAAUCAUUAUGAUAAUUAUGAAUAUAAACUAGGAAAGAUUACAUUCAGUGUUUAUUUGAUGCAUCUUUAAUUAGUUGACGUAUUAUAUGACUCUUAUGCUCUUGUAUUCCAUUGAUUGGAAUUAGGCUCUCAACAUAAAAAAAAAAGAAAAGAAAAGAAAGAGAGAGACGUACUCUCGAUGAUGAUCCAGGUAAGUGAUGAUCCGAAGCACCUUAAGUUCUUGGGUGGAGGGAUCAAACAAGACUACUUCAUAUUUUGUGUUUAAAAGAAACAUUUCACCAUUUUUCCAAAACCCUAAUGGUCUGACAACUCCAGGAAUAGAUUCAAUACUGAAUUGCUUAGUCCAUACUUCUCCAUUCAUAACCCAUAAAUCAAAAGACAUGUCAAUUCUUUCCACCGUGUAAGCAAUAACACCAAGAGAUCCAUUAAACACCAAUACCUCGAGGAUAUCAUGUUGUGGGUAAAUCCCGACAAAUUCUGGGAUAGGUGAAGCCGAAAACUUCUCAUUAGCUAUGUCAAAUGAAAGAAUCAAAAUUUUUUCAUAAGGAGUGUUCCCCGUCGUUGUUUGCCAAUAAAAAAUUCCAUCUAAGUAAUUGUUACUCAAAUAUAAAUCAAAUGGUCUAUAAUUAGGAGAUGGAAUUUCCUUCCAAGAAUCGCAUUUAAGAGAAUACAACUCAACUUGGGACAUACCAUCACCACUUGAAGUUUCACAUUCACUAUCAACAAAAGAAAGAGUAACAAAUCGUAUGAAUUUGUAGUCAUCAGUUUUAGAAUCAAACUCGAAAGCACCGCAGUCAAAAUGAACAAAGCCACAAGUAAGGCCUAGGUAAGUAGGUCGUUGGACUGAGGAUGGAGGAAGGAUUUUAAAUUCUCAAGUUGAUGGGUUCCAAAUGGCAACCUCCGUAUCAUCCAUGCAAGGACUAUGUAAACAAAAUAAUCCGUGACGAGCACCCCAAACAUAGGGGGUAUUGUGCAUAAAAAAAGGAGAGCGAAUGUUUUGUUUUACUAAAAAGUUUUUAUCUUUUUCAACUGAAAGUUGAGAGAAAUAAGGGAUGUUGGCAUUGGCAUCAAAUCGUUGGAGAACGGGGUUAAGGUUAUUGUUUUUAAGGUUGUUGUGAUAAUGCUUGGAAAUGAAACGAGGAGUUUGAAAAGAAGAACACCAAUACUUACAGAGACAGUUGAAACGAUUAAGGGACUUAACUGGAACUUUACACAGAAUUUCCAUAACCAAAGCUUCUGGCACUUCAAAUCUUGGCAUCUGCAUCUAUGGUAACUAUAUUUUCCUAAAAGUUAGGAGUCAUCUAUGGUGGCAACCUUAACCUUGAAGAAAAAAAAAAGCAUAAAAGGAAAGUAUUUAAUACAUUAUUUACACGCAUUUUGGGAGGACAAUCAGAGUGCUUAUGGAGCAAACCUUAACAAUGAAGCAAAGAAGCAUUUAAUAUAUUAAUUGUAUUAGCGAUGUUUAAUUUUUAAGAGUUAUUAAAACUCUUUAUUUGCAACCCAACGGUUAUAGUAUUUAUUGUGAGUAUAAGCAUUGCAGGAUUCCAUGGACUGGAUGUAACUCAUGAUUAUUAUGGUCCCGUGGGAAGCAUGACGUAGAGAAGGAAGCUCAGAAGCUGUCUCCAUGUACAUACGCAACCAAAUACCGGAGAGCUCCAGUUUCCAAGCGUUGCUGCGCUAUAAUAGUGAAAAAACUUAGGGUGGGUUUGGAUGGACGAUUGGGUGCGGUGCGGUGCGUUUAGCUUACUUUUUGUUUCACGCUACAGUAUCGCUACAGUAUCUAAUCUCACCGCCAUCGCUAUUUUUACACUAACCGCAGGUAAACGCACCACCCAUCCAAACUCACUCUUAGCAGUACAGACUGUCUCUGUGCUAUUUUGCAAACUCGUAUGCCGGAGUGAGAAAUGAAAUCCAAGUGUAGCUAGUUUUCUCAAAUCAUAUUUGAUCUUUAAGAUAUCAUCCUUAGGGAUGGCAAAACUCAAACCAUCAUUCAGAAUAAAGAAGAUUUUCUUUUGAAAAGUGAAUGCUAAAUGAAUUUUAUAGUAGUUAAAGCAAUUAACACACAAGGUAUUGGCAAAUGGCAACCAUCUUUGACUUUUCCGAAAUUGGGUUGAAAUUUGGCAUGGGAUAAUUACAAUUUUAGUCCCUAAUUGUAUAGGGACUUUGCAAGUUGAUCCUUGAACCUCAACUAUAAAUAGGUCUAACUGUUUCUCAUUUUCUACAUCCCACAUAUGUCAUUCUCUACUUAAGACAUUAUUCUCUCUCCUUAUUUGUAAAAUUUCACUUGUAUUUUGGAGUGAAAUAUAUUUAGUAGUGCCCGAGGACGUAGGCAAAAUUUGCUGAACCUCGUUAAAAUUCUAGUGUUCUUUAUUGUUUAUUUUGCAUAUUUUGCGAGUGUGAUUGUAGUGAUUUAUUGUGCUAUUAAAUUAUGAUAGAGGUAUAUUCUGGCUAGGAAAGACCUGGUACUUGAGUGAUCCUCAUGAUCCACCUCUCUUUCCUGGGAAUUGAACUUAAUGUGAUUUUUUAGUGCAAUAAUUUUACUCUUGUACACGCUUCCGCGCAACACAAGGUAACUUGAAAAAAAAUAUCAUAAUUUCACUCACUUGAACAAAAUGGGAUCAUAGCAACAUGGAUUCGUGGCUGAUUCGAUGCUCGUGUUGUGGUGUUCAUCGGAUCUUCAUCUGUUUAAGAAUCUUAACCAUCAGGUGAGACCUGUUUUGAAUUAAAUUAUAAAAUUUAAGCCACUGAGAGCAAUUAUUUUAAUUAGUUAAUGACAACCUUAACCAUCAAAUCCUCUUCGACUUGCAAUUUUUUUCCUCAGAAAACAAUAUCAACAUUAUGAAUUUUGAUAAUUGGAACUAAUUUCUAAUUUUCGAACAUUGGUUAAUUUUAAAAAUGUUGAAUAGAUUAAAGUGAAAAUUAGCUUUCAUUGCAUUAAAAUUAGCUAAUAAAAAGUAACGAAACUCAUAGCCUUCAAAAAGUUAAACAAAAUUAAAUUCUUGGUUUCUAAUCUAGAGCACGAUUGAAACUCAAUCAAUGGAAAAUUGGAAGAAAAAACAAUUAAUGUAAAUAAAAACUUAAACUUUUGAAAGUAAAUACCUUUUUUGAGAGGGAAAAGAUUUGAUUUUUUUUUUGUUCAAUCACUUGAAUCUGAUUGGUGAAUUUCCAUUUCCGUUUUAUGAAAUUUCCCUUUUUCUUUGAUUCCAAACUUUCAAUUGUUUAUUAUGAGCUUUUUUUAGGGUAUAUAAUGCAAUAUUUUGUAAUUCCAUUUUGCUAUGCAUUUUAAGCUUAUAUUCAUUUCACCACCGUGGAGAAUGAUAUUUUCAAACUAUGGCAGAAAUCUUAUAGAUUUCUAUGCAACUAAAACCAAACAUAAACUGAACAAACCAGGCAAUGGCUAACAUCUCAAACAUAUAAUCCAAACAAUAAUGGUAAUAUUAAGAAGCUCACAACUAAAAAUUCCUAUUACAUCUUACACAUUUAUGUUCUCCCUCUCCAUCCAUCUUUAUAUUCAAUAUCCAUUUCAUGCAUAUCCUUCUUCAUAUUCUGUAUUCAUUUGAUGCAUUUCUCGUUGGUUGAUGUAUUACAUAUUUCUCAACCUCUUGUAUUCCAUUGUGUUAGGGAUUGACCCGAUUAAGCAACAAGUAACAAAAAUAGCGGAAUAAAUUGAGAAAUUGAACACACAAAUUUAACGUGAAAAAACCCCUCCAAAGAGGAUAAAAAACCACAGGCAAAGAAAAUUUUACUAUAAUGGCAAAAGAACGAAGAGUACAAAAAAUAGAGAUAAAAUUAAACCCCAAAAACCCGAAAACAAAGAACCCUCAAAACGUAAACACAAAAUUCUCUAAAUGUGUUAUGAGUUCUAAUCUCUAAUGGGUGUUUUUACUAAGGUUGUAAAAGAGCCUAUUUAUAGGCUAAAUUCAUAUGUCAAAUAAUAAUAAAAUAGUCUAAACUAAUCAGUGUUUGACUGAAACAAAUAAACAAAGUUUAACUAAAAGAUUAUUUCUCAAAUUUGACUGAAAAUAGGAGUCAUACUUAACACAUUGGUAUCCAUUUUUAGUUGCGUUUGGACAAAAAAUGCAACUAAAAAUCGAGCAUUAGCUGCGCUUUAUGGAAAACGCCGCUAAAGAUCGAGCAUUUGCGGUGCUUUCCAGAACACGCCGCUGAAAAUGAGCAUCAGCAGCAUUUUUCCAAAAAACGCCGCAAAAGACCUAAGCCCAACGGCGUUGUUUUCUGACCUUUCAGGGCUUUAGUGGCGUUUUUGAAGAAGCGCCGCUAAUGCUCGGGGCUUUAGUGGCAUUUUUGAAGAAGCGCUAAUGCUCGGUGCUUUAGCGGCGUUUUUGAAAAAGCUCUGCUAGUUCUCGGGCCUUUAGCGGCACUUUUGAAAAUUCAAUUUAUUUUUAAUUGACUAUUUAAAAUCUUCAAAAAAAAUAAUGACACGUAGGAAUAAUUUGAAAUAAAAAAACAUAGAAAAAUAUUUGUUAAAAAUGGAAAAAUUAAAAUACUAUUAUUUAAAAUAAUUUUAAAGUUUUUUGGGUACAUUACUGAUUUUUUUAAUUUAUAUAUUAAAUAAUUUCUUAUAUAAUCGUAAAAGAGAUAGUAUUAAUUUUAAAAUAUUAAAUUAAUUAUUAUUAUAGUUUAGGGUUUAAGGUUUAGGGUAUAAAGAUUAAGGGUUUAGGAUUUUGAUUAAUUAGCUUUUUUUGCGGCGCUUGUUAAAGCGCCACUAAUACUUUUAGUGGCACUUAAAAGCGCAGUUAAAGGCCUAAAAUAAUGCCGUUAAAAGUCUAUUUUGCUACAGUGACACGUGGAUCCACCUAUACGGUCCGACAAGUUGCGGACAUAGUUUUUCGACUUAUAGGAGCAUCUCCACAAAUUUCAUGCAGUAAACACAGAAGAACUAGAGUUCUACUACUCGGGGGGAUGUUUAUUUGCUAUGGAAGACUGAGGCCAUCCCAUACCUUUGGAACUCCCCAAAAUUGUUCCAACUUAUUUUACAGCCUAUGCAGUAGUGGAUCCGAUACCAUAGAAUUUCCAUAGCCAGCUUUACCAUAAUUGUCUCAUGUAUGUUUAAAAAUGUUUAAUGUAAUAUCUGAAUUAUCAAUAUGUGUUUUAUUACAGUACUCUAAAUUAUCAUAUGCGUUUUAUUGAGCUAGUGCUUAUUUUGAGACUCAAGUAUUUAUGUCAUAGUUUAAAAUAAUCCAAUUAAUAUUACAUAUUUUCAAAAUGUUUUUUUAUCUUUAUACAAUCCGAUCAACAAAUUUGAAUGAUUUAAACUCAAAAUUAUUCGAUUUUGAAAUAACAUUAAUCUGAAUAGAGAUUUAAAAUUACCCAAACCCAAUCCCAUAACAUUCAAUAUCUAUAUUACUGAGUCAUUAAGAUGUAAUGUAGUAGUUUAUACUUCUGAGUUUGGUUUCUCAAGAAUUAGAUUUAUCCAUAAUCGAAUUGGAUUGAGAUUAUCUCGAGUUUUCCUAACCUAACCAAUGCCACAUUUAUUAAAAGUAUAUAAUCAUGUUUUAAAGUAGAAAAAAAUGAUUUUAUUCUUUGCAUCUUUGUUUUGAUUUGUAAGAAACUUGCAAGUAUAACUAUGCCAUUUUGGAAGGACAAUCAGAGUGCUUAUGGAGCAAAUCUUAACAAUAAAGCAAAGACGCAUUUAAUACAUUAAUUUUAUUCUUUUGGUGACAGCGAUGUUUAAUUUUUAAGAGUUAUUAAAACUCUUUAUUUGCAACCCAAUGGUUAUCUGAAAUCGAAUUAAAUUUCUUUUUAUUUAAUAUAUAAUUAAUUUUAAUUUUUUAUUAUAACAAUAAAUAUUAUUUGUUUAAAAUAGUAUAAAUAACUUAAAAAUUCUUGUAAAAUUAUUUUUUUUUGCAAAUAUUUAUUAAAAGGGCUUUCAAAUUUGUCAAAUAAUAUUAAAAAAAAGCAUAAAACAAAGUCAAUUUUGUUAAAAUAAGUCUAAAAAUCUAAAAUAAAAAUUUGGUAUGAAAAAAUUAACAACUCUUCAUAAAUUCUAUUUAUGCCCCCAAAAAUGAUACAAAUUUGAUUUAUUCUCUAAAAAUUUAUAUAGAUAUAAGUUAUUAAAAUUGUGAAAUUGCAUCUUUACUAUCAUAAACAUAUAUAAUUUUAUCCCCAAAAUAAAACUUUCCUAGCUUCACCCCUGAUCGGCAAUGCUAAUAUAAGUUUGUUACAAAAGAUUGGCAUUAUAGUGGAAUUGGAGCUAACAAAAAAAAGAUUAACAAUGUUAAGGUUUCUUUAAAUUUAGGUCAGAAUUUUUAUUAGAAUAAAAUAUUAAGGGCAAAUUACUCAUAAAAGUCCUAUUUUUUUAAAAUUUACCGAAAUGGGCCCGGUAUUUUAUUAUUUACCGGAAUGGGUCAUUUUUCCCGAAAUCGAGUCCACGUCAGCGCGAUGUCAGGGGAUGUGUCAGCAAAUCGCGUCCACGUCAGCGCGAUUACUUACGUGGCAACAAAUCGCGUCCACAUAAGCGCGAUUUGCUGACGUGGAAGCAAUAAUUCAUGAACAGUUGAUGUUUUUUAGCUUGGAAAACUUUGAAAGGCCAUAACUUUUGACUCGGUUGUCCGAUUGAGACGAUUCAUUAAAAUACAUUAACAUUACCUAAAGAGGAAUGGGAGGGAGAAAUAAGCCAAAAUAUUGCAAGAGCAGACAGAAUAUAGAAGACCAACGGUUGAAGAUAAGCCAUUGUUUUAGUGGUAGCUUCUGCACAAUGUUAAACCCCCAUUAUGCAAGGGUUUUUAUGGUUGAGAAUUGGGAUGAUCAUUAUUGUUUUCUAUCACUUUCAGAAACCAUGUGACGUUAGCAUCCCGAAAAGAACUAUUAUAGACCACUUUAAAAAAUUAUUUACAUGAAGAUUGUUUAUUUAUGUAUGAGGUUCUUGCUUUUUCUAAUUUUACUUUGGAAAUUACAAAAAUAAUCAACAUUGUAGUUAUAUCUAAUACUAGUUUCAAUCACAUGUAAUAAGUUUCAAGUUAAUCAAAUAAGUCCUUAAUUUUUCUUAACAUGGCUUUCGAUGUGUCUGUUUCAAUCUGUAUAAAUAUGGUGAAUCAACUUCACAAGUAAUUGCUUAUAACAAUUGAUAUAUAUGUAUAUAUAUGAACUUAACCAAACAUCGUCAAAGUUGUUGGAAUUUUGGUUUCUUUAAAAUUUUAGUAGGGUUUAAAUCUUGAUUAAGAGUAUGGUAAUUAAUGGUUAGAGGAGAAAAUGAAAUGAUUUGUUUUUAUAAGUACUGUUAGUCUUUCACAUGAAAUAGUGUAAGAAUCUCAAUUUAAUCAAAGUCUCUAGAUUAUAAGGUAGCAUUGGUUGGCUGGUAUUUUCAUGCGUAAAAAUAUAUUCAUUUUUGUUAAAUUGUGAUUUUUCCUACACUUUUAUGUGAUUCACGCUAGCAGGUAAAUUCUUUCGUCUGUUGAGUAAAUUAAAUUAUCAAAGGUGUUCAAAGUCAAAUAUUAACUUAGAUGUUGCAAUAAUUAAUGCAAAAGAGAGAUUAUGAGUGAUUGUCGGAGAUCAUACCAUAGGUAGAAAGGGAGGAAACAGUGGGACACUUGAUCCAUUUAUCAAAUCCUUGCUAUCUCAACUCAGCCAUUAAGAUGUAAUGUAGUAGUUUAUACUUCUGAUUUUGGUUUCUCAAGAAUUAAAUUUAUUAUCAAAAUUAGAUUUAUCCAUAAUCGAAUUGGAUUGAGAUUAUCUCAAGUUUUCCUAACGUAACCAAUGCCACAUUUAUUAAAGUAUAUAAUCAUGUUUUAAAGUAGAAAAAAAUGAUUUUACAAAACACACUAGUUUUUAUAAGAGAAGAUUAGAAAGGAACAUAGCGUUGUGAUUUGUGAUAGGAAAGAAAUGAUAAAACUUUGAUUUAAUUCUCUAAAAAUUAUAAAGAUAUAAGUUCCUGAAAUAGUAAAAUUGCAUUUUAACUAUCGUAAAAUUAUACAAUUUAAUCUCCCCAAAAUGAAAUUUUCCUAACUUCAUCCCUAAUUGACAAUACUAAUUUAAAUUUACUCCUAAGUCGUAUUUUUAGAUCCAUCACUAUGCACACAAAAUUUUCAUCACCCAAGCUUCGGGUAGUUGAAAGCUCCUCCUUUGCAUCUUUGUUUUGAUUUGUAAGACACUUGCAAGUAUAACUAUGUCAUUUUGGAAGGACAAUCAGAGUGCUUAUGGAGCAAAAACCUUAACAAUAUAGCAAAGAAGCAUUUAAUACAUUAAUUUUAUUCUUUUGGUUACAGCGAUGUUUAAUUUUGUAGAGUUAUUAAAACUCUUUAUUUGCAGCCCAAUGGUUAAUUUCUUUUUAUUUAGGGUAAACUAAAAAAAUAGUCAUUUUUGUUUAUCUCAGAUUACAUUUUAGUCACUUAUAUUUGAAAUGUUACAUUUUAGUCACUUAUGUUAUCGUUUUGUUACGAAGCAGUCACACUACCGUUAAAAUCCGUUACCUCCCUAACGGAAGUCCUACGUGGCAAUCCAAAUGGGUUUUAAAUGCCAACUUGGAUGUCUAGUUGUUGGGAUGAACAUAUGUUUUUAAUUAAAUAAAAUUCAAUUUGGACUGUCACGUAGGACAUUCAAGUUGACAAUUAAAACCCAUUUUGACUGCCACGUAGGACUGCCGUUAGGGAGGUAACGAAGCUUAACGAUAGAGUGAUCACUUCGUAACAAAACGAUAACGUAAGUGACUAAAACGUAACAUUUCAAACAUAAGUGACUAAAAUGUAAUUUGAGACAAACAAAAGUGACUAUUUUUGCAGUUUACCCUUUUAUUUAAUAUAUAAUUAAUUUUAAUUUUUAUUAUAAAAAUAAAUAUUAUUUGUUAAAAAUAGUAUAAAUAACUUAAAAAUUCUUGUAAAAUCAUUAAUUUUUUUGCAAAUAUUUAUGAAAGGGGCUUUCAAAUUUGUCAAAUAAUAAUAAUAAAAAGCAUAAAACAAAGUCAAUUUUGUUAAAAUAAGUCUAAAAAUCUAAAAUAAAAAAUUAAUAUGAAAAAAUUAACAACUCUUCAUAAAUUCUAUUUAUGCCCCCAAAAAUGAUACAAAUUUGAUUUAUUCUCUAAAAAUUUAUAUAGAUGUAAGUUAUUAAAAUUGUGAAAUUGUAUCUUUACUAUCAUAAUAAUAUAUGAUUUUAUCCCCUAAAUAAAACUUUCCUAGCUUCACCCCCGACAAUGCUAAUAUAAGUUUGUUACAAAAAAUUGGCAUUACAGUGGAAUUGGAGCUAACAAAAAAAAAACAAUGUUAAUGUUUCUUUAAAUUUAGGUCAUAAUUUUAAUUAGAAUAAAAUAUUAAGACUAAAUAAUGACAUUAUAAACGUUGAAGCACCAAAUUAUAAAAGAAGUAUAAACGUUGAAAUCGGGUCUUUAGAUAGAGAAACAAGAUAUAUAAAUUGUGGAUCAGUUUCAUAUAUAGGGUUGCUUGAGAAAGAGCAUACAUAGAAGCAAGGUGUAGUUGAUGACUUAAUGAUAUGGUAACUCCAAAUCCAUGUCCAUUGUAAUCGGUGGAAUUCAUCUUUGUUUAGCUACUUUUUAGCUAUUUGUUUGGGUAUAAAUUGUUGAGAAAUGUCUUCGUUUGGGGUUCAAGUUUAAUGGAAACUCAAGUGAAGUACAUGUGGGUUAUUGUGUUUAUUGUGACUCAAUAAAUAUUGGGUUAGUACCGUGAUUUAUUUCUCACAUUUUACUACGUACAAAAUCGUGCUACAUUUUACCCGAUACAUUAAAAAUGAUGUUUUAAACAAGUAAUAUUUCGUAUUUUAAAAUUCGAAAAGUCGUUCUCUAACUUACGGGGUUUGGACUUUCUAAAAAAAUCCUUUAUCAACUAUAGAAUUGACAGUAAACAAAUUCCUUUAUCACAACAAGGCUUUGAGUCUCCAAAUUAUAAUGUAGAAUUGGUUAGCUGGUAUUUUCAAGCAUCAAAAUAUAUCUAUUUUUGUUAUGAUUCACACCAGCUGACAGAAAGAUUAGCUUAGCAAGAUUCCUUGCUUUGUUGAGUAAAUUGAAAUUAUUGAAGGUGUUCAAGGUCAAAUAUUAACCUAAAUGUUACAAUAUUUAAUGCAAAAGGAACACUAUAAGUGAUUGUUGCAUAUCAUACCAUAGAUAAAAAGGAAUAAAACAGUGGGACAACCAACAAAGUCAAGACUUGAUUCAUUUAUCAAAUCCUUGCUAUCUCAGCUCAGCCAUCAAGAUGUAAUGUNNNNNNNNNNNNNNNNNNNNNNNNNNNNNNNNNNNNNNNNNNNNNNNNNNNNNNNNNNNNNNNNNNNNNNNNNNNNNNNNNNNNNNNUUUUUCUUUUUACAUAUAUAGAUAUUACAUGCAUGGAUGGUUGGGCUGAGACUGCUUUGCAAGCAGCUGGUUUAUGAUCACCUUAAUAAGCUUGACACACAUAUUUCACAAAAUUUUCAAAGUUUUGCAACCAUGGAAUAAAUAUUGAAGUUACUUGUCACAAAAUGCUACUUCACAAUCACACCAAGAGAGAGAAAUAAACAAACUCACUAGUCCGAGUGGCUGAUUAUUCGCCACCACCCAUGGCACAUAUUCUUGAGGUGGCUUCAGAUGUGCAGUCUCGUUAGCAUAUUGCAAGCAGAAGCUGCAUUUUAUUAAUUUGGAUAUUCAAUGUUAAUUAAAUACUAGGACAUGCAGCUAACCUUAUAUCCAAAUCCAGUAGUGUAGCAUUAAUUUGUUGAUUAUCUCCUCAUUCAAUCUCAGCUGUUCACUGCAAUUUUUCUAUUUAAAUAAUCGAAACAACAUAGCAUAGUUCAUUACAUGAAGAUUAGACUAAUCAGCCAAAGUGGAAGUAAAACAACAAGAUCCCGCACUCUAACCUACAUACAUACAUGUUUAUAUGGGUGAAAUAAAAAGAAGGCGAAGUGGAGGGGCAGUUGCAGAAAGUAAUAAGAGUGAGGUGAGAAGGGAUGGGAAGGGAAGGUCAUGAUGACUAAUCAUAAAUAGGUUCAGAUGGGGCUUUGCUCCUUUCUCUCCGUGUCUCAGCUCAAUCAAAUGCCUGCGAAACCAUUACAACCAAAUUCAGCCAAAUACAUAAAAAGCAAAUUGAGCAAACCUUACCAAUGUAGCAAAGAGGCGUAAGAGCCAAACAUUUAAUGCAUGAAAGCUACUUCAAUUUUGCUAAUCAUUUUUAUUAAAUUGUUAUUCAUAAAAUUUUUUAUUGCUUGCCAGAUACAUAGCACAAUUCUAUGACAUUGGUCGGCUCUUAAAUUGGCAGUAAAUAAGUUGGAACAAUUUUGAGGUGUUCCAAGGAGUUGGAAUAAUCUCGGCCUUCCAUAAAAAUAUACCUCUCCCGAAGUAGUAGAACACUAUUUCUUCUGUGUUACAGAAAAUGGCGUUAUGGAGUUGGGAGUUGAAGCGCCAAAUUAUGAAAGAAACUAAAGGUCCGGGAUCAAAACUAAAAAUUAACUAAAAUUGAAAAUUGACUAUUUUUAUAUAGUUAAAGAGGGUCUCCAACUGAAAGCUAACCAUUAUUGUUAAGCAUUGGGGUGAUAGUUAACCACCAUAGUUUUUUGUCACUUUCAAUAAACCAUGUGACAAAUUUUCAAAGUCAUCAUCUCUAGAGAGCAAUUAUACAACACCUUAAAAAGGAAGACUUGAAAUUGGGUCUUUAGAAGGAGAAACAAGAUAUAUAAAACAACAAGCUUAAAUUGGGGAUCAGUUUCAUAUAUAAGGUUGCUUGUGAAAGAGUAUAAACAAGGUGUAAUUGAUGACUUCAUAAUCUGGUAACUCCAAAUCACUGUAAUCGGUGGAAUUCAUCUUUGUUUAGCUACUUUUCAGCUAUUUUGGGUAUAAAAUUUUUGAGAAAUGUCUUCGUUUGGGUUCAAAUUGUAGAUAAAGUAUAACUGAUUAUUGCAUUCAAGAAAUGGAAACUCAAGUGAAAUACAUGUGGGUUAUAGUAUUUCUUGUGAGUAUAAGCAUUGCAGGAUUCCAUGGAGUGGAUGUAACUCAUGAUUAUUAUGGUCCUGUGGGAAGCAUGACGUAGAGAAGGAAGCUCAGAAGCUGUCUCCAUGUACAUACGCAACCAAAUACCGAAGAGCUCCAGUUUCCAAGCGUUGCUGCGCUAUAAUAGAGAAAAAGCUUAGCAAUCCAGACUGUCUCUGUGCUAUUUUGCAAACUCGUAUGCUGGAGUGAGAAAUGAAAUCCAAGUGUAGCUAGUUUUCUCAAAUCAUAUUUGAUCUUUAAGAUAUCAUCCCUAUUAUUUAGGGAUGGCAAAACUCAAACCAUCAUUCAGAAUAGAGAGGAUUUUCUUUUGAAAGUGAAUGCAGAUUGAAUUUUAUAGUAGUUAAAGCAAUUAACACACAAGCUUGUAACACAAGGUAACUUGAAAAAAGUACCAUAAUUUCACUCACUCGAACGAAAUGGGAUCAUGGCAACAUGGAUUUGUGGCUGAUUCGAUGCUCAUGUUGUGGUGUUCAUCGGAUCUUCAUCUAUUUAAGAAUCUUAACCAUCAGGUGAGACCUGUUUUGGAUUAAGUUAUAAAAAUUAUGCCACUUACAGCAAUUAUUUUAAUUAGUUAAUGACAACCUUAAACAUCAAAUCCUCUUCGACUUGCAAUUUUUUUCCGCAGAAAACAAUAUCAACAUCUAAGCAAUCUUAUAGAUAUCUAACCAACAAAAACCAAAUAUAAACUGAACAAUUCUCCAAAUACAGAAACCAGGAAAUAGUUAACAUCUCAAACAUAUAACCCAAACAAUAACAGCAAUAUUAAGAAGCUCACAACAAAAAAUUCCUAUUACAUCUUACACAUAUAUGUUCUAGCUCCGCAUCCCUCUUCAUAUUCAGUAUCCAUUUCAUGCCUUCUUCAUAUUUAGUAUUCAUUUGAUGCAUCUCUCGCUGGUUGACGUAUUACAUGUUUCUCAAUAUUCUCUUGUAUUCCAUUGAUACGAACCAGGCUCUCUAAAUAUGCAUGAAGGGAGAUGGUGAACCGAAAAUGAUCUAGAUAAGUAUUAAUCUGAAGCUCCUUAAGCUCUUGGGUGCAGGCGUCAAAUAGGAGUACUUCAUCAUUUGUGUCUCUAAGAAACAAGUCACCAUUUUUUCCAAAUCCCAAUGGGCGUACAACUCCAGAAAUGGAUUUAAUAUUGAAUUGUUUAGUCCACACUCCUUCACUUGUAACCCAUAAAUCAAAAGACGUGUCAAUUCCUUCCGUUGGGUAAACAAUAGCACCAAGUGAUCCAUUAAACACCAAUAGAUUAACAUAGUAUUCUGGGAAAGACCCAACGAAUUCUGGGAUAGGUAAAAUUGAGAACUUCUCAUUCCCCAUGUCAAAUGAAAGAAUUAGUCCUCUAAAAUCAAGAUAUGCCCCUGUCUCUGUUUUCCAAUAGCAAAUUCCGUCUACAUAAUUAUUUCCCAAAGUUGUUUCAGUUGGUUUAUAAUCAGGACAUGGAAUUUCCUUCCAGGAAUUACUUCUAAGAGAAUACAACUCAACUUGGUCCAUAAAAUGAGGAUGUGGAUAUUGUUCUUCACUAUUAACAAAAGUAAGAGUAACAAAUCGUAUGACUUUGUAGUCAUCAGUUUUAGAAUCAAACCCAAAAGAAGCGUGGUCAAAAGAAACGUCAUCUAAAGUAAGGUAGGUUUCUUCGAAUGGUGAAAAAUAUGGAGGGCGUUGGAUUGAAGAUGGUGGAAGGAUUUUAAACUCUCUGGUUGAUGGGUUCCAAAUGGCAGCCUUAUCCUUUGAAGGAUCAAGUAAACACAACAAUCCAUGACAAGCACCAUAAACAGCCUUGUCCAACCCCAUCGUCGCCUUCCCUCUCACUUCUCACUGUCCCAACCCCCACCACUGCUCACUUCCCUCUCACUCCUCACCGUUUAUCUCAUUGGCAUCUCUUCUAACAUUUGUGGUGAGAUCAACAGUGAAGAGUGAGAGGGAAGGCAGCGACGACAGGGGUUGGAUACAAUGGCAACAGUAGCUAGAGGGGAAAAUAGAAAGAGGAGAAGAAAUAAAUUGAAAUAAAAUGAAAAAAAAAUAUGUUAAACAAUUUUGUUUAUAGAAGACUUCAUCUAUGAACUCGUGCUUAUGUGGCACGCCACAUAGGCUACUUUGUUGACCUGUGGUUUGACCGACGAUCAACUCACAUUUUUCGUUAAAAUUGGGUUGAUUUAUUAAAAAAUCAUACCAUUAAGGGUGUCAAUCAAAAAAAAAAAAGGUUAAUGGCUCAAACCCAAAAACUCAAAAAAAUUGAAGGUUUUUUUCAAAAAUUAUGCCAAAUUCUUUGUUAAAUUUUUUGGUUUGAUAUUCUUUGUUAAAUUUGUUAGUUUGAUAUUCUUUCAAAAGUACAUUAUAAUGCUUUUUUUUUUUUUUUUGUUAACCCAAGCCCAAACUUUUGAAAGCAAAUACUAUUUUGAGAGGGAAAAGAUUUGAUUUUUUUUUUGUUCAAUUGCUUGAAUCUGGUUGGAUAGUUUCUAUUUUCAUUUUAUUAACCAUUUAAAGAAAGAUAUUGAAUGUUAUGGGAUUAGGUUUAGGUUAUUUUAAAUCUAUAUUCGAAUUAGUGUUAUUUUAAAAUCGAAUCAUUUUGAGUUUAAAUCAUUCAAAUUUGUUAAUCGAAUUUUAAAGAUAAAAGAACAUAUUAAAAAUAUGUAAUAUUAAUUGGAUUAUUUUAAACCAUGACCUAAAUACUUGAGUCUCAAAGUAAGCCCUAGCUCAAUAAAACACAUAUGAUAGUUUAGAGUACCGUAAUAAAAUACAUAUUGAUAAUCAAGAUAUUACAUUAACAUUUGUAAACAUAUAUGAGACAAUUGUGGCAAAGCUAGCUAUGGAAAUUCUAUGGUAUCGGAUCCACUAUUGCACCGGCCGUAAAAUAAGUUGGAACAAUUUUGAGGCCUUCCAAAGAUAUAGGAUGGCCUUGGUCUUCCAUAACAAAUAAAAAACUCCCCGAGUAGUAGAACAUUAGUUCUUUUGUGUUUACUGCAUGAAAUUUGUGGAGAUGCUCCUAUAAAUCGGAAAACUGUAUCCGCAACUUACCGGACCGUAUAGGUGGAUCCAAGUGUGAGUCCCAUAGCUAAAUCCCAAAAUUCAUUAAAACAAAUAAGAGACAAUAAAGUAUAUUAAACACAAAUAGGAAUGUGAAGGGAAAAUAAAAAUAAAUUAUUUGAUAUACCUGAAUUUAAAUUUGUCCUAAGCUGUAUGGCCGAUUGGAAGUAUGACAGAGGAUGUUGUGCAAAGUCGGAACAUGUGCCAUGUUUAAUCCAUUCCUUGAACCAAAACUCAAAGUCUGACCCUGUCAAUACCAAGUCCGGCCAUAGUGUGGGCAGUUGGUUCCAAAGAGCUAUAUCACCACUCAACAAUUGCUUUUAAAUAAGAAACAAAAAAAUUGAUUAGAUUACAGAUAAAUUACUUAAUAGUUUCAAGCAAAGAAUGUACGUAUGCGUACUUGGAGUGGUGGCCGGGUUAGAAUAGGUUGUGGAUAGGUGCAAGGCUUCCUUGCAUUGUACGGGGGCACCGGCAUGUCAUGAGCGUCUUGCGCCCAAAUUCCAUGUAUUUUGAAUUCAGUUGGGAUUGGGAGUUUACAGUUGAGAGUAGAGCUGCAAACUGAGGGAGGCCAUUGAAAUGCCAGCUUAUAGAAGUCUACCACUGGAAUUACUGGCGGCUGGGGUACUGCAAAUGCUACCCAUAAUGCAAAAUGAUACAAUGCAUUUUUACAAAUUUACAAAUCAAAAGAGAACUACUCCAUAUAUAGAUAUUACAUGUAUAGAUGGUCGGGCUGAGAUUGGAUGAUUGUGCAUUGCAAGCAGCUGGUUUAUGAUCUCCUUUAUAAGCUUGGCACACAAAUUUCACGAAAUUUUCAAAGUCCUGCAACCAUGAAAUAAAAUAUUGAAGUUACUUGUCACAAAAUGUUACUUUACAGUCACACCAAGAGGGAGAAAUAAACAAACUCACUUGUCCGAGUGGCUGAUUAUUCACCACCACCCAUGGCACAUAUUCUUGAGGUGGCUUCAGAUGUGCAGUCUCGUUAGCAUAUUGCAGCAGAAGCUGCAUUUUAUUAAUUUGGAAAUUCAAUGUUAAUUAAAUACUAUGACAUGCAGCCAACCUUAUAUCCAAAUCCAGUAGUAUAGCAUUAAUUUGUUGAUUAUCUCCUCAUUCAAUCUCAGCUUUUCACUGCAAUUUUUCCACAGUGCUUCAACUGGCCCCGUUUUAAUCUUUGUUGCUCUGUGCUGCGAAUGAAUUCCUCAGUAGAGUAAUUAAACACGAGUUGGGGACAAGUACAAAUACUUUUGGCUAACAGAGUUUACCACAUAUGACGCAUAUUGUUAUCAUCCCUAAAAAACAACUAUACACCACCUUAAAAAAUGAUUUGCCUGAAGAUUGCAAAGAUAAUAAAAUUGUUUAUUUAUUUAUAUAUGUACGAAGGUCGCAGUUUACAGGCCCUCAGAUGAAAAGGAUUUAAAUUAAUCCCAAAGUUUUAAUGUACAAAAGAAAACAUGUGCAAAAGUAUCAAAGUUAAUGCCUAAGAAGUUGAUUUCAUGCAUGGUAAAUUAUUAAGAUAUAAAAUUGGACAUUAUUUAUAUAUAUAAAAGCCUUCCAUUGAAUGCCUAAAAAGCUCUUUGGUUUUUCAUGAAGUUAGAAACUGACUUGAGAAAUUCAUGGUUCCCUUCACUAAGUACCAACCACAACAGCAUCAAAACAAUUUAGAAGAAAUGGAUUUACGUACCAUAAUGUUAAUGUAGAAUUGUUUAGCUGUUACUUUCAUGCAUGAAAGCUGAUCCAAUUUUGCUAAUAUAUUUUUUGUUAAAUUGCGCGUUAUUAUUAACCCAUUGAAAGAAGCAAAAUAUUUUUAUUGAUCAGUACUCAAAUUAAAUUUAAUUUCCUUUCGCAACAUUCUGUCGAAAUAUAAUUUGUUGUCAUCAUCAUAUUGUAAAAUGAACCAGACACUAAAUUCAAUGCAUUUAAGGAAUAUAAAGAUGCAAGACAAGAAACUAGAUAUAAUCACAAGAUUUUGGCAGUUUUCAUUAAAAUUGUAGUCUUUUGUCAAUGUUUUCCACCAUAAUUGUGCGUUAUCAAUAAAAAUAAAAAUAAAAAGCACAAAAUCAAGGCAGGGCACAUUACUUGACUAACAUGCUACCAUUGUAGUCAAUAGAAACAAUAAUGAAGAUACAGAGCACACACAUCAAGGCUAACACAAACAGGUACAUUGUUGAAAAAUUUCCACUUAUCAAUGUUAAAGCUUUGAAUUUUACUGAUAACAUAAUAUUGUGUGCUUUUUUUUAGGAUAUAUAAUGCAAAACUUUGUAAUCCCUGUUAUGCAUUUUGAGGUUAUAUACAUUUCCCCACUUUUGAAGUUUAUUCAUACAUAAUGGUAUUUUCAAACUAUGGCAGAAAUCUUAUAGUUACACUAACCAAAUAAAAACAAACAUAAACUGAACAAUUCUCCAAAUCCACAAACCAGGCAAAGGUCAACAUCUCAAACAUAUAAUUCGAACAAUAAUAGCAAUAUUAAAAAGAUCACAACAAAAAAUUCCUAUUACAUCUUACACCUUUAUGUUAUGGUUCCUAUCCUUCUUCAUAUUUAAUAUUUAUUUGAUGCAUCUCCAGCUGAUCGACGUAUUAUAUGUUCUUCAGGCUCUUGUAUUCCAUUGAUACGAACCAAGCUCUCAACAUAAACAUGAAAAAAGAGAUGGAUAGCGGAAAAUGAUCUUGAUAAGUGAUAAUCUCAAGCUCCUUAAGUACUUGAGUGGACGGGUCAACUAGUAAUAUUUCUUUAUUUGAGCUUAUAAGAAUCAAUUUACCAUUUUCCCCAAACCCCAGUGGGUGUACAAAUGGAGGAAUAGAUUUAAUACUGAAUUGUUUAGUCCGAACUCCAUCAUUCGUAACCCAUAAAUCUAAACACGUGUAAGUUUCUUUCGAUAGGUAAAAAAUAACACUGAGUGAUACAUUAAACACCUAUAGGCUUGUAAUAGCCCAUUUUUGACCGGGCCAAAUAUAAAAAAAAAAGUUAACAAUCCCAGUCUAUUUACAACAAAUCAGACAGGCCCAAAGCCCUAACGGCCCAAUAUGGCCUAAAAACUAAACGAAAUCAGAAAACCCUAGGGUUCCCUCCCCUCUCGCGCCGCAGCUUCUUCCAUGUACGCCUUUGGUGUGCAUGACGCCCGAUGACGACUCCUUCACCGAAGUUGCACCGAAAUGGCAAUGGUUUCUACCCGUUGACUCCUCAUGACCUGUAAAAUAGACGAAAACAGUAGCCAAUAGACAGAAACAGAGACAGUAAAAGAAAAAGCAGUAUAAUCGGCUAUAAAGCCCGAACGAAAAUGUAAUCUUGUUACAGGCGGAUAGUUGAAUGAAAAAAGAGAACAAAAUAUCAAUCAAAAGAUCCCGAAGGUUUACUUCUACCAUUAGUUUAAUUUUUAUUUUAUUCUACUUUUUUUUUAGUUUUUACAUACGAAAAUAAAGCAAAAGGAAAAAAAGGGAAUAAUAAAACUAACCUGUAUUCGGGUUUUUAACGCUGUGGACGGCCGAGGGAGUCACCUCCAAGGAUAGGUGGCUGGAAACUGAAAAGUUUCUCGAGCUUUUGGGGUGUUUUUGUUAACAUUUUUGGAUUUUUGAACCCAAAUUCGGAUUUAGGAGAGUCUAAAGGAUAGGGCUAGGGUUUUUACCCCUUUUCAACAACCGCGGACGUCGUUCUGCCGAAGACCCGCGCAUGCAACCCGACUCGCCAGAGGAUCCGCGCGUUUUUAACUUUUGGGCUAUUUGCGUUUCAGGCCGUUUUGCAUUUUUUGUAUGUUUCAAUUUGGUCCUUUGCAUUUUUUCUUUAUAUUUUCAUUUGGACAGCAGAUUUGUCUCGGUUUUUAGUUUGGUCCUCGAUUCGUUGGACCCUUGGGGAGGAGAUGCAUGGCCUAAAAGCGGGUUUAUUAGUCAUUUGGCCCUCGCCCUUUCGUGCCCUCUUCAUUCUGGUCCCUCUUUGUUUAUUUUAUUAUAGCUUUGAUCCUUAAAUUUCAUUUUUAUCCUGAUUUAGUCCAUUUUUGUUAUUUUUUAUUUUCUUAUUAAUUAAUAUAGUAUUAUCAUACUUAUAUUUUUUAUAUUUAUUUAUGAAUUAUUAUUAUAUCAUUAUAUUAUACUAUUAGCAUUGUAUCAUUAUUAUUUAAAUAAGUUUAUCUUAUUAUUGAUUAUUAUUAUUUGCUUAUACAUAUCCUUUUAUUUCAAACUUUAUCAUAUAUAUACACAUACAUAUAUAUCUUUUAUAUUUUAUAGUUUUUUAAAAUAAGUAUACACAUACAUACAUUUCUUAUAGUAUAUAUAUAUACAUACAUAUUUUAUAAUUUAUAUAUUUAUACAUUNNNNNNNNNNNNNNNNNNNNNNNNNNNNNNNNNNNNNNNNNNNNNNNNNNNNNNNNNNNNNNNNNNNNNNNNNNNNNNNNNNAUGUAUAUAUACAUACAUAUGUUUUUUCAUAUAUUUUAAAAUAUACAUACACACAUUUUUAUAAUAUACAUACGCACAUAUAUUUUAUGUUUUAUAUAUUUAUACAUACAUAUGCAUUUUAUAUUCUAUAACUUUAAAAUAUAUAUACAUACAUAUAUUCUCUUUUAUAUAUACUUUAUAAUCUUAAAAUAUACGUAUACUUAUAUACAUUUUAUAAUACAUAUAUGUACGUAUAUUUUAUAAUUUAUAUAUACAUAUAUAUUUGUUACAUUAUAUAAUUUUAAAAUAUGUAUAUAUAUACACACAUUUUUUUUAUUUUUUUAUAGUUUUAUUUAUUUUAUUUAUUGUAUUUUUUGUUUUACUCGAUGUUUAUUUGUUUAUUUGCAUAUAUGUUCAUUAUUAUUUUAAAAGAAUGUCCUAAUUAUUCAUUUAUUUACUUGUUAUGGUAUAAUUGAUUUGCAUUUUCUAUUAUUUGCAUCAUCGUAUUCAUUAUUGUGUUGUUAUACACAUUAAUACUGUGUUUUAUUUCUACAAUUUCGAGUUAGAUUAAUUUAUCUCGAUGCAUAGAUUUUGACUUUCGAAUAAGCAAAAUUUCGUGUUUAGAUUCGAGAAGGUCGUACCCUAACUUAUGGGGUUUCGAUUUUCGCAAUAAAUCUAAAUACACGAAUCAUUUCAAACUAAAGUUUUCUUUUUUUUAUGAUCUUGAGAAUUAACAAAAGGUCGUGUCCUAACUUACAGGACACGAUCCUUUUUUAAACUCGAGAUAGUUGAAUAUAUUUUCAAAUAGGUAAAUUUUCCUGCGUUUAUUCUCGUAUCGGGAAUUUAAGAUAUUGUGUCAUAACUUACGGGAUAUAAUUUUCUUCCUCGAUUAACGUGAAAUAUGCCUUAUUCUCAAAAUUUUUAGCAUUUCAAUAAAGGAUCGUAUUUUAAAUCUCUUUAAAGUUUUCAAUUUUCGAGACUAAGACAUUAAUCAAUCAACUAGGUACCAAUUUUGGGCGUUACGAGGGUGCUAAUCCUUCCUCAUACGUAACCAACUCCCGAACUCGUUUUUCUGAAUUUCAUGGACUAAAAUCUUUGUUUUAAUAAAAUCAAAUUGUUUAUUAAAAACCACUUUUCAAGGUGGCCCGAUCACACAUUAUCAAAAAGGAUUGGUGGUGACUCCCAUAUUCGUUUUCAUUUUUAAAAUCCAAGUCGAUCGCGUUUUCAAAAAAAAUGUUCGAUAUCAUUCCUCAGGUCAAAUGAAAGAAUUAUUUCUCUAAAACCAUAAUAUUCCCCCAUUAUUGUUUGCCAAUAGCAAAUUCCAUCUAUGUAAUUAUUUCCCAAAAUUAUAUUAGUUGGUUUAUAAUUAAGAAAUGGAAUUUCCUUCCAGGAAUCACUUCUAAGUGAAUACAACUCAACUUGGAGAACAUUUGGGAACUCAAAAUCACAAUAUAUUUCUCCUACCUCACAAAUAUCAAAAGUAAGAGUAACAAAUUGUACGACUUUGUAGUCAUCAGUUUACAAUCAAACCCAAAAGCAAUGUGGUGAAAAGAAACGUCAUUUAAAAUGCGAUAACCUUUGAUGCAGGGAAGAUAUGAAGCGCGUUGGACUGAAGAUGGUGGAAGGAUUUUAAACUCUCUGGUUGAUGGGUUCCAAAUGGAAACCUUAUCCGUUGAAGAAUCAUGUAAACACAAUAAUCCAUGAGAAGCACCACAAACAGAGACUUCUUUCUUAAAAAGGGGCAGGUAAACGUCUUGUUUUACUAAAAAAUUAUUUUAUUCGGUUGAAAGUUGGAAGAUGUCACUAUCAUACCGCUUGAGAAGUAGAUUAAGGUUGGUGUUUUUAAGGUUGUUGUGGUGAUGUUUGGAAAUGAAAUGAGGAGUUUGAAAAAGAAGAACACCAAUACUUACAAACACAGUUGAAGUAAGGGAUUUAACUGGAAGCUUUGACAGAAUUUCCAUCUCAAAAGCUUUGGCAAUUCAAAUUGUAAAACCCAAAUUCUGCCCGGGCCCAUUAAAACCAAAUUAUAAUAAACCAAAUAUAAAAGCCCAUCUACACAACCCAAAAAAUCAAACCCAUUACAUCAAACCCAAUCCCCGGCCCAAAUAUCCAUUAACCCAAAUAGCCCAAUUACAUUAAAGCCCAAAAAAAUAGUUUUCAGAAACCCCUAGGGUUUCUGGAACAAUCCAAGCGCCGCUCCUGCCCUCCGCAGACACCAGCCUCUCGCCUCGGCCGCACGUACGCCUCCACCUCCAGGCUGGUUGUGUACUUGCAAAAAUUCAAACAACCAACAAAAGAAAGCACUAGAAAGCCGUGAUUAAAUACUAAAAUUACAUAUUUUAUGUAAUUAAUUUGGUAUAUUUAUGAGAAUGCACCACUAAUUUUGCCAUAUUUAUUGAAUUUUGUGCAGGAAUGUAAUUUGGGGCUAAAUAGAAGAAAAAGGAAACAAUUGGGCUGAAUUGAAGAAAGAAGCGAAAAAGGAGGGCCAAAGAUUAAUUAGCUGAAAUUUUUGAGUUAGUGGGAGAAUAUUUUGGGAUUUAUUUUAUUUUGGGAUAUUUUUUUCCUUAAUUUCCUAUGACUAGUUGGCUCCUAAUUUAGUAAAUCAACUAGUAUAAAUAGAGCUUGUAUUGCUCAUCAUUUCAUCAAUCAAAAAAUAAUUUAGCUUUUGUCUUUCAAUUCUCUCAUUUCUCACGUAGCCUUUGUUAUUUCUUAGCUUGUUUUCCUUCAAUUUUCAUUAGUUCCAGUAGCCUACCAUCCAUUUCACCUUUAUUUUCAACUUUUCACAAAUUUAUUUAUUGUCUUUAGUUUCUUUAACUUUUAAUUCCUAAAAACUUCCAGCUUUUACUACUUUCCAUUUACAAUACCUUUUUCAAAUUCCCUUUUUCAACCACCCCCACACUUAAUCACAUCACCCAUCUUUUCACCUCUUCUACCUUAUUUAAUUUAUCAAAUACCAACAUGUCCCAAACCUUAGCCAACUAAACCCAUUUUCAGCUUUAGGCCGAAAUUAGCCUCGUCAAAACCCGUGAGUUACGAACCCGAGCCAUUUAACUCCUAAAAUUCCAGUACUUAUUACUUCUCCGGAUUAAGAGUAUGAUUUUGUCAGCUCAUAAAUUCAGAUCAACACUAAGUCAAAAAAGACGUCGUUUGAUUUGGUGUGAUUAGACGUACAGUUGGAAUUUCGAAAAGAACGUUUCUAAUCGGUUUUCUGUGAACACAUUAGCGUGCCAAGUGGAGGCUGCUAUUUGGUUCCGUCAAGGGAAGUAGUAACCGGAUUUAAAUGUCCCACGCGGUUGAGGGCAUUGGUUCGAGCUAGGCUCUUCUAGAACGCAAAGCUGCCGGAGUUCUAAAUCACGAACGUUUCGUGGUUGUUCGAUCGGUAAGAAUUAUUUAUUAGACGUUCCAUAACUAAUUUACACAAGGAAGAGUUGGUGUCCGAGGCGUCCUUGGUAGCUAUAACUAGCUUAUUGGAAAAUAGCAGUUCAUCCAAUUUCGAGGAUCGGUUCAAAGACGAGGAAAAUUCGCGCCUAAAGCUGAGCUCAUUCUAAUUAAUUUUUCUUAAUAUUUAUUUCACAGUUAUUAUUAUUCUGUUUUCAACUUUUACUUUUGACAUUAUUUUUCUGUUAAUUUCAGGUUUUCAAAUUUUUAUCCCCCCAAACGUCUUGGGCACGACAGCUGCCCCGACAUAAAUCUGGUCAAACGAGCAACAAUUUACAGUAAACCAGUCUCUGAGGGAUCGACCCUACUCUCUAUACUGCAUAAUUUGCAACUUAAGGCGUAGGUUUAUAUUGGUGGAUUCGACACCCAUCAGUUUUGGCGCCGUUGCCGGGGACUAGCAACACUUACAAAUUGCUUAAAUUAUCUUCAUGACCAGAUCUUCAUCCGGAGAUCUCAGAGAUCGAAAAAUCAGCACGAGCACGACGUAAAGAGACGGAAGUUCUUAAGCGUGUAGCAGUAAUUGAACGUGGAAAACAAGUCGAAGUGGUUGAUCCUGAGACCGAACCACCUCCUACAACAAAAGAAGUAGAAGACAACCUCGGUGAACCAGAAAGGAUGGCACACCGAACCAUUCGUCAACUAGCUGCUGCUUCCAACGACCAAACACCGUUAUGCAUCAACUAUCCAAUCGGAAAAACCCCAUUCGAGUUGAAGUCAGGCCUGAUCCACCUUUUGCCCACUUUUCGAGGCUUGAAGAACGAAAAUCCACAUACCCACUUGAGAGAAUUCCACAUGGUCUGCUCAAGCAUGAAACCACAGGGAGUAACCAAAGAUGAAAUUAAACUUCGGGCAUUUCCUUUUUCUUUAGUUGAUACAGCAAAAGAAUGGUUAUUUUACUUACCUCCAGGUUCUAUUACAACGUGGGAUGACUUAUCUCGUGUUUUUCUUGACAGGUUUUUCCCAGCAUCGCGAGCAGCUGAACUUAGGAGAGACAUAGUGGGAAUUCGACAAAUGGAGAGCGAAUCGCUCUACGACUAUUGGGAGCGAUACAAAAAACUGUGUGCAAGUUGUCCUCAACACGGUUUGACCGAACAAUCACUUCUUCAAUAUUUCUACGAGGGUUUGCUCCCUAUGGAAAUGAAAAUGAUUGACGCUACUAGUGGAGGGGCGCUUGUCAAUAUGACUCCUCAAAGGGCAAGAGAACUGAUAUCCACUANNNNNNNNNNNNNNNNNNNNNNNNNNNNNNNNNNNNNNNNNNNNNNNNNNNNNNNNNNNNNNNNNNNNNNNNNNNNNNNNNNNNNNNNNNNNNNNNNNNNNNNNNNNNNNNNNNNNNNNNNNNNNNNNNNNNNNNNNNNNNNNNNNNNNNNNNNNNNNNNNNNNNNNNNNNNNNNNNNNNNNNNNNNNNNNNNNNNNNNNNNNNNNNNNNNNNNNNNNNNNNNNNNNNNNNNNNNNNNNNNNNNNNNNNNNNNNNNNNNNNNNNNNNNNNNNNNNNNNNNNNNNNNNNNNNNNNNGUGGAAGGAUCAUCCCAACUUUAAUUACGGAGCUAACCCCCGAUAUAAUCCGUCAUACCAACCGAGACCUUUGCAACCACCGCAACUGCCACCCAAGCCGAGCACAUCUCUAGAAGCUAUUGUGGAAAGACUUGCCGUCGAUGUUGCGAAGUACCAACAGAGGACAGACGCAUCAAUUCAGGAGUUAACUAAUCAAGUUAGUAAACUCUCGAUGGCGGUUAAUCGUUUGGAAUCUCAAGGUAAAUUACCUUCCCAGACAGAGCCGAAUCCUCGGCAGAAUGCAAGUGCAAUAACUCUUCGUAGCGGAAAAGUUCUGGAAACAGUUCCAGACAAAAGUCAUGGGCAAGAAAACAAAUGGGAAAAACAGAUCUCUGAUCCAAAAGCCAGACCGGAGUCAGAAAUUCAAAAACCAGUUGUGGUGCCACCUCCUUUUCCAGGGAGACUCGCGAAGGAUAAGAAAGAAAAGGAGGAAAAAGAAAUCCUUGAAACGUUUAGGAAAGUGGAGGUGAAUAUCCCUUUGCUCGACGCUAUCAAGCAAAUCCCUCGUUAUGCAAAAUUUCUCAAGGAAUUGUGCACUAGCAAGAGGAAGUUAAUAGGUAACGAAAGAGUAAAUGUAGGAGAAAAUGUCUCCGCGGUACUACAAAAGAAAGUUCUGCCUAAAUACAAGGACCAAGGUAUGUUUUCUAUUUCCUGUGAGAUAGGUAAUGUAGGCAUUAAGAAAGCCAUGUGCGAUUUAGGGGCUUCCAUUAAUGUUAUGCCUUAUCCUAUUUAUAAGUUGAUUGACGCGGGUCCUUUGAAAAAGACAGGAGUAAUAAUCCAGUUGGCGAGCAGGUCAGUCAUCUAUCCCGAAGGGUUGCUUGAAGACGUCCUUGUUAAAGUUAACGANNNNNNNNNNNNNNNNNNNNNNNNNNNNNNNNNNNNNNNNNNNNNNNNNNNNNNNNNNNNNNNNNNNNNNNNNNNNNNNNNNNNNNNNNNNNNNNNNNNNGGAAGGCCAUUUUUAAGUACCGCAAGUGCAAAAAUUGAUGUUCAGAGUGGAACAUUGACAAUGGAGUUUGAUGGCGAAAUCAUGAAAUUCAAUGUCUACGAAGCCAUGAGUCAUCCUAACUCAUUGUCAAAUAUUUCCAGUAUCGAUAGUAUAGAUUGUUUAACUCAAAAUUAUUCUGAAUAUCAUGACUUUGAUGAAUUGGAAACUGUCUUUUACAGAAGCAUUGACAUGGAUGUAUUGAGUCGUCUCGAGGAGUUAGAAGUUAUAGAAGAUCCGUUGCGAGAAAUUGUCAAACACUUGGAGACUCAACCAUCGUCGACGAGUUGAGGUAACCAUCUUGAACUAUUACCUUCCCAAGUUAAAAUGUUGCCUUCGAUUUUGCAGCCACAACCUUGGAGCUCAAAGCGUUACCAGACCACCUCAAGUAUGUUUUUUUGGGAGAGAAAGACACCCUACCGGUAAUAGUGUCAAACAGACUAACCAAAGACGAGGAGGAAAGUCUAGUUCGAGUUCUGAAGGAAUAUAAGGAAGCUAUUGGUUGGACAAUAGCUGACAUAAAAGGGCUAAGUCCAUCCACCUGUAUGCACAGAAUUUCCAUCGAAGAUAACACGAAACCAAAGAGAGAUGCUCAGAGGCACCUUAAUCCACCCAUGACGGAGGUAGUAAAGAAGGAGAUCCAGNNNNNNNNNNNNNNNNNNNNNNNNNNNNNNNNNNNNNNNNNNNNNNNNNNNNNNNNNNNNNNNNNNNNNNNNNNNNNNNNNNNNNNNNNNNNNNNNNNNNAUGUUGGAUGCUGGAAUGAUAUACCCGAUCUGUGACAGUGAUUGGGUUAGCCCAGUUCAUGUCGUGCCCAAGAAAACUGGCGUGACAGUGGUGCAAAAUUCAUUAGGAGAGCUAGUUCCUACCCGAGUCCAGAAUGGAUGGAGGGUUUGCAUCGAUUACAGGAAGUUGAACGCAGCUACCCGAAAAGACCAUUUUCCACUUCCCUUCAUCGAUCAAAUGCUCGAGCGAUUAGCUGGUAAGACUCAUUAUUGUUGUCUCGAUGGAUAUUCAGGAUUUUUCCAAAUUCCGGUGGCGCCUGAGGAUCAAGACAAAACAACUUUUACGUGCCCCUUUGCAACAUUUGCGUAUAGACGAAUGCCGUUUGGACUCUGUAAUGCUCCGGCCACCUUCCAGAGAUGUAUGGUAAGCAUAUUCUCCGAUUACAUCGAGAAAAUCAUUGAAGUCUUCAUGGAUGACUUCACGGUGUACGGUAACUCUUUUAAUGAAUGUCUCGAUAAUCUUGCUAAGAUAUUACAAAGAUGCCUAGAAUUUAAUCUUGUUUUAAAUUAUGAAAAAUGCCAUUUCAUGGUUGACAAAGGACUAGUUUUAGGUCAUAUAGUUUCCUCAGAAGGUAUUGAGGUCGAUAAAGCAAAAACAGAUAUUAUUAACUCAUUACCUUACCCCACAUCUGUGAGGGAAAUUCGUUCGUUUCUUGGACAUGCAGGAUUUUACAGACGAUUCAUAAAAGACUUCUCGAAGAUCGCGCAACCGCUCUGCAGUCUGUUACAGAAGGAUAAAGAAUUUAAAUUUGAGCAGACUUGUAAAGAUGCAUUUGAUGUACUGAAGCAGAAAUUGGUCUCCGCCCCCAUAGUGCAACCACCGAAUUGGAACUUCCCGUUUGAAAUCAUGUGUGAUGCAAGUGAUCGAAGUGUGGGAGCUGUUCUUGGCCAAAGAAUAGGGAAAGAGCCUCAUGUUAUCUACUACACUUCGAAAACUUUGGAUGCUACCCAAAGCAAUUACACAACCACUGAGAAAGAAUUAUUAGCUGUUGUGUUUGCUUUAGAUAAAUUUAGGUCUUACCUGAUGGGAACUAAAGUGAUUAUUUUUUCUGAUCAUGCAGCUUUGAAAUAUUUGAUAGGGAAGAAGGAGGCAAAACCUCGACUAAUUAGGUGGAUUCUACUUCUGCAAGAAUUUGAUUUUGAAAUCCGGGAUAAGAAGGGAUGCGAAAACUUAGUAGCCGACCAUCUGAGUCGAUUACCGAUUCCGACAGAUGACACACCAUUGAAAGACAACUUCCCAGAUGAAAACCUGUUUUCAGCAAAUGCGGUUCAUCCUUGGUACGCAGAUAUAGUAAAUUAUCUCGUCACAGGUACUAUACCUUCAGAAUUACCAAGGUCCAGAAAAGAUAAGAUUAAAAAAGAUGCUCGAUAUUACAUUUGGGACGAUCCUUACCUAUGGAAGCAUUGCUCCGAUCAGGUAAUUCGACGGUGUGUAGCAGAAACAGAGGUACAGUCUAUCUUAACUUUUUGCCAUUCUUAUGCAUGUGGAGGACACUUUGGACCUAAACGCACCGCACAUAAAAUUCUCGAGUGUGGACUAUUUUGGCCAAGUAUAUUUCGUGACGCCUUCUUAUUUUGUAAAACCUGUGAAAAAUGCCAAAAAGUCGGUAAUCUUAGCCGUCGAAAUGAGAUGCCCCUUACUCCCAUCCAUAUUUGUAAAAUUUUCGAUGUGUGGGGCAUCGAUUUUAUGGGUCCUUUUAUUUAUUCUUUUGGAAAUUUUUAUAUACUCUUAGCUGUUGAUUACGUUUCUAAGUGGAUAGAAGCAAAGGCUACUCGUAAUGAUAAUGCUAAAACUGUGGUUGACUUUCUUAAAAGUUCUAUCUUUUCCAGGUAUGGCACCCCACGAGCAUUAAUCAGUGAUAGAGGAACCCAUUUUUGCAAUAAGCUCGUAAGUGCACUUAUGGAGAAGUACGGAGUGACUCAACGAAUUUCUACCGCCUACCAUCCACAGACAAACGGACAAGCUGAAGUGUCAAAUCGAGAAAUCAAGUCCAUCUUGGAGAAGACUGUUAAACCAAACAGAAAGGAUUGGAGCUUGAGACUAAAUGACGCACUCUGGGCUUAUAGGACAGCUUACAAGGGACCAAUCGGCAUGUCACCUUAUCGACUCAUUUUUGGUAAACCGUGCCAUCUCCCGGUCGAAUUAGAGCAUAAAGCAUUUUAGGCAGUUAAGCAGUGUAAUAUGGAAAUGGAGACCGCAGGAAGAGCUCGAAAGUUGGACAUUCAGGAACUCGAGGAAAUUAGAAACGAUGCAUAUGAAAAUGCUCGAGUUUAUAAAGAAAAGACGAAGGCGUUCCACGAUAAGAGGAUCACUAGAAAGCAGUUUUCAAUAGGACAAAAAGUUCUCCUAUACGACUCCACCUUAAAAAUUUUUACGGGUAAGCUUCGAUCCAAAUUGAUAGGUCCAUUUACUAUCACUAAUCUAUUCUCAAAUGGUGCAGUGGAAAUUCAAAGCGAAGAAACCCGAAAGUGCUUUAAGGUGAAUGGUCAACGACUGAAACCCUUCUACGAGAAUUUUCAAAUACACACAGUUGAGGAGAUUGUUCUCGAAGAGCCCAAAACUUGAAUAACACAGGUCGUCGAGCUAAACGACGUUAAACAAAGCGCUGUUGGGAGACAACCCAAAUUUUCUUUUCCUUUAUGCAAAUAAAAUUUUUGGUAAAAUGGAAAAUGGAAAUGCAUGUCAAGGAUUAGUUCUGUCUAAGGAAAGACUUGGUACUUAAGUAUGUCCAUUGUGACUCACCUCUCUUUCCUGGGAACUUACUUGGUGCAUUUAUCACGACUGUUUUACCAAAUCUCGUAAUCUUGGUUUUUAAUAAUUUAUUUCUCGAGUUUAUAGCUUAGCUAAUAAAUUUGAAAAAAAACAUUUUAAUUUCCCUAUUAUUAUUAUUUAUUUUUACUAUUUUAUUUUUGCAGGAAAACAUUCCAAGACAAAAUUAAAUUCCACAUGUCAACCCACAAAAUUCUUUUUUCAGUUAAGGCCCACUCUACCUACGAGACCGCCCUCCAUGACGUUGAAAUACAUGGGGAGUUUCUUUUUCUCUCUUUCUCCUACUUAUCUUUACUUUUAUUUUUUAAAUUACAUUGGGACAAUGUAAAAUAAGUAGGGGGGAGGGAAACAUAAAUUGGUUCUAAUUUGCUUAUCUGUCGUCGCUAUUUUUGCAUGUUUUCGGUAAAAGGUAAAUUUUUCUUUUAAUUGGGAUGGUACACUUAUGGUUUGACCGAUUUAGCUAUUUAAUUCUUUACACAUGAAACUUUUCAAUAACCUAGACUUAGUAGGUAAGAAAUUUUUGGAAUUAUGAGUUUGCUUGAUUGCCUACCUUUUAUCAUAUGUUUUUAUUAUUUUUUCAAAAAAAAAAGAUUAAAUACUCCUCUGAUACAAAUGUUAAGAGUGAAAAUUUGGGUUGUAUAUCGAAUUAAGUAACCGGAAUGUGGUGCUUGGGUUGUCAUCACAUCUCGUGUAAAAAGGUUCAUGUGACUGUCCAAUUUAUUUGCACUCACUCCGCUGACAAGUUAUUAUGAGUAGGGCGAAAUAACCCGCUUAGAGACGUCCGAAUUGAGUAACCGGAACAUGGUGCUUGGGUUGUCAUCAUGUCUCGCGUCAAAAAAUUCGAUAAUGUCCUAAGUACAAAAAUAAAUAAAUAAAAUAAAAUGAAAGGUAAAUCUAUCAAGCUCUCAUAAAUUCUGAUAUAUAUUUACUUACUGCUUAGGCUAGGUUAUUUGAGUUGUUAAUGUGCUAGGAUUGAAUUGUUGAAUUGUGCAAACGAUGAGUAUCAAGUCCUAUUUUGGAGAAUUUUUUUCCUUUUGCAGAUACAUACAAAAUGCUCGAGGACUAGCAUAAGCUAAGUAGGGGGAAUUGAUUAAAUACUAAAAUUACAUAUUUUAUGUAAUUAAUUUGGUAUAUUUAUGAGAAUGCACCACUAAUUUUUCCAUAUUUAUUGAAUUUUGUGCAGGAAUGUAAUUUGGGGCUAAAUAGAAGAAAAAGGAAACAAUUGGGCUGAAUUGAAGAAAGAAGCGAAAAAGGAGGGCCAAAGAAGAAUUUUUCCAAGAUUAAUUAGCUGAAAUUUUUGAGUUAGUGGGAGAAUAUUUUGGGAUUUAUUUUAUUUUGGGAUAUUUUUUCCUUAAUUUCCUAUGACUAGUUGGCUCCUAAUUUAGUAAAUCAACUAGUAUAAAUAGAGCUUGUAUCGUUCAUCAUUUCAUCAAUUAAAAAAUAAUUUAGCUUUUGUCUUUCAAUUCUCUCCUUUCUCACGUAGCCUUUGUUAUUUCUUAGCUUGUUUUCCUUCAAUUUUCAUUAGUUCCAGUAGCCUACCAUCCAUUUCACCUUUAUUUUCAACUUUUCACAAAUUUAUUUAUUGUCUUUAGUUUCUUUAACUUUUAAUUCCUAAAAACUUCCAGCUUUUACUACUUUCCAUUUACAACACCUUUUUCAAAUUCCCUUUUUCAACCACCCCCACACUUAAUCACAUCACCCAUCUUUUCACCUCUUUUACCUUAUUUAAUUUAUCAAAUACCAACAUGUCCCAAACCUUAGCCAACUAAACCCAUUUUCAGCUUUAGGCCGAAAUUAGCCUCGUCAAAACCCGUGAGUUACGAACCCGAGCCAUUUAACUCCUAAAAUUCCAGUACUUAUUACUUCUCCGGAUUAAGAGUAUGAUUUUGUCAGCUCAUAANNNNNNNNNNNNNNNNNNNNNNNNNNNNNNNNNNNNNNNNNNNNNNNNNNNNNNNNNNNNNNNNNNNNNNNNNNNNNNNNNNNNNNNNNNNNNNNNNNNNCACUAAGUCAAAAAAGACGUCGUUUGAUUUGGUGUGAUUAGACGUACAGUUGGAAUUCUGAAAAGAACGUUUCUAAUCGGUUUUCUGUGAACACAUUAGCGUGCCAAGUGGAGGCUGCUGUUUGGUUCCGUCAAGGGAAGUAGUAACCGGAUUUAAAUGUCCCACGCGGUUGAGGGCAUUGGUUCGAGCUAGGCUCUUCUAGAACGCAAAGCUGCCGGAGUUCUAAAUCACGAACGUUUCGUGGUUGUUCGAUCGGUAAGAAUUAGUUAUUGGACGUUCCAUAACUAAUUUACACAAGGAAGAGUUGGUGUCCGAGGCGUCCUUGGUAGCUAUAACUAGCUUAUUGGAAAAGAGGAGUUCAUCCAAUUUCGAGGAUCGGUUCAAAGACGAGGAAAAUUCGCGCCUAAAGCUGAGGUCAUUCUAAUUAAUUUUUCUUAAUAUUUAUUUCACAGUUAUUAUUAUUCUGUUUUCAACUUUUACUUUUGACAUUAUUUUUCUGUUAAUUUCAGGUUUUCAAAUUUUUAUCCCCCCAAACGUCUUGGGCACGACAGCUGCCCCGACAUAAAUCUGGUCAAACGAGCAACAAUUUACAGUAAACCAGUCUCUGAGGGAUCGACCCUACUCUCUAUACUGCAUAAUUUGCAACUUAAGGCGUAGGUUUAUAUUGGUGGAUUCGACACCCAUCAAGCCGUAACAGAAUAUAACAAAUAAUAGAGAAAAUAUAAAAUAAAAAACAAAUAUUUUUUGUAUUUUGAUUCGACUAUAUAAAGCCGAAUUUUGCAUCUGUAAGAGGAUUUUUUUUUUGGAAUCAAUCAAAAAAGGAAAAAGUAUUCAAUACCAACAAUCAGAGAAUUUAAAAUACAAAAUAGAGAUCUAAGGUAGUCUUCUGCUAUUUUUUUCUUUCUUCGUUUUGAUUUGUUUUUUUAAAAUAACAUAGAAAAUAAAAAAAGGAAAGGAGACUUACCUAAUUGCCUUACGACGCAUCGUUGGAGGUGCCUCCCCCGCUGCCUUCAAAUCUGCUUCAAAAAGGAAUAAAAAGCCAAUUAUGGUGUGGCUCCGACCACCGUUCACGGUGGAAUCGCGGAGGAGGCACGGUGGACUGGCGACGGCUAAUGCUGGGUUUGAAACCCUAGCAGAGAAAAUGGAUGUUUUUUUUAAACAAAAUAGCAGAAUGUUUUUUUUAAAUUGUUGUUUUUAUAAAGGGUUUGAAACGGCGUCGUUUAGGCCUGUUAAGGUGGCCUCAAAACGGCGUCGUAUAAGCCAUGACCCACUCAGUGACCCGACCUGAAGAAAGGAUCCGCGUGUUUUGUCUCAAUGGUUUACUUGCGUUAAUUGGUCCCCCACUUUUGUAACGUGUUUAAAUUGAUCCUUUUAUGUUUCUUAAAUUUUGCCACAUAUUUCAUUGUUUGUUUCAAUUUGGUCCAUGCUGAAACGCAGCGUUUUGCGGCUGGGGAUAUUUUCCUCUGUAGUCCCCAUGUUCUUCGUGCGUGCCUUUUUGGUCCUCAAUUCUGCUUUAUUUUCAUUUUUUUUCUUUUUAUUUCAAAUUUAAUACAAUUUUAUCCAUACUUAUUUAAUUUAAUGUACUUGAUUUUUAUUCUAUUUAAAAUUCAUUUUUCUUUUAUUUUUAGAUAUAUUUAUUUUUAAAUCUAACUUUCUUUUUAUGUUUAAGUUUAAUAUAUUUUUAAUUUUAUUAUCAAUACGAUUUCAAUAUUAUAAUAUAUUAUUAUUUUAAACCUAUCAUUAAUAUUAUGUAAAUUCUGUUGGGAUUGGGGUUUUACAUCUCAGAGUAGAGCUGCAAACUGAUGGAGGCCAUUGAAGUGCCAGCUUGUAGAAGUCCGGAAUUGCUGGUUGCUGGGGUACUACAAAUGCUACCCAUAAUGAAAAAUUGAUACAAUGCAUUUUUACAAAUUUACAAAUAAAAAGAGAACUACUCCAUAUAUAAAUAUUACAUGCAUGGAUCGUUGGGCUGAGAUUGGAUGAUUGUACUUUGUGAGUAGCUGGUUUAUGAUCUCUUUUAUAAGCUUAGCACACAUAUUUCACAAAAUUUUUAAAGUCCUACAACCAUGAAAUAAAUAUUGAAGUUACUUAUCUCGAAGAGUUACUUCACAAUCACACCAAGAGAGAAAUAAACAAACUCACUUGUCUGAGUGGCUGAUUAUUCACCACCACCCAUGGCACAUAUUUGUUGGUGUUAAUAACAAAGAACAAACAAGUUGGCUGAGACUUGAGCAGCAAGGCUCGAUUCUUGCUGAAGAAAUAACAAAAUUUUCAAGACAGAAAAUUGAAAAGAAAAGUAAAGAACAAUGGAGAGUAUUUGAAACAAAAAACUGAUUGAAUUCAUUCAAUUUGAAAAAUGGCAUAAUGCCAAUACAUAAAUUAAGCACUGAGCUUGUCAAAAACAGAAAGUGGUCACCUAAUCAACACCUACUACCACUUAGACAUUGAAACUUGAAAAACAAAACUUGUAAACAUAGAUAAAGUUGAGUUUACAGCUCAUUCACCAUCUAAUUACAUCAAUCAUAAACCUAACUUAGUUUAAAAUGAACUAGAAUACAUUUCCUUAAACAAAAGUUACAAAAUGAACAAAAGAUCACCAGUUGCACUUGCUCCAAUAGCUUCUGCAUGGCUCGACCUGCAUGUCUUGUUUUUUUACUGCUCUUGGUGCUACAUGCUGACCAUAUUUCAACACUCCUCCUUGGUUAGCAUGUUGCAAACUCCAAUCUCUUUCUCAAAUGCUCGAACUUUGUCACACUAAGGGGCUUGGUUAAAAUGUCAGCAAGUUGAUCCUCUGAAUUGCAAUGAACCAGUUUCAUUUCUUGUGCUUGCUCCAUUUCUCUAACAACAUGAAGUUUAAUGUUGAAAUGUUUUGUUCUUCCAUGGAACACUGGGUUCUUUGCAAUUGCAACAGCGUACUGGUCUUCACAAAAGAUCUUUAUUGCUUCCCUUUGAUACACAUUUAAAUCAGCCAUUAUUUUCCUUAGCCAAUUGGCUUGGUUUACAACAUUUGAUGCUGCAACAUAUUCUACUUCAGCAGUAGAUUGUACAACUACUGUUUGUUUCUUCAAGCUCCAACAAAACAUAGCUGAACCAAGAUUGAAAGUAUACCCUGAGGUCUUUUCAUGUCAUCCAUCGAACAAGCCUAGUUACUAUCAGUAUAGCCAACCAACUUGAGGAAUUUAGCAUUUCUAUAUAUCAUUCCAUGGCUCAGUGUACCCUUGACAUACCUGAGCACUCUCUUUGCAGCUUGAAAGUGUCUCAUAUUGCUACAAUGCAAGAACCUUGAAAGCAAACUUACAGCAAACAUAAUGUCUGCCCUAGUGGCUGUUAGGUACAACAAGUAACCAACUAAGCUUCUGUAGAUUAUUUCAUAAACCUUCUCAAAAUCAUCAUGGCUCGAUAGUUUUUCUCCAACAGCAACUGGAGUAUUGGUUGCUUUGCUAUUUUGCAUUGAGAACUUGGUCAGAAUCUUAGAGGCAAAGGCUCUCUGACUUAGGAAUAUCCCAUUGUGUGUUUGUGUUACUUCCAUACCAAGAAAAUAGGUUAUCAUUCCUAGAUUAGACAUCUCAAAUAUUUGUUGCAUUUUGGUUUUGAAAUUAAUCAGUGUUGUUUGGUCUCCUCCUGUCACUAACAGGUCAUCAACAUACAGAGAUACAAUGAGUUGAGCCUAUGCCCCUUCUUUCUUAACAUAAAAAGUUAGCUCACUCUUGCUUCUUUUAAAUUUCAAGUUGACCAGGUAGCUAUCGAUCCUGCUAUACCAGGCCCUUUGAGCCUGUUUCAAGCCAUACAAGGCUUUCUUCAGUUUAUAAACCAAGUGUUCUUUACCAGCUAUUUCAAAGCCCUGAGGUUGUUCAACAUAGAUAUCCUCUUCAAGAAAUCCAUUGAGAAGGGCAGACUUCACAUCGAGCUGGUGGAUUUUCCAUUGCAUUUGUGCUGCUAAGGCAAUCAGCAACCUAAUGGUGUUGAGCCUGGCCACUACUGCAAAGGUCUCCAAGUAAUUCAAACCAUACUUCUGGCUAAACCCCUUAACAACCAGCCUUGGUUUCAGCUUAUUCAAGCUCCCAUCAGCAUUGUGCUUGGCUCGAUAGACCUAUUUUACCCCAAUAACCUUCCUAUUUGCUGGUCUUUGAAUCAGCUCCUAAGUCUGAUUCUUCUUAAUCAUGCUGAUUUUAUCAGCCAUUGCUUGUUUCUAGCCUAGGUGUACUUUAGCCUUUUCAAAGUAGCUUGGUUAUACUAUAACUACAUGAGCUCUUUCAUAAAUCUCAACCAAUGGUCUAGUGCCCCUGAUUGGUUCAUCAUCAAUGUCUAUUUCAGGACCAUUUUGAUCUGGCUCAGUUUGAUUUGCCAUUAGAUCUUUAGGAACUAUUUUUGGUUCAUUCUUCUCCCAGUUCCAACAUGUUUUCUCAUCGAACACCACAUCUCUUCUUACAGACACUUUGUUUGUUGAAGGAUCCAAGAUCCUAUAGCCCUUUUUGACUGUACUGUAGCCCACCAGAAUACCAGGUUGAGCUUUCUUGCCUAAUUUGUCCCUCUUCACUGCUGGGACAUGAGCAUAGCAUAUGCUACCAAAGACCCUUAGAUGAGCGAGUGAAGGUUUGAACCCGAACCAGGCUUCAAAUGGAGUCUUGUCAGCCAAGGCCUUGGUUGGAAGUCUGUUUUGGAUGUACACACAGUGUUGACUACCUCAGCCCAUAAGGUUUUGGGCAAAUUCUUCUCAAACAAUAGGCAUCUGGCCAUAUCCAUCAAGCUCCUAUUCUUCCUCUCAUUUACACCAUUCUGUUGAGGAGUAUAGGUGUUGGUGGGCUGGUGUUUGAUACCUACUUCAUCACUAAAAGCUUGGAACUGAGCUGAGGUGUAUUUAGUCCCAUUAUCGGACCUUAUGGUUUUUAGCUUGCAGCCAGUUUUAGUCUCUGUAGCAAUCUUGAAUUUGGAAAACACUGAGGCCACUUCUGAUUUCUGUUUCAAGAAGUAAAUCCAGCAAAACUUGAGAAAUCAUCAAUAAAUAGAAUAAAGUACCUGCUUCCAUUCAGUGACUCAGUCUUCAUGGGGCCACACAUAUCAUUGUGCACGAGCUGUAGCCUUUCUGAGGUUCUCCAGGCCUGAUUCGAGGGAAAUAGGAGUUUGGCCUAUUUUCCUAGCUGGCAUACUUCACAAACUUCCUAUUUUUCAACUGAACCAAUGAAAUUUUUAGCCAAAUCUUCUCUGGUCAGUUGCUCCAUCGAUCUAUAGUUGGCAUGACCAAGCCUUUGAUGCCAGAGCUUGGAUUCAUCUGAUGUGGCUAUAUAAGCAGUGUUUGAGCCAUUUGUCCAAUUAACAACAAAACUCUUAUCAUUCACAGUGAAUAUCAUGAACUUGGAUCCACUUGGAUCACUAAUUUGACACUCAUUGCGUUUGAACACUACAGAAUACCCUUUUUCUAAUAGCUGAGCAGGUUUCUAUUGAUUUCAGGCACCAACAACACAUUUAAAAUGAGCUCGUUGCCUGUAGGAGUGCAUAUCAAAACAUCUCCUCUACCUUUUGCCUUUAUAAAAUGGCCAUUGCCAACCUUUACCUUGGUUUUGUAGCUUUUGUCUAAUAAUUUGAAGAUGGCAGCAUCUGGUGUCAUAUGGUUGGUGCAACCAAUGUCUAAGAGCCAGCCAUUUGUAAGCUUCUCCUGAGCAGCUGAGCAUGACACAACAAAAACUUGCUCUUGUAAUAGCCUAGGCUCACAAAAAAAAACCCAAAAUAAUAAAACCAAGUCUAAGUCCAGUCCAAAAUUAUAUCAUUUGGCCCAAUCGAAAUGGCCUGUUACUUGAAAAUGUUGAAGGUCCAUCUACAAGCUUGAUGCAUAUGGAAACAUAAUCCUCGAGGAUAUGCAAUCUUAGAUAUGAUAUGCAAUCUUAUAAGAUAUGAUUUUGUAAUCUUAGAUAUUUAAUUUGUAGAUACCCUUUAAUCUUAGCCGUUGAUGUAAUUGACCUGUAGCGUUGGAUUUGGGGAGGAUCAACUAUAAAUAGGGGCCUCUCCUUCAUUGUAAAAACACUUAAGUUUGGAGCAAUAAUAAUUCUUAAGAACAUUCACUCAAAUUUCUCCCUCUCUUGCGUUCUUAUUUUCUAUGGCUUGUUCUUAAUUUGUUCUUCGUUCAUCUUCGUUUCUUUUUAAGUUGCUUUCAUUUGAGUUGGAUUUUGGUGGAGGAAUUUCGUUGAAUCUUCAUAUUGUGAGAGUUAGGCUGACUUAAACGUUUUUUUAACCUUUUUUAUUUAUCUAUUUAAUUGUUUAAUCAUUAAUUAUUCUUUUACUUUUAUUCGUUUAUUUUAUAUCUAUCAACUUUCUUAUUUACAUAUUGUUCAUUCAUUUAACCAUUCUUAUCUUUUUUUUUCUUCCAUUAAUUAUAUACUUUAUUUUUUUAAUAUUAUGUCACACAUGUUGUUUAUUUUUUAAAAACUCGUGUUAUAAAUUAUUCAUUUUAAAUUGUUUGAUUAUUUGCUUAAAUUUUUUUUCUCAUAUAUUAUCNNNNNNNNNNNNNNNNNNNNNNNNNNNNNNNNNNNNNNNNNNNNNNNNNNNNNNNNNNNNNNNNNNNNNNNNNNNNNNNNNNNNNNNNNNNNNNNNNNNNUUUAUUUUUAAACUCAUUUAUAUAUUAUUACUUUAUAUAUUACCUAUUUUCAUUUUUUAUAUAUUAUUUAUUCCAAACUUAUACAUAUAUUACCUACUUUUUUAUAUAUAUAAUUUAUUUAUUGAUUUGUAUAUUGUUGAUUUCAAAUUUCUUUUUCCCUUAUUAUUCAUUUUCAAAUUCAUUAUUUUUAAAUUUGUUUACAUUUUAUUUUGCCUUAUAUAUAUAUAUAUAUAUAUAUUAUUUUAUACUCUUUGUUUUAAAUUCAUUGGUCUAUGAUUAUUGAUGCUAGUAUUUAAAUAAUUGCCAUUAUGUGUUUUAUAAAUUAUUUUUUUGUAUUUUCAUAUUGCCUUUUUUAUCAAAGUUUUUACGCAUCGUUUUAAUAUUGCAUCAAUUUUUUCCAAUUUUAGAAAAGAAAACUUUUUGAAAUAAGGUAAUAUUUGAUACUUUGGAGCUUUGAGAAAAUCGUACCCUAACUUACUGGGUUUCAAUUUUUUUGAUCCAAAUAACCGAAUAUCCUUUUUAAACUUUAAUGCAUGAGACAAGCUUAGUUUCGAGGGUUAAAAUGUCGUAUCCUAACUUACUGGAUGUGACAUCUUAUUACUUUGGGACAAGGAGCUCUUAACAUCAAAUUCGAUUUAUUUAGUUUUUAAAGAGGAUCGUAUUUUAAAAUCUUUUCAAAUUUUCAACAUUAGGACAUUAAUUAAUCAAUUAGGUACUAAUUUUUGGGCAUUAUGAGGGUGCUAAUCCUUCCUCGUGCGUAACAGACUCCAUAGCCCAUUUUCUCAAAUUUUGUAGACCAAAAUCAUUAUUUUAAUAAAUCAAAAUGUUUUAUUAAAAUGAUUAAUCUCAAGGUGACCCGAUCACACCUCGAAAAAAGAUUGGUGGCGACUCCAUUUUCGUUUUAAAAGUUGACCCCGUUUUUCAAAAUAAAAAUGGUUUCGACACUCAUGGUCACUGCCUUCUUUUGCCAUUUGAGCUUCAGCCUUUGGUGUUGUGGUUGGUACUGCCUUGGUUUGCCUUUGCUUCUGCAAACCUUUUCAACAUGUCCCAUCUUUUUCCAGUGUUGGCACUGUACAUCUAGUCUAAACCAGUAAUUUGCUUCUGAAUGACCAAGUCUUUUGCAAUGCCUGCAGGGUUGGUCCCUUCUUCUUGUAGUAUCAAACUGUGGCUUGUCUUUCCAAGUCUUCUUGCCUUUGUAGGCAUUGUUGCUCAAGGAAAAAUUGGUUUUUCCUGGAAGGCACCUUCUUGGUGCUCCUCUAAUCUGCUGGCUCUUCUUUGCUCCUGUGCAUAGAAAGCAUUGAUCAGCUCUGUCAAUGUGAUGCUGGUUAGGUCCCUUGAGUCUUCGAGGGAUGAAAUUUUUGCCUUAUACCUCUCAGGCAAGGUUGAAAUCAUCUUCUCCACUAUCCUUGCUUCACUAAACUCCUCACCAAGGAGCCUCAUGCUGUUUACCACAGCCAUAAUUCUAUCUGAGUACUAUUUGACAGUUUCUUCUUCCUUCAUUUUCAAAUUCUCGAAGUCCCUUCUCAGGUUCAACAACUAUUGCUGCCUUGUCCUCUCUGUCCCUUGAAACUCCUCUUUUAACAUGUCCCAAGCCUGUUUUGGUGUCUCACAGGCCACGAUCCUUGUAAAGAUCACAUCUGACACUCAAUUUUGGAUGUAGGACAUGGCCUUGUACCUCUUAGUCCUUUCAUCAGCAUGCUGCCUGAUCUGAGCUAUUGUUGGAUUGGCUCUGAGUGGCUCUGGUUCAACAUCUGAGUUGACCACCUCCCACAAAUCGAAUGCCUGUAGGUAGGUCUACAUUUUGACCACCCAUAUGUGAUAGCUUUCUCUAUUGAAGAUUGGUGGUGCAGCUGGUGAGAAGCUUGAUGAGGCCAUUGUUAUAAGUAACAGGUCCCUUAAGAUUACAGCUCUAUAUACCAAUUGUUAGUGUUAACAACAAAGAAAAAACAAGUUGGUUGAGACUUGAGCAGCAAGGCUCGAUUUUUGCUGAAGAAAUAACAAAUUUUUCAAGACAGAAAAUUGAAAAAAAAAGCAAAGAACAAUGGACAAUAUUUGGAAAAAAAUUGAUUGAAUUCAUUCAAGUUGAAAAAUGGCAUAAUGCCAAUACAUAAUCAAGCACUAAGCUUGCCAAAAAUAGAAAGUGCUCACCUAAUCAACACCUACUACCACUAAUACAUUGAAACUUGAAAAAUAAAACUUGUAAACAUAGAUAAAGCUGAGUUUACAACUCAUUCACCUUAGACAAAAGUUACAAAAUGAACAAAAGAUCAUCGGCUGCACUUGCUCUAACAGCUUCUGCAUGGCUCGGCCUGCAUGUCUUGCUUCUUUAUUGCUCUUGGUGCUACAUGCUGACCAUACUUCAACAAUAUUCUUAAGGUGGCUUCAUAUGUGCAAUCUAAUUAGAAUAUUGCAGCUGAAGCCGCAAUUCAUUAAUUUGAAUCAAGUCAAUGCCAUUCGGAAGUCAUAGCGAAGAUGUUGCGAGAAUGGAUUAUUUUAAACUAUAGCAUAAAUACUUGAGUCUCAAAAUAAGCACUAGCUCAAUAAAACGCAUAUGAUAAUUUAGAAUACUGUAAUAAAACACAUAUUGAUAAUUCAGAUAUUAUAUUAAACAUUUUUAAACAUAUAUGAGACAAUUGUGGUAAAGCUGGCUAUGGAAAUUCUAUGGUAUCGGAUCCACUACUGCACAGGCCGUAAAAUAAGCUAGAACAAUUUUGGGGAGUUCCAAAGUUAUGGGAUGGACUCGGUCUUCCAUAACAGAUAAACAUCUCCUCGAGUAGUAGAACUCUAGUUCUUCUGUGUUUACUGCAUGAAAUUUGUGGAGAUGCUCUUAUAAGUCGGACAACUAUGUCCGCAACUUAUCGGACCGUAUAGGUGGAUCCACGUGUGUGUCCCAUAGCUAAAUCCCAAAAUUCAAUAAAACAAAUAAGAGACAAUAAAGUAUAUUAAACACAAAUAGGAAUGUGAAGGGAAAAUAAAUACAAUUUAUUCGAUAUACCUGAAUUUAAAUUUGUCCUAAGUUGUAUGGCCAAUUGGAAGUAUGGCAGAGGAUGAUGUGCAAAGUCGAAACAUGUUCCAUAUUUCAUCCAUUCCUUGAACCAAAACCCAAUGUCUGACCCUGUCGAUGCCAAGUUCGGCCAUAGUGUGGGCAAUUGGUUCCAAAGAGCUACAUCCCUUAUCAACAAUUGCUUUUAAAUAAGAAACAAAAAAAUUGAUUAGAUUACAGAUAAAUUACUUAAUAGUUUCAAGCGAAGAAUGUACAUAUGCGUACUUGGAGUGGUGGCCGGGUUAGAAUAGGUUGUGGAUGGCUGCAAGGCUUCCUUCCAUUGUAUGGGGGCCCAGCAUGUCAUGAGCGUCCUGCGCCCAAAUUCCAUGUAUUUUGAAUUCGGUUGGGAUUGGGAGUUUACAGUUGAGAGUAGAGCUACAAACAGAGGGAGGCCACUGAAAUGCCAACUUAUAGAAGUCUACCACUGGAAUUACUGGCGGCUGGGGUACAAGAAUAUAAUAUGUGAGAAGGUGGAGAUGAUCAAAUCUUUCAGCAGGGAUGUCGUCAAGGAGGCUAGUAGGAGUUUUGGCUCUCUAAUGGUAAAAUCUUUAAAAUAGAAUUGUACGUUCUUCAAAGUUGUAUUUGUCCGCUCGGACACAUAAAAACCAAUAUAAUGUGGUGGAGUUUAUUCGAGCAGCUCGUCAUGUUAUGUUUGGAUAAUUCCAUAUAUGUAUGGGUCACCUUUUCCUUUUAUUUUUCCAUGUAAAAAACAAAAGAAAAGAAAGCACUCUCUCCUUCUUAUUAAUAACAUUUUAUACUUAUUAAAUACAUUGGGCAAUCGUGGAAAAGCUACAUAGGGAAACUUAUGAUAUCUGAUAGGCUAUUACAUUGGCCAUGAUAUAAAUGGGAACAGUUUUUAAGUGUUCCAAGGAGAUGAGAUGCUGUCGGUCUUUCAUAACAUAUAUACAUCUCCGAGAGUAAUAAUUGUCUAUUGUUUGUUCUAUUUCUAUUACACGAAAUUUGGGGAUAUGCGUGUAUAAGCUGAAAAACUGCAUUCACAGCUUGUUGGACCGUAUAGGUGGAUCCACGUGUGAGUCCCAUAGCUAAAUCCCAAAAUUCAUUAAAACAAAUAAGAGACAAUAAAGUAUAUUAAACACAAAUAGGAAUGUGAAGGGAAAAUAAAAACAAUUUAUUCGAUAUACCUGAAUUUAAAUUUGUCCUAAGUUGUAUGGCCGAUUGGAAGUAUGACAGAGGAUCUUGUGCUUUGUCGAAACAUGUGCCAUGUUUCCUCCAUUCCUUGAACCAAAAUUUAAUGAUUGACUCUCCCAAUUUCAAGUUCGGCCAUUGUGAGCGCAAGUUGUUCCAAAGUGCUGCAUCCCUUAUUAACAAUUGCAUUUAAAUAAGAAACAAAAAAAUUUAUUAGAUUAUAGAUAAAUUACUUAAUAGUUUCAGGCGAAGAAUAUACGUAUGCAUACUCUGCGAGCUAAUUGUGAUGUCAUAGGUUGUGGAUUGGUGCAGCGAUGAUUUGUACCAUAUGGGGGCACCGGCCUGUCAUGAGCAUCUUGUGCCCAAAUUCCAUGUAUUUUGAAUUCAGUUGGGAUUGGGAGUUUACAGUUGAGAGUAGAGCUACAAACAGAUGGAGGCCAUUGAAGUGCCAGCUUGUAGAAGUCCGGAAUUGCUGGUUGCUGGGGUACUGCAAAUGCUACCCAUAAUGAAAAAUUGAUACAAUGCAUUUUUACAAAUUUACAAAUAAAAAGAGAACUACUCCAUAUAAAAAUAUUACAUGCAUGGAUGGUUGGGCUGAGAUUGGAUGAUUGUGCUUUGCGAGUAGCUGGUUUAUGAUCUCCUUUAUAAGCUUGGCACACAUAUUUCGCAAAAUUUUCAAAGUCCUGCAACCAUGAAAUAAAUAUUGAAGUUACUUAUCCCAAAGUGUUACUUCACAAUCACACCAAGAGAGAAAUAAACAAACUCACUUGUCUGAGUGGCUGAUUAUUCACCACCACCCAUGGCACAUAUUCUUGAGGUGGCUUCAUAUGUGCAGUCUCAUUAGAAUAUUGCAGCUGAAGCCGCAAUUCAUUAAUUUGGAAAUUCAAUGUUAGAAAAAGCAAAGGAGAGUUAAUUAAAUACUAAGACAUGCAGCCAACCUUAUAUCCGAAUCCAGUAGUAUAGCUGAUGAAGUUGUUCAGUAUGCGGCAAACACUCAACAGCAAGCAGGCCAUGAAGACCAAGUAGUGCAGGAGCUGCUGCAAUAAGUUAUUUUUGCUUAUUUUGUAAACUUUAGUUAAAGAAAUGAGUCUUAGUUCAUUUCUAACUAAGUUAAGUCUUUGAUUGAUGUAGUUAGCUUAUGUAUGAGCUGUAAACACAGCAUUGUAUAUGUUUACAAGCUAAAAUUCCAAGUUUCCAUGUAAUUAGUGGAGGUAGGUAAUGAUUAGGUGCUUACUUGCUGAUUUUGACAAGCUUUAUGCCAUUUUUUUUCUCAUGAAUGAAUUAAGUUUUGUUCAUCAAAUACUCUCCAUUUUUCUAAGCUUUUCUUCUUCUUUCUUUUGCUCGAUUUCAUUUGUUUGCUCAACAAGCAUCAAAGCUUGUUGCACAAGACACUUGCCGAGUCUGUUAUUACUGUUAGUGCACCAACAAUUGGUAUCUAGAGCCUACUUCUUAAGGGAUCUGUUAUACAAAUCCAUGGCUUCAUCAAGCUUUUCACCAGCUGCACCUCAAGUCUUCAAUGGAGAAGGCUAUCACAUAUGGGUGGUCAAAAUGAAGACCUACCUGCAGGCUUACGAUCUGUGGGAGGUGGUCAACUCAGAUGUUGAACCAGAGCCACUUAGAGACAAUCCAACAGUGGCUCAGAUCAGGCAGCAUGCUGAUGAGAGGACCAAGAGGUACAAAGCCAUGUCUUGCAUCCAGAACUCAGUGUCUGAUGUGAUUUUCACAAGGAUUAUGGCCUGUGAAUCACCAAAACAGGCCUGGGACAAGUUGCAGGAAGAAUUUCAAGGGACAGAGAGGACAAGGCAGCAACAAUUGUUGAACUUGAGGAGAGAUUUCGAGAAUUUGAAGAUGAAGGAAGAAGAAACUGUCAAGCAAUAUUCUGACAGGAUUAUGGCUAUGGUUAACAGCAUCAGGCUCCUUGGAGAGCAGUUCAAUAAAGCUAGGAUAGUGGAGAAGGUUAUAGCAACUCUGCCUGAGAGGUAUGAGGCAAAAAUCUCAUCUCUUGAGGACUCAAGGGACCUGUCCACCAUCUCCCUAACAGAGUUGAUCAAUGCUCUAUAUGCUCAAGAGCAGAGGAGAGCAAGCAGACUGGAGGAGCACCAGGAAGGUGCCUUUCAGGCAAGAACAAAUACUGCCUACAAAGGCAAGAAGGCCUGGAGAGACAAACCAAAGAAUGAUGCUGCAAGGAGAGAAGGUCAGACUUGCAAGCACUGCAGAAGGGUUGGUCAUCCAGAAGAAAAGUGCUGGUUUAAUCCAGAUGCUGUAUGUCAGCAUUGUAAGAAGAAGGGUCAUGUUGAGAGAGUCUGCAAGAGCAAGACCAAAUCGAGGCAGAAUCAGUUUCAACAGAUGAAAGCUGAGGCUCGAAUAGCUAAGGAGGACAGUGACCAAGAGGAGCAAGUCUUUGCUGUGUCAUGCUCAGCUGCUCAGGAAAGGUUCUCAUCUGGUUGGCUCCUAGACAGUGGAUGCACCAACCACAUGACACUUGAUGCUGCAAUCUUCAAGUCUUUAGACAGAAGCUGCAGAACUAAGGUCAAAAUAGGAAAUGGUCAUUUUAUUCAAGCUGAAGGCAAGGGUGAUGUGCUGAUAUGCACCUCUACAGGUGCCAAAGUGAUUUCAAAUGUGCUCUUGGUGCCUGAAAUUGACAGAAACCUACUCAGCAUAGCUCAACUGCUGGAGAAAGGUUAUUCUGUUGUGUUUAAAGACCAUCAGUGCCAAAUUAGUGAUCCAAGUGGAUCCAAACUGAUGGCAGUCCCUAUGGCUGAUAAGAGCUUUGUAGUUGACUGGACUAAGGAGUCAGACAUUGCCUACAUUGCCACAUCAGAUGAAUCCAAGUUGUGGCAUCAAAGGCUGGGACAUGCCAACUUCAGAUCGAUGGCCCGAAUGGUCAGAGAAGACCUGGCUGAAAACUUCUUCAACUUAGUGGAUCAUGAUGAUGUAUGUGAAGUAUGUCAGCUAGGAAAGCAGGUCAGACUCCCAUUUCCCUCGAAUCAAGCCUGGAGAGCCUCUGAAAAACUCCAACUGGUGCACACUGAUGUGUGUGGCCCUAUGAAGACUGAGUCAUUAAGUGGAAACAGGUAUUUCAUACUGUUCAUUGAUGAUUUCUCGAGAUAUUGCUGGAUUUAUUUCUUAAAACAGAAAUCAGAGGUGGCCACUGUGUUUUGGAAGUUCAAAACUGCUGCUGAGACUGAAACAGGCUGCAAGAUGAAGACCAUAAGUCUGAUAAUGGGACUGAGUACACCUCAGCUCAGUUCCAAGCCUUCUGUGAUAAGGCAGGCAUCAAACACCACUUUACCAACACUUAUACACCUCAACAGAAUGGUGUAAGUGAAAGGAAGAAUAGGAGCUUGAUGGAUAUGGCCAGAUGCUUGAUGAUUCAGAAGAAUCUGCCUAAAGCACUAUGGGCAGAAGCAGUUAACACUGCAACAUACAUCCAAAAUAGACUUCCAACCAAGGCUUUGGAUCAGAAAACUCCAUUCAAGGCUUGGUUUGGCUUUAAGCCAUCACUGGCUCAUCUGAAGGUCUUUGGAUGCAUCUGUUAUACACAUGUAUCUACUGUUAAAAGGGACAAAUUGUCUGAAAGGGCUCGACCUGGUGUUCUGGUGGGCUAUAGUACUGUUAAGAAGGGCUAUAGGAUCUUGGAUCCUUCAACAAAGAAAGUGUCAGUCAGCAGAGAUGUGGUAUUUGAUGAAAAGUCAUGUUGGAACUGGGAGAGACAUGAACCUGAAGAAGUUUCUGAAGAACUUGCACCAGAUCAACCUGAGCCAGAUCAAAAUGUUCCUGAAAUGGACAUUGAUGAUGAACCAGUUAGAGGAACAAGACCAUUGACUGAGAUUUAUGAAAGGGCUCAUGUAGCUAUAGCUGAACCAAGCAAUUUUGAAGAGGCUGAAGCUCAGCAAGGGUGGAAGCAGGCAAUGGCUGAGGAGAUCAGCAUGAUUGAGAAGAACCAGACCUGGGAAUUGGUUGAAAGGCCAGUCAAAAGGAAGGUGAUUGGGGUGAAAUGGGUGUACAAAGCCAAGCAGAAUGCUGAUGGUACCUUAAACAAGUUGAAAGCAAGGCUAGUUGUCAAGGGAUUCAGUCAAAGGUAUGGGUUGGACUACCUGGAGACCUUUGCACCAGUGGCCAGGCUUGACACCAUCAGACUGCUGAUUGCCUUAGCAGCACAGCUCGAGUGGAAGAUCCAUCAGCUCGAUGUAAAAUCAGCCUUUCUGAAUGGUUUCCUAGAUGAAGACAUCUAUGUUGAACAACCACAAGGGUUUGAGAUAGCUGGCAGAGAGCAUAUGGUUUACAAAUUGAAGAAGGCCCUAUAUGGCUUAAAACAGGCUCCAAGGGCCUGGUACAGCAGAAUUGAUGGCUACUUGACUGAUCUGGGAUUCGAUCGAAGCAAGAGUGAGCCAACACUGUAUGUCAAGAAGCAAGGAACACAAACACAACUCAUUGUGUCCCUGUAUGUUGAUGACCUUCUAGUGACAGGAGGAGAUCGAGCAGUGCUGGUUGAUUUCAAGACCAAGAUGCAGGAAGUGUUUGAAAUGUCUGAUCUUGGGGAAAUGUCCUAUUUUCUUGGAAUGGAGGUGUCUCAAGCACAAAAUGAGAUAUUUCUAAGUCAGAGAAGCUUUGCCACAAAGAUUCUGACCAAGUUCUCCAUGCAAAACAACAAGGCAACUAAAACACCUGUUGCUGUUGGAGAAAAACUAUCGAGCCAAGGUGCUUUUGAGAAGGUAUGUGAAACAACCUACAGGAGUCUAGUUGGUUGUUUGCUAUACUUGACUGCCACUAGACCAGACAUCAUGUAUGCUGUAGGAUUGCUCUCAAGAUUCUUGCAUUGCUGCAAUGAGAAGCAUUUCCAAGCUGCAAAGAGAGUGUUGAGAUAUGUCAAGGGCACUUUGAACUAUGGUUUGAAGUACAGCAAAGAAGGAAAUUUGAAGCUGAUUGGGUACACAGAUAGUGACUGGGCUGGCUCAAUAGAUGACAUGAAAAGCACCUUAGGGUAUGCUUUUAACCUUGGUUCAGCCAUGUUUUGCUGGAGCUCGAAGAAGCAAAGCCUGGUGGCUCAAUCUACUGCUAAAGCAGAAUAUGUGGCAGCAGCAAGUGCUGUCAAUCAAGCUAUUUGGCUAAGGAAAGUCUUGGCCGAUUUGAAUUUGCAUCAAAAGGAAGCUACUGAGAUCUUCUGUGACAACCAAUCUGCUGUUGCAAUUGCUAAAAAUCUAGUGUUCCAUGGAAGAACAAAGCAUUUCAGCAUAAAGUUGCAUGUUGUUCGAGAAAUGGAGCAAGCACAAGAGGUGAAGCUGAUUCACUGCAAUUCAGAGGAUCAACUUGCUGACAUUCUGACUAAAGGUCUUAAUGUCACAAGGUUCGAGCAUUUAAGAGGAAAAUUAGGUGUUUGCACCAUACUAACCAAUCAGGAGUGAUGAAGUUGGUCAGUAUGCGGCAAACACUCAACAGCAAGCAGGCCAUGAAGACCAAGCAGUGCAGGAGCUGCUGCAACAAGUUAUUUUUGCUUAUUUUGUAAACUUUAGUUAAAGAAAUGAGUCUUAGUUCAUUUCUAACUAAGUUAAGUCUUUGAUUGAUGUAGUUAGCUUAUGUAUGAGCUGUAAACACAGCAUUGUAUAGGUUUACAAGCUAAAAUUCCAAGUUUCCAUGUAAUUAGUGGAGGUAGGUAAUGAUUAGGUGCUUACUUGCUGAUUUUGACAAGCUUUAUGCUUGUUUUAUGUAUUGGCUUGAUGCCAUUUUUUUUCUCAUGAAUGAAUUAAGUUUUGUUCAUCAAAUACUCUCCAUUUUUCUAAGCUUUUCUUCUUCUUUCUUUUGCUCGAUUUCAUUUGUUUGCUCAGCAAGCAUCAAAGCUUGUUGCACAAGACACUUGCCGAGUCUGUUAUUACUGUUAGUGCACCAACAAUAGCAUUUGUUGAUUAUCUCCUCAUUCAAUCUCAGCUUUUCACUACAAUAUUUCCACAGUGCUUCAAUGGGCGCCCCCUUUAAGCUUUGUUGCUCUGUGCAGCGAAUGAAUUCCAAGUGCUCUUUCUACACCACAGGAGAGUAAUUAAACACGAGUUGGAGAUGAGUACAAAUACUUAUGGCUGAUAGAAGUUACUGCAUCAGGCCAUAAAUGGAUGACACAACUAUGUAUAGUGUUUAAGUGACGUUCUUCUUCUCCAUGUUGCACAUUGUUGCAAAAACUAUAAUUAGUUAUAACACCGAAAAGAAAUUGAACUUCAUUAGUUAAUAAUGAUAAUAUAUACAUUAAAAUGAAGAAGGGUGUUGUAAACCUAGCAAUGGAUUUCAGCAUUGCCCCAAGGGACCAAUCUUAGAUUGAUAAUGCUAUGGAGGUCAGUGCGGAAGACCUUGAGUAGGCCAUUGGAGAUAAGCGAGAAUAUUGCAAGAGCAGCCAGAAUAUAGAAGAUUAAUGGUUGAAGAUAAGCCAUUGUUUCAGUGGUAGCUUUUGCACAAUGCUAAACCUCCAUUGUGCAAGGCUUCUUAUAGUUGAGAAUUGGGAUGAUGAGUAUUGCUUUCUGUCACUUUCAGAAACCAUGAGACAAAUUUACAAAGUUAUCAUCUUUAAAAAAAACAAUUAUUCACCACUUUAAAAAAAUUUAUUUACAUGAAAGAUUGCUUAUCUGUUUAUGUAUGAAUAUUGUCUAAACAUGAAAGGAGAAAUCUUAUUAGAUAAUAGAGUUUUAUAAUAAUUUAUAAUUUGAAUUAAGUUGGCCUUCUAAAAUGCUCUUAGACCAUUAUUAGUGAAUUAAAUAAAACUACUUGGCUCAUAUAAAUAAUUUGAACCAUCGUGCAGUGACACGAGACAAGAAUCUACUUAGUCUAAAUGAAUAUUAAUGGUAAAAAGCCAGUAUGUAAGUCCUUAUCAUAAUAAAGAUAAAAGAAAAUUACUUUGGCACCACCUCUCAUUAAUUCUUAAUAUUUGUGUGAAUGUUUAUUAAUCUUCACAAAGGAUGGACUUCUUUAAUUAUGAACAAUUCUAAGUGCUUGUCAAUUCUUAUUAUGAAGUCAUUCUUUAAUAUAAAUUAUAUAUUAGUCUUGAUAUGGCUUUUCUUUUCUGCAGUCAUCGUAUUAAGCGACUUCGAGGAAAACGAUGAUGGAAGAGAGUGAUGAUGAUAAUAAUCCACCACAAUCAAGUAUUGACUUGAAUAAUAUAAUUCAAUUUCAAUGACUUAAUUAAAUUAUACAAAUCUCAUAUUGCUAAACUGAAUUUUUGAGAUUCUCUAUAAGUCAUUAUACUUCAUUAAGUUAAUAAAAAUUAAGUUUAGACCUUGAACUUGUGGCCUACAAGGCUAAUGCAAUUUACAUCCAAGUCUUUUUGUUUUUAAAACUUCUUAACCUGUAAAAAUAUUUUAAUCGACUGAAGCUAUUUUCAGUUAAGUUCGUAUUAAUCUUUUUCAAACUAUUUUUAGCUAAUUCAAUCAACUUACCUUUGCUAUAUUUAACCAGUGAAAUUUUUAUAAAUACACCUUCAAAAUUACCAAUUUAUUCUUUACAUUCUCUUUCAAACACUCCUUGUUUACUCAAAAGCUUUCUUCUAUAAUUUUAGCCGAAUAUUUAUUUGGUUUGUUUUUCCUACUGAUUAAUAGAAUUGUUUGUUGAAUUAUGAAAUAUUUGUAAAGACAAUGAUAUUCACACCUCAAACAAUAAUUCUAAUAUUCUAAACCUCCUAUUUCUAACCAUUCCAAGGAUAAAAAUUAGAUAUAAAUGAUUUUCUCCUUUUAUUGUGUUGAAUUUAAUUACAGAACAAAUUUAAAGGAAAAUGAGUCGGGUGUUCAAAUUCUUUUAAUUUAUUUUAAGACUAAUCAUGUUUGAAGAGGCAUGAAUAUUUUUCCCAAAUUUCAAGAAUUUGAUUUGAAAAUUACAAUAAUUAGUUCGCAAAAAGGUAUGAAGUGAAUAAGAUAUAGAUAUAAUGACCCUAAUGUUUUUUUUUUCAUUUUUAUUAUAUAUUUUUAUUAUUUUCAAAUUUCAAAUUUUAAUCAAAUUGUUAUUUUUUUAUAAAAAAAUUAUCUAAAUUGUUAAAAUUUGAAUGAUGUUGAUGUUGUGACCUAGGUGAUACUCCACUUAUACUUCAACGUUGAUGCGAUUUUUUAAAAAAAAUUGAACUUUUAAUGUUUUAUGUAUUUUUUAUUUUUUUAUACAGUACAUGUAUAUUAUCAUAUAGGUUAUAACAUCAUUUUUUUUAUGAAAUACAUGUGUAUUAUCAUACCGUAUUCAACAGACUGUCAUUCAAGUGGCCAUCCGAGUUUCCUACUUUUCAUCAUAUGAUGAUCCCUACGAAAUUAGCCCUUUAACUGUUACUUUUUCAAUAAUUUCGCUUUCAAGAGAAAUAGUAUUGACAGACAUAUCUGUCACUUAGUUCAUCCUUUCUAGUACCUCUUACCGUCAAAGGGAUUCUAACUAACUCUUCUUUACCGAUUUGUCUGUAGCUUUUCUUUACAAAUCAAUCCUUCCCACACGACAAACCUUGUCUUCUUUAGUUAUGAACAAAUCUAAUUACUUGCAAACUCAAUGGGUCAUACUUUAUUACUAAAACAUUUCUAGCUCCUUUUUUUAUUAAGUCAUUCUUUAAUAUAAAUUAUAUAUGGCUUUUCUUUAUUCGAUUUCUUGUGGGAAAACGAUGAAGAAAUCAGCAACUCUAGUGGAAGAGAGUAAUGAUAGUAAUUCAUCAGUGUUGAAUUGAAUUUAAAUCAAUUAAUUAACUCAUAGGUAGAAUUCGAAUCUAAAGGUUUAAGAUUCAAAAAUCUUUUUCUUUUUAAUUAAAAAUUUUUAAAAUCUUAACUUAUUAUCAAUAAUGUCUAGAUUUUGUUUACAUGUUAAUUUUCCUAGAUCACAUUUUAAAUAAAUUGUUGAAAUCUUAAUAUUUUAAAUUUUUAAGAUAAUAAGAUUGGGUUUAAUAUAGCAUAGAAAUCUCUUCAUCUUUUAGAAUGUUACUUGGUCAGCUUUUGAAAUCGUCAAAGUUUCUCUUAGUUAGGCACAACAGUUUGAAUCGAGUCAGAGCAUUUAUAAGGCCAAUCUUCCAAAUUUAUGCUACCAAAAGCACACUGAAGGAAUGUGGGUUCAUCUUUUUUCCAAUGUUGCAGUGGAGCGAGCCAUUGGGAAUGCUUUUGCUGGAGGAGCGAUACGCGAUCAGAUCGGUAAUUGGAUAUUCGGAUAUAAUCGAUACAUGGGCAGCUAUACUCCUUUUGAGGCGGAACUCUAGGGUAUUUUAGAUGGGGUCCUCAUUCUGUUAAAUAAAGGAUACAAAUGGGUCACAAUUUAAAUAAACAAUUCAGAUGUGGUCCAUCACAGUUCUUGAAGGGUUCAAAGGGUUAUGCGUUUUGAAGGACAGUGGCAAAUAAGAGUUAUGUCUAAAGAAACAAACUUAAUUGCGGACCGAUUGACUAAGCUUUUUCCUUGCAUAGAAGUCAAGCUUACAAAUUUUCGAUGUACCUCCUAAUGAGGUAUUGGAGACUCUUCAACAAAAUAAAGCUUGUGGUGCUUUUGAACAAUUGAUUUGAUAUGAUUUUGUUUUACUUUCACCAAAAAAUACAAAUUAUAACAAAAAAAAAUAGUAUAGAUAUAUAAUCAUAAAUUUUAUAAAACAUAACUUCUCAAAGAGGCAUAGCACAUUAACUACAAAGGUAGCCUACUGGUGAUAAAAUCUUCCAGUUAAACAGAUGAACUCCAAAUUUAUCAUAUGACAAUAAAUGAAAAAGAAAGGUGGAACAAGCCAAAACAAGCAGAUCUUUUAAGCAAAAAGAGCACAAACAAACAAACAAACAAAAAUUCCUUCUUUUCUUAUGUUUAGUCGUGUCGUCUUUGUAAGGAAUAAAAAGGUGGCAAGAUGUCUUUAUUCCCAGGCUCGUAAACUCGCUCCUAGUUCUUCUUCCAUUUUCGUCCAUCAGGUAAGUGAUAAAGUACAAUUUUACUUUUACUGAUUUAAAAUUUUUGAACAACCUAAAUGAAUAAUUUUUUAUUUUAAAGGGGAGCUGGGCCCUGCUAGUCUCCCCUAAUUACACCACUGAAGGUGGACUUGUGCGAUGAGCCGAAAGGUUAGCCUAAUAUAGCUUCGAGUUUUUUAUUUUUUUGAAAUUAUUUUUUACUAAAUUUUUUAGAAUUUAUGAAAAGUUGCCUUGUUAACCUACAUCAACUAUACUUAGUCAAACUAAAAAUAACUAAACCACUUAAAGCCAUUUUUAAUUACGUCUGAAUUCAUUGAAUCAUUUUUAAAUUAUAUUUAAUUAGUUCAAUCAACUUACCUUUUCAAAUUAUAAUACUAGGAAUGUUCCAUCUCAUGUUGUGGCAUCUCAAAAAAUAGCAUCUCCACAGCCAUGAGACAAGAAUCUACUUAAUCUAAAUGUUGAAUUAAUUUAUUUUGGUUAAACGUCGAUCAAUGGGGCUGACGUUUGGCCCCCUUUUGGUUCAGCUUUUAGGUACAAACUAAAUAAAUAAGAAAGACUAAAAAAGAUAAAGAACAAAUUUCUUGGAGCUUUCCUCUGACAAAUAUUUUAAUUAUGAAUGGCAUUCUAUUGUGCUAAUUACAGUUUAAUUUCGGUCCUUAAAAAAAGUUUUUUUUUUAAUUUCCUCUUUGUGAAAUUCCUUGGACAAGUAUUUUCAUAUGAAUGGCAUUAUAGUCCUUUUAUUCUAUUGUGCUAAUCACUUGGUUUCUUUGGGUUAUGGGAUUAUAAACCUUUCGUCUUCAUUAAUUAUAAACAAUUCUAAGUGCUUGCCUAUUAUUAUUAUGAAGUCAUUCUUUAAUAUAAGUUAGAUAUUAGUCUUGUUGGUUCUCAAUUGUUGAAGGGUUCAAUAUCAUUUCUACUCUCCUUUUCUGCUGUCAUCAUAUCAAGCGAUUUCCCAGGGAAAACGAUGAAGAAAUAGUGGAUAAUUGAUGAAAGAGAGUAAUGAUAAUAAUUCAUCAUAAUCAAAUCUUUACGACUAUUGAAUUGAAUAAUAUAAUUAAAUUUAAAUCAAUUAAUUAAUUCACACAUUUAUUUUAUAAAGUAGAACUUAGAACUUUAAUGUUCAAUAUUCGAAAUUAUUUUAAUAAAUCUUUUCUAAAAUCUUAACCUCAAGAUUUUAUUGACAUUUCAAUUGUCAAUUGUAACCUUAAUGCUUAUGCAUUUUAAAAAUUAUACAAAUCUCACAUUGUUAAAGAAAGAUUUUGAAAUUCUUGUUUAUAAGCAGGAAAAAUUAAGUUUAGACGGUCUUGUGACUUGUGCAUUGAGCCACCAAGCCGAUGCAAUUUACAUCCAUAGUCUUUUUGUUUUUCAAAUUAUUUUUUUACUCAAUUUUUGAGAGUUAAAAGAGAAGUUAACUUCUUAACUUGUAAGAUCUAUAUUUAGUCAAAUUAAAACUAACUUAAUCAAUUAAAGUUAUUUUUAGUUAAAUACAGAUUCAUUUUGAAGAUCAACAGAGAUUGGUGUUUGAGUGAAACAUGGAUGACAAGGGGAGAAUAGAGCAAUAGGAGAAAUAAUGAUAUUGACUUGUUGUAGAUUGUAUUGGAACAGCUAGUACCAUAAUUAGGGGACCCAAAAAAUUUUAAAUUUUGAGUUAAUUGAAUCAAGUUAUUCAGUUUUUUUAGCCAACUCGAAUAAGUAAUUUGAGUUUUGAGUUCGAGUCGAGUUAUAUUUUACAAUUUGAAUAAUAGAUUGGUGUAAAUACACCUUUACUCCCUGUCAAUUUUAAAAAUAAGCAAAAUGAUUUCUCUCAAAAAAAAAAAAAUCAAACUUGUUUAAAGUAUUGUGAUAAGGGGAGUAGUUUCACAUGGAUGAACACACAUUUUCAUUCUGUUAUAGACCGAAGAAACCUGAAGAAGAUCAUGUGGCACUUGAUACUAGCAUACUUGUUACCACAACUAGUUUAGAUUUUGUGAAAAAGAGGGAGCACUGUGUGCUAUUGCUAUUGCAAUUCUACUGUUGCAAUUUUGCUACUACAAUUUAGGGAGACUUAUUUUUAUCAACAAAAAUGUGACAAGGUUAUCUCGAUUUAAAAAUGCUUUAUUCUCAUAAAAACGUAAGUAUGAACAAACAUAAAAUAUAUUAAUCGAUCAUGAUUGUCCACACAUGAAAGGAGAAAUCUUAGUACAUAAUAUUUUUUACUUGUUAUCUUAUUACAUAAUAAAGUUGUAAAGAAUUUAAACUAUAGUAAUUUAUAAUUUAAAUUAAAUUAAUAAAUUAUAAUUUAUUAAAGUAUUUACUGAAUCAUUAGCCUUCUAAAAUUUUCUUUGACCAUUAUUAGUGAAUUAAAUAAACCUAAUUGACUCAUAUAAAUAAUUUGAACCAUCGUGCACUGCCAUGAGACAUGAAUUACUUUCUAGUUAGUCUAAAUGUUGUAUUAAUUUCUUUUAACUUUUGGUUGAGCUUUCGGGUACAAACUAAAUAAAUAAGAAAGACUACAAAAAUAUAAAGAGAUGUCCUCUUUGCAGUGGCGUAGGUUGGGGUUAGCAAGGCACGGCUCUCUUAAAAUAGAAAAUUCCUAUUACAUCUUACACAUUUAUGUUCUCCCUCUCCAUCCAUCUUCAUAUUCAAUAUUCAUUUCAUGCAUAUCCUUCUUCAUAUUCAGUAUUCAUUUGAUGCAUUUCUCGUUGGUUGACAUAUUACAUAUUUCUCAACUUCUUGUAUUCCAUUGAUACGAACCAGGCUCUCUAAAUAAGAAUGAAGGGAGAUGGCGAAACGAAGAUGAUCUAGAUCAGUAUUAAUCUCAAGCUUCUUAAGCUCUUGGGUGGAGGCGUCAAAUAGGAGUACUUCAUCAUUUGUGUCUCUAAGAAACAAGUCACUAUUUUUUCCAAAUCCCAUUAAUGGGUGUACAACUCCAGAAAUGGAUUUAAUAUUGAAUUGUUUAGUCCACACUCCUUCACUUGUAACCCAUAAAUCACAAGACGUGUCAAUUCUUUCCGUUGGGUAAACAAUAGCACCAAGUGAUCCAUUAAACACCAAUAGAUCAACAUAGUAUUCUGGGAAAGACCCAACGAAUUCUGGGAUAGGUAAAACUGAGAACUUGUCAUUCCUCAUGUCAAAUGAAAGAAUUAGUCCUCUAAAAUCAAGAUAUGCCCCUGUCUCUGUUUUCCAAUAGCAAAUUCCGUCUACAUAAUUAUUUCCCAAAGUUUUUCCAUUUGGAUUAUAAUCAGGAUAUGGAAUUUCCUUCCAGGAAUUACUUCUAAGAGAAUACAACUCAACUUGGUAUAUAAAAUCAGGAUGUGCAUAUUCUUCUUCACUAUUAACAAAAGUAAGAGUAACGAAUCGUAUGAAUUUGUAGUCAUCAGUUUUAGAAUCAAAGCCAAAAGCAGCGUGGUCAAAAGAAACGCCGUCUAAAGUAAGGUAGGUUUCUUCGAAUGGGGAAAAAUAUGGAGGGCGUUGGAUUGAAGAUGGUGGAAGGAUUUUAAACUCUCUAUUUGAUGGGUUCCAAAUGGCAGCCUUAUCCUUUGAAGGAUCAAAUAAACACAAUAAUCCAUGACAAGCACCAUAAAUAGAGGGGAUAUCAUUCCUAAAAAAGGGCAAGUGAAUGUUUUGUUUUACCAUAUAAUUUUGAUAUUUUUCAUUUGAAAGUUGAGAGAAAUAAAGUUGGAAGGUGUUACCAUCACAGCGACUAAGAAGUAGAUUAAGGUGGUUGUUUUCAAGGUUGUUGUGAUAAUUAUUGGAAAUGAAAUGAGGAGUUUGAAAAGAAGAACACCAAUACUUACAAACAUAAAUACUUGAGUCUCAAAAUAAGCACUAGCUCAAUAAAACACAUAUGAUAAUUUAGAUUACUGUAAUAAAACACAUAUUGAUAAUCCAGAUAUUACAUUAACAUUUUUAAACAUAUAUGAGACAAUUGUGGCAAAGCUAGCUAUGGAAAUUCUAUGGUAUUGGAUCCACUAUUGCACGGGCUGUAAAAUAAGUUGGAACAAUUUUGAGGCCUUCCAAAGGUACCGGAUGGCCCCGGUCUUCCAUAACAGAUAAACAACUCCUUGAGUAGUAGAACAUUAGUUCUUUGGUGUUUACUACAUGAGAUUUGCGGAGAUGCUCCUAUAAGUUGGAAAACUAUAUCCGCAACUUGUCGGACCGUAUAGGUAGAUCUACGUGUGAGUCCCAUAGCUAAAUCCCAAAAUUCAUUAAAACAAAUAAGAGACAAUAAAGUAUAUUAAACACAAAUAGGAAUGUGAAGGGAAAAUAAAAACAAUUUAUGCGAUAUACCUGAAUUUAAAUUUGUCCUAAGUUGUAUGGCCGAUUGGAAGUAUGACAGAGGAUGUUGUGCAAAGUCGGAAUAUGUGCCAUGUUCCAUCCAUUCGUGGAACCAAAAUUUAAUGUUUGGCUCUCCCAAAUUCAAGUUCGGCCAUUGUGAGCGCAAGUUGUUCCAAAGUGCUGCAUCCCUUAUUAACAAUUGCUUUUAAAUAAGAAACAAAAAAUUUUAUUAGAUUAUAGAUAAAUUACUUAAUAGUUUCAGGCGAAGAAUGUACGUAUGCAUACUCUGAGAGCUAAUUGUGAUGUCAUAGGUUGUGGAUUGGUGCAGCGAUGAUUUGUAUCAUAUGGGGGCACCGGCCUGUCAUGAGCAUCUUGUGCCCAAAUUCCAUGUAUUUUGAAUUCAGUUGGGAUUGGGAGUUUACAGUUGAGAGUAGAGCUACAAACAGAUGGAGGCCAUUGAAGUGCCAGCUUGUAGAAGUCCGGAAUUGCUGGUUGCUGGGGUACUGCAAAUGCUACCCAUAAUGAAAAAUUGAUACAAUGCAUUUUUACAAAUUUACAAAUAAAAAGAAAACUACAUUUAUAAAUAUUACAUGCAUGGAUGGUUGGGCUGAGAUUGGAUGAUUGUGCUUUGCGAGUAGCUGGUUUAUGAUCUCCUUUAUAAGCUUGGCACACAUAUUUCACAAAAUUUUCAAAGUCCUGCAACCAUGAAAUAAAUAUUGAAGUUACUUAUCCCAAAGUGUUACUUCACAAUCACACCAAGAGAGAAAUAAACAAACUCACUUGUCUGAGUGGCUGAUUAUUCACCACCACCCAUGGCACAUAUUCUUGAGGUGGCUUCAUAUGUGCAGUCACAUUAGAAUAUUGCAGCUGAAGCCGCAAUUCAUUAAUUUGGAAAUUCAAUGUUAGAAAAAGCAAAGGAGAGUUAAUUAAAUACUAAGACAUGCAGCCAACCUUAUAUCCGAAUCCAGUAGUAUAGCAUUUGUUGAUUAUCUCCUCAUUCAAUCUCAGCUUUUCACUACAAUAUUUCCACAGUGCUUCAAUGGGCGCCUCCUUUAAGCUUUGUUGCUCUGUGCAGCGAAUGAAUUCCAAGUGCUCUUUCUACACCACAGGAGAGUAAUUAAACAAGAGUUGGAGAUGAGAACAAAUACUUAUGGCUAAUAGAAGUUACUGCAUCAGGCCAUAAAUGGAUGACAACUAUGUAUAGUGUUUAAGUGACGUUCUUCUUCUCCAUGUUGCACAUUGUUGCAAAAACUAUAAUUAGUUAUAACACCAAAAAGAAAUUGAACUUCAUUAGUUAAUAAUGAUAAUACAUUAAAAUGAAGAACGGAGUUGUAAACCUGGCAAUGGAUUUCAGCAUUGCCCCAAGGGACCAAUCUUAGAUUGGUAAUGGUAUGGAGGUCAGUGCGGAAGACCUUGAGUAGGCCAUUGGAGAUAAGCGAGAAUAUUGCAAGAGCAGCCAGAAUAUAGAAGAUUAAUGGUUGAAGAUAAGCCAUUGUUUCAGUGGUAGCUUUUGAACAAUGCUAGACGUCAAUUGUGCAAGGCUUCUUAUAGUUGAGAAUUGGGAUGAUGAAUAUUGCUUUCUGUCACUUUCAGAAACCAUGAGACAAAUUUACAAAGUUAUCAUCUUUAAAAAACAAUUAUACACCACUUUAAAAAAAAAUUAUUUACAUGAAAGAUUGUUUAUCUAUUUAUGUAUGAAUAUUGUCUAAACAUGAAAGGAGAAGUCUUAUUAGAUAACAGAGUUUUAUAAUUGAAAUUAAGUUGGCCUUCUAAAAUGCUCUUAGACCAUUAUUAGUGAAUUAAAUAAACCUACUUGGCUCAUAUAAAUAAUUUGAACCAUCGUGCAGUACCAUGAGACAAGAAUCUACUUAGUCUAAAUGUUGUAUUAAUUAACCAUUAAUGAAUAUUAAUGGUAAAAAGUCAGUAUGUAAGUCCUUGUCAUAAUAAAGAUAAAAGAAAAUUACUUUGGCACCACCUCUCAUUAAUUCAUAAUAUUUGUGUGAAUGUUUAUUAAUCUUCACAAAGGAUGGACUUCUUUAAUUAUGAACAAUUCUAAGUGCUUGUCAAUUCUUAUUAUGAAGUCAUUCUUUAAUAUAAAUUAUAUAUUAGUCUUCAUAUAGCUUUUCUUUUCUGCAGUCAUCGUAUUAAGCGACUUCGAGGAAAACGAUGAAGAAACAGUGGAUACUUGAUGGAAGAGAGUAAUGAUAAUAAUCCACCACAUUCAAGUCUUGAAUUGAAUAAUAUAAUUCAAUUAUACAAAUCUCAUAUUGUUAAAGUGAAUUUUUGAGAUUCUUGUCUAUAAGUCAUUAUACUUCAUUAAGUUAAUAAAAAUUAAGUUUAGACCGUGAACUUGUGGCCUACAAGGCUAAUGCAAUUUACAUCCAAGUCCUUUUUGUUUUUAAAAUUAUUUUUUACUGAAUCUUUUAGAAAACUUCUUAACCUGUAAAAGUAUUUUAAUCGACUGAAGCUAUUUUCAGUUAAGUUCAUAUUAACCUUUUUCAAACUGUUUUUAGCUAAUUCAAUUAACUUACUUUUGUUAUGGUUAACCAGUGAAAUUUUUAUAAAUACACCUUCAAAAUUCCCAAUUUAUUCUUUACAUUCUCUUUCAGACACUCCUUGUUUCCUCAAAAGCUUUCUUCUACAAUUUUAGCCGAGUAUUUAUUUGGUUUGUUUUUCCUACCGAUUAAUAGAAUUGUUUGUUGAAGUCACGAAAUAUUUGUAAGGACAAUGAUAUUCACACUUCAAACAGUAAUUCUAAUAUUCUAAACCUCCUAUUUCUAACCAUUCCAAGGAUAAAAAUUAGAUAUAAAUGAUUUUCUCCUUUUAUUAUGUUGAAUUUAAUUACAGAACAAAUUUAAAGGAAAAUGAGUCGGGUGUUCAAAUUCUUUUAAUUUAUUUUAAGACUAAUCAUGUUUGAAGAGGCAUGAAUAUUUUUCCCAAAUUUCAAGACUUUGAUUUGAAAAUUACAAGAACUAGUUCGCAAAAAGGUAUGAAGUGAAUAAAACAUAGAUAUAAUGACCCUAAUGUUUUUUUUUCAUUUUUAUUAUAUAUUUUUAUUAUUUUCAAUCUUCAAAUUCUAAUCAAAUUAUUAUUUUUUAUAAAAAAUUAUCUAGAUUGCUAAAAUUUUAAUAAUGUUGAUGUUGUGACCUAGGUGACACUCCACUUAUACUUCAACGUUGAUGCGAUUUAAAAAAAAAAUUGAACUUUUAAUAUUUUAUGUAUUUUUUUUUUUGUAAAGUACAUAUUGUUGACACCAUUUUUUUGGAUGGAAAACGGGGUCGACUUGGGUUUUAAAAAAUGAAACGAAAACGGGAGUCGUCACCAAUCCUUUUUUAUAAGGUGUGACUGGAUCACCUCGAAAAGUGGUUAUUUUUAAUAAAAGGUUUGAUUUUAUUAAAACAACAAGUUUGGUCCACGAAAUUCAGAAAAAACGGGUUCGGGAGUCGGUUACGCACGAGGAAGGAUUAGCACCCUCGAUACGCCCAAAAUUGGUACCUAGUUGAUCACUCAAGGUCUGCAUGUCGGAAAUUGAAAACUUUAAAGAAAUUUAAAAUACGAUCCUUAAAAAAACUUGAAUGGCAUGGAUUAAAAUUUAAGAGGAUAUUUGGCAAUUUGGUUAAACGAGAAAUCGAAACCCAGCACAUUAGGGCACGUUCCUCGAAUUUCCGAAGGCAAAACAUUGCCUUAUUUUGAAAUAUAUAUAUAUUUUAAAAAGGAUAUUAAGCCAUUUGGUUGAACGAGAAAAAUCAACACCCAGCACCUUAGGGCGUGUUUUCUCGAAUUUCCAAACGCAAAACAUUGCCAUAUUUUGAAAUUUUUUAAAGGAUAUUAAGCCAUUUGGUUGAAUGAGAAAAUCGACACCCAGCACCUUAGGGCGUGUUUUUCUCGAAUUUCCAAACGCAAAACAUUGCCUUAUUUAGGAAUAUUUUCCUUUUUUAAAAUAUGAUAUUAAUAUGCAGAGUGGAAUAAUAAAUAUGAUAGUGUGAAAUAAAAAUGAACAAAAAUAAAUAAUAAAACAAAUCAAUCAUGCAUAUAUCAUAGCAAAUAAAUAAAUAAACUAAAGCAUAAAGAUGGACAUAUAAAUGAAUACAUAAGUGAACAUAAAAUUAAAGGAAAAUAUAUGAAAAUUAUAAAAUAUAAAAAAGGUAGGUACAUAUGAGGGAAAUAUGUAUGUAUAUACAUAAAAUUAUGGAAAUAUAAAAGAUGUGUAUAUAAAAGUAUGUAUAUAUGUGUAUACUUUUUAUAAAAGAGAACUAUGUACGUAUAAAUAUGUUAUAUAAAUGUAUUAACGUGUGUAUAUAUAUAUAUAUACUUUGAAAUUAUAAAAUAAAAACAUAUGUACAUAUUUUAAAAUUAUUAUAUAAAAUAUAUAUAUAUAAGUAAGUAUAUACAUAUUCGUGAGAAAAAAAUAUAAAUAUACAUAUAUAUAAAUAUAUAUAUAAUGAGUACUUAUGUAUGUAUAAAAAAAUAAAAAAUAUAUAUACAUAUAUAUAUAUGUAAGCAAUUAUAUAAUAAUAAUAUAAUAUGUCACAUAUAUCUAAGAUUUAUAUAAGUAAAUAUAAGUAUAAAUAUAAUGAUAGUAAUAAGAAUAUUAGUAAUAAUACUAAUAAUAAUAAUAAUAAUAAAACUACUGAAAAAAGGACUAAAUCGAAAUAAAAUAAAAAUACUGGGCGAAUUUGAAAUAAAAAAGACGAAAAGGACCAAAAUGUGACGCGCGAGAAAGGACGGAGGGCCAAAUGGGAAAUAAUCCCCAUCCUCCAAAACGCGCAGGUUCAAUAGGGACCAAACUGGAAAGCAAAACAAAUUAAUGGUGCCAAAUUAAAACACAAAACGAAAAGCCAAAGGAGUAAAUUGAAAGAGGGUGACAAUGUGAAAGUACUCGCAGCGCAAAUAGCCCAUAAGGCGCAAAAACACGCGGACCUUGGCCGCGGGUCGGGUUGAGAUUCGGGUAAGGGCAAAACGACGUCGUUUUGGGGCCUUUCUGACCCUUCCAAAACGGCGCCGUUUUGGAUUCCUAUAUAAGUAAAAAAACCCCUAAAAAAAAUCAUUUCAUCCCUCUUUUUAAAAAAAAAAUUUUCAGAAAACUCUCCCUUCUCUCCCUUUCAGCCCAGACUCCGCUCAACAUCCGGCGAGUGCUCCGGCUAUCGGCGCCGUCGCGCCGGCCACCGUACACGGUGGCCAGAAAUCCAAAAAAUGUAUUUUUUUGCUUUUUUUUUUACGUUUAUUCGUUUUAUAUAUGUAAAAUAAAAGAAAUAAAAUCGAAUACAAUCAGUUUCGAAAGGAAGAAAAAUAAAAAGGAAAUGAGGAAAGGGAAUAGAUCUUAUACCGAAAANNNNNNNNNNNNNNNNNNNNNNNNNNNNNNNNNNNNNNNNNNNNNNNNNNNNNNNNNNNNNNNNNNNNNNNNNNNNNNNNNNNNNNNNNNNNNNNNNNNNNNNNNNNNNUUUUUGUUCUUUGCGUGUCUUCUCCCCUUGCAGGUGGAGUCGGUGGCGACGUGACGUGACGGAGGCGUGUGAGGCGCAGUGGCAGGUGGGCAUAGUAGGGUAGGGCGGCGGCAGAGGCUAGAAGAGACCUGAAGGCCCUAGGUACGGCGCCUAGGGUUUUUUCUUUCAUUUUGUUUGGAUGAAAAUGUUUAGUUUUGGGCUUAGGGUUUCAGUUUGGUAGUGGGCUGGUAUUGUAAUGUGGGCUUGUGGGUUGUAAUUGGGUAUUGGGUCUUUUAUUUAUAAUGGGCCCCGGGCAAAUUUGGGCUUUUACAGCUGCCCCUCUUUGCUCGUUGUUAUGUAACGAGAACAGAGCAAAGACUAAGAAAGACCAAAUUUGCCUGGUCUUGCCGAGCCUCGACUUCUCUUGACACUUCUUUUCAAGUAGCUUCGUUCCAGUCCAUUGUGUCUUGUCACUUCAAUCCACUCUACUGCGCUUUAGGGAAAUCUGACUUGUAGCUUCAAUCUUCUUCGCAGCAACUUCAGGGGGACGAGAUUUGUGGUUUAAGUCUAUUCCACUACAACGUCAGGGAGAUAAGACUUGCUGUGAUCUGCUCCACUACUGCUUAGGGAGAUAAGACUUGAUGCGAUCUGCUCCACUACUGCUUAGGGAGAUAAGAUCUGGUUUCUUUCGUCUGCUCCACUACUGCUUAGGGAGAUAAUACUUGAUGCGAUCUGCUCCACUACUACUUAGGGAGAUAAGAUCUGGUUUCUUUCGUCUGCUCCACUACUGCUUAGGGAGAUAAGAUCUGUGGUUUUAAUCCGCUCCGCUGUAACUUCAGGGAGAUAGGAUAGUGUCUUCGAUCUACUCUGCUGUAACCUCAGGGGGAUAAGAUCUGAAAUUCUUCGGUCUACUCUACUGUAACCUCAAGGAGAUAAGACCUGGUGCGAUCUGCUCUAUUGUAACUUCAGAGAGAUAAGAUCCUUUAUUUUAAUUCGCUCCACUAUAACUUCAGGGAGAUAGGAUUAUGUCUUCAAUCUGCUCCGCUGUAACCUCAGGGAGAUAAGAUCUGAAAGUCUUCGGUCUACUCCACUGUAACCUCAGGGAGAUAAGACCUGGUGCGAUCUGCUCUACUGUAACUUCAGAGAGAUAAGAUCCUUUAUUUUAAUCCGCUCCACUGUAACUUCAGGGAGAUAGGAUUAUGUCUUCGAUCUGCUCCGCUGUAACCUCAGGGAGAUAAGAUCUGAAAGUCUUCGGUCUACUCCACUGUAACCUCAGGGAGAUAAGACCUGAUGCGAUCUACUCUACUGUAACUUCAGAGAGAUAAGAUCCUGUCUUCGAUCUGCUCCGCUGUAACCUCAGGGAGAUAAGAUCUGAAAGUCUUCGGUCUACUCUACUGUAACCUCAGGGAGAUAAGACCUGGUGUGAUCUGCUCUACUGUAACUUCAGAGAGAUAAGAUCCUUUAUUUUAAUCCGCUCCACUGUAACUUCAGGGAGAUAGGAUUAUGUCUUCGAUCUGCUCCGCUGUAACCUCAGGGAGAUAAGAUCUGAAAGUCUUCGGUCUACUCUACUGUAACCUCAGGGAGAUAAGACCUGGUGUGAUCUACUCUACUGUAACUUCAGAGAGAUAAGAUCCUUUAUUUUAAUCCGCUCCACUGUAACUUCAGGGAGAUAGGAUUAUGUCUUCGAUCUGCUCCGCUGUAACCUCAGGGAGAUAAGAUCUAAAAGUCUUCGGUCUACUCUAUUGUAACCUCAGGGAGAUAAGACCUGGUGUGAUCUGCUCUACUGUAACUUCAGAGAGAUAAGAUCCUUUAUUUUAAUCCGCUCCACUGUAACUUCAGAGAGAUAGGAUUAUGUCUUCGAUCUGCUCCGCUGUAACCUCAGGGAGAUAAGAUCUGAAAGUCUUCGGUCAACUCUUACUGUAACCUCAGGGAGAUAAGACCUGAUGCGAUCUACUCUACUGUAACUUCAGAGAGAUAAGAUCCUGUCUUCGAUCUGUUCCGCUGUAACCUCAGGGAGAUAAGAUCUGAAAGUCUUCGGUCUACUCCACUGUAACCUCAGGGAGAUAAGACCUGACGCGAUCUACUCUGCUGUAACUUCAGAGAGAUAAGAUCCUUCAUUUUAAUCCACUCCACUAUAAUCUCAGGGAGAUAGGAUUACUAACUUUAAUCUGCUCCGCUGUAAUCUCAGGGAGAUAAGAUCUGAAAUUCUUCAGCCAGCUUCACUACAACCGAGAGAGGUAAGGUUCGUCUUCGACCUGUUUCACUGUCAAUGCAAGAAGGCAAGAUCUGUUGUCUUCAACCAGCUCCAUCACAACCGAGGAAGGCAAGGUUUGUGUCUUCGACCGGCUUCGCUGUCAAUGCAGGAAGGCAAGAUCUUUUGUCUUCAACCAGCUCCAUCACAACCGAGAGAGGUAAGGUUUGUGUCUUUGACCUGUUUCGCCGUCAAUGCAGGAAGGCAAGAUCUUUUGUCUUCAACCAGCUCCAUCACAACCGAGAGCGGCAAGGUUUGUGUCUUUGACCUGCUUCGCCGUCAAUGCAGGAAGGCAAGAUCUUUUGUCUUUAACCAGCUCCACUGCAACCAAUGAAGGCAAGGCUUUGUUUUCGAUCUGCUUUGCUGUUAACGCAGGAAGGCAAGAUCUGCUUAUUUAACCAGCUCCACUGUAACCAAUGAAGGCAAGGCUUUGUUUUCGAUCUGCUUCGCUGUUAACGCAGGGAGGCAAGAUCUGCUUCUUCACUGAUCUGUUCUCUAGGGAACAUGACCUGUAUGUUCUAUUUUAUGAACCUAAUUGUGCCUAGUGAUUAGGAUGACAUGAAAAUGCUCCUAACUAGAUGUGUAUGAAUGACAUUUGAAUGAAUGCAAAAUGAAAAUGGUUCCUUAAUGCUUAGGUUAUCAUCACGUAAAAGCUUAUUAAGGCUUUAUCACUGACGCGCUACAACGCCUUCUUGCUCGGCAGGCGUAUCCAAACAAACACUUAAUUUGAAUGGCCCCCAGUGUGAUCUUCAAACUUCAAUCCACUGGGAUGCAAAAUUUGUACCAUCAUUCUCCCACUGUAAUCCAAGAGUAGAAAGAUAUGGCUUUUCUCGAUCUUCUCCUAUCGCAAUUUAAGGACAUAGAAUGUGAAGCUCUUUGGUCCUUUACCUCAUUCCCAAGGUGUCAUACCAAAUGCUCAUACACAAUUGCAAAAUUUUAUUCUCCAAGAAAACCUUUUCUUUUUGCCUGGUGAACAUCACUUGUUGGUUCAUUGAAGCUUUGCUACCAACACGUCAUCUUGUCAUUUUGCUCAAUCAAUGUUUGGACAACAAAAUCUGAAAAGAUAGUCUUUAACUUAGACUCUUCCUUCUUAGAUAUUUCACCCUUUAAACUUGGUGUUUUCUAAACAAUAGCUCUGCCUCAGGUUCCUAUAUUAUUUAGAAACUUCUAGAGUAAUAUGCAAAACUUCCAUUGUGAAAGUGUUAUUAGUCCAUUAAUCAUUAUUCUAAUGCAACAUGCUUGCAAAGAGAACAUAACGAUAGAUAAAAUAGAAUUGAUUUGAGAGCAUAGCUCGAAAUGAAUGAAUUAUCAAGGGUAGUAAGAAUAAAAGAGGAAUUGAUUGGAAUACGUAUCUUGAAAAAGAAUGAAGUAUUCCAAGAACAACAACAAACUCAAUAUAUAAAUAGUAUGAAUGUUAGGCACCCUAGAUAUCGCAGCUUGAACUCCUCUGUACAAACUUUCUGAAGAUUUUCCUGAGUUUGACAUGUGUUUAGGAGAUCUACAUGACUCUGUCGAUGCCCCAAGACGUUUCCUUACCCUUUCAGGUAUAGCAAGAUCACCACAUGCCCCGAUCUGAUCACUUCAUGCCCUAUUCUGAUCAAUAUUUGAGCCGCCCUUCGGGUUUUCAACUCAAAUCCCUUUUGGCCUAAGGUGCCCUUUGCGGGUUUUCCCCUUAGCCUCUCUAUUUUUACUUUUUUAUUUUUUCAUUUUUCAUCAUUUUUUUUGUUUGACUCAAAGUACCCUUUGCAGGUUCUCACCUUGGUCCUUCCUUCUUCUUUAAAUGAAGUGUUUCUCAAUUGGAUCUGAGUUUAUAGGAUUGACAAUCUCACUCAGGAUCAGUGCUCCUCUGAAAAUGGUCUUCUUUACAACAUAAGGACAUUCUUGGUUUGGCAUUCAUUUCGCUUUAGAAUCCUUUCGUUAAGGAAGAAUCUUUUUCAACAUCCAACCCUCUCGUGGAAUUCUUUGAGACCAGCCUGUUUAUUAUGGGCUCAUAUUAUUUAUUUAUGGUACAUCCGACCCUGAUGAAUAGCUUUUAACCCUUUUCCUAGGGUCAACUGAUCACAUCGCGAUUGGGUCCCUCCAACAAGUAAUGAAGGGAUUUUAAUAGGUAAAACUACCUCAUUCUUGUAAACCAAAAAGAGAGGUGUUGCCCCAGUACAGAUGUUCGACAAACAAUGAGGGCAUAUGGUAAUUUCUCACGUCAAUCCUUGUAAGUCUCAGUCAUUUUCCUUCAAUUUUCGAUGUUUAACUCUAGGAACUUCAGUGACGAAUCAUGGUGUCCACUUCUGAGUUAAUUUGAGACCUCAGCUAUCAUGCUAUUGUUUAAGCUCAAAGCAUUCUCCAACACCAUCCUCACUGAAAUUCUGUAUCAGUAUAAAAUGACCUUGAUCCAUGCAGUAGCCUCUAAAAAAUGAAGCAAUGCCCAUCAGAAGUCUUCGAUAAUGGUGAUGUCCAUGCCCUAUUUUGCUCAAAAUUUGAGUCACCUUUUUUCGGGUUUUCAACUCAGAUCCACCUUUGGUCAAAGCGCCUUUUGCGGGUUUUCGCCUUGACCUCUCCUUUUUCUUUUUCUUUUUCUUUUUCUUUUUCUUUUUUCUAUUUUUGACUUUGAUUUUUUUAUUUUUGUUUUUCUUUUGAUUUUUUGAUUUUUUGAUUUUUUGAUUUUUUUUUUGAGUCUGAACUCAUGAGAUCAGGCAAGUCCUGGUCAUGUUUUUCGACCAGAAUCAAUGUUAUUCUAAAGUCUUCCACAUAAGAUCUUCCACUUUCAUCUUGUAUGUGAAAAACCUUCUUUGGUACCAGAUUUUUUUCAUAGAGCCCUUUUGGGACGCAACUACGACAAAACUUUGGAUCUUCCUCUUUAACCAGGAUAAAAUCCAACAACAUCUUGAAAGGAUGGAAACUCAACUUCAAAUGGGCAAAGCUAUGCUGAAUCAAUGAGAGAGGCAUUGCCCCGGCAAAGAAUUGCAUCGUUCGCACUGUAAAUUUCUAACAACAUGCUGUUGUGCAGGUUUUAUUAUAAGAAUCGAGGCAUACCCUGGUAUGAUCAUACAAAGNNNNNNNNNNNNNNNNNNNNNNNNNNNNNNNNNNNNNNNNNNNNNNNNNNNNNNNNNNNNNNNNNNNNNNNNNNNNNNNNNNNNNNNNNNNNNNNNNNNNUAACUCAAAAAGGUCUUGCUUCGCCUCUGUGGUCAGGUCAAUUCUAGUCUUCACCAAGCUCACAAUUUCUAAUGAUUCCUUGAGAGGUAGGAUCUGUUUAUCCUCUUGUUCUACCAUCCUCAACAAGUCUGGGGAUAGGCUACAAUCUAUGUCAUCUUCAAAGUCGUAAGAUCCCUCUAAACACAUGUCUCGCUCAAAAGGAGAUUCUAAGUAUGUAGCAAAGUCAUUCACGUCGUUGAUAUCCAGGGACCUACUGUAGGUACAAAAGAAUAUACAAAGAAUGUAUGAAUUUAAGAAUAAUUAUCUGCACAGUAUGAUUAAAAAAAUGAUUUGGAUGAAAGAAUAAAAGAAUAAUCAUUCAAGAAAUGAAAGAAUAUUGGUUCAAAAGAUCGCAAAGAUGCAUUCCAUUAAAAUAAUGAUGUUCAGACAUGAGCCUAUUUCACAAAAGACUUCUUGUUGCCUCUAGGCUAAAAGCAACAAGUGUGUUUUGAAUAUUACUCUGAGUAAGCUCUAAAUACUAUAGGGGUUCCUUUAGAACACUCCCAAGUUUAUAAGGGCGAACAUCUAAUAAGAUCUCUUCUCCGAUUGCUUCUUCGUAUUCGGCACUGAUGUGAACGUUUCCCAACAUCUCUUCAUUCAUGCAUUCCUUUCAUUAUCCGUAUGAUUGAGUAGCGGGUUUUCUGUACUAGAUAAAUCGUCCAAUUUGACAAUGCCUAUACUGAUAAGCCUUUCAACCACCUUUUUAAAGGCAAUGCAAUUUUCUAUGGAAUGCCCCGUAUUUCCCGCAUAAUAUUCGCAUUGUGCAUUCGCAUCGUGCCAUUUGGGGUACGGAGGCUGUGGAGGUUUUGAGUAGAAAGGGGAAACGAUGUGCGCAUCGAAUAACUUUUAGUACAGCUCCUUAUACGUCAUUGGAAUUGGCGUGAACUGGAGGUUCUCAGUACCUUGUUUCACCUCAGAUUCUUACUUUAAAGGACUCCGACGUCUGGUAGUUUCUGUUUUUGAUCGGUCCACAGUGAUUGGUUUUGAGUGGCCCUUGUUAUAUAUAUUCGCAUUAUUCCCCCUAUUCCCCUUCUUCUUUGGGGCCUCUAUAAUAUCUGGGUACCCUGCCCCUACCUGCUUCAUUUCUUCUGGAUCAUCACGUGCAACAAGAAAAUUAUUCCUCAAAUUGGAUCUUAGGCCCGUCAAGCCACUUACUGGUGCUAUUGUACUAGUCUGAUAUUGUUGAGAUCUUAUGGUAAAGAGUGCCCCUUGUGGACGCCCAUCCGGCUGGACUUGGACACUUGUCGGAGUAUAAUCUAGGGAAUGGGCAAGAUCAUUAUUAUCAACCCCAAAGUGGACCACUGGGUCCUUCCUUUUUUCUAACUCUCCAGCUGGCAGUCGGUUGAACUGACUCAUCAAGGUUCUUUGUAAUUCUAGCAUCUGAUCUCUCAUCUCCUGUUGAAAUUCAGUCAAUUGCUCCCGCAUCUGAAUCUGCAUUCACUCUAAUAUCUCCAACCUUUGGUCCAUUCCUUAGUUUCUAUUCGGGUACUGCAAAAAUGUUGGUUUUCCAGACUUUCUGAAAUAAUUUUACCUAAUUAGGGUCACUUCGUGAAAAUCUAAUGCAUGUGAUACAAUGUAAUGCAAAUGCAUGAAAUGAAUGCCUAAAGAGACGUUGAUUCUGAUUCAAUUAUAUUUAGGAAACUUUUCUAGAAAGUAAAUUCCCUUACAUAAAACGGAUACAUGUACGACCUCACCCUCAUAUUCCAAGAAACAACAUCGGUUUUUUCUUCAUCCACAUGUUUGAGGUAAUCUCUCCAAUAGAUGCCAUUGCUAGCUCAUUUUCUUGAUCUUGGUCGCGAUCCAUCAUCUGCCCAUCUUCAUAAAGCUCGUCCGCCUCUUUAAAGGGGUGGAAUGUUGAAGGCUCUUAGAUAAUUGCCUUGAAUCCUCAGGCUACGAAGCAGGGUCACGAACUCUUCCAUCGCCAUUCUUGUGUUUCUCAGAAUAUAUUCGGGAAGUCGUAUUGUUUUCCACUUUAUCAAGGAAUCCGUAUUCCAUGACAAACUUUCUAAUUUAGUAAUCGGACUUGAAUCAAUAUCUCUUUCCUAAGAUGCAAAUGCGAUGCAAUCAUAAUCAAAGCACAAAAAGAGGGGUUAGUACAAAAAUAAACAAGGAAAACAGAAAGUACCUAAUCGGGUGACUACUAGGGGUUUGGAGUGGCUCUAUCUAGGCUAAGUUCCUAAGUCCACUAUAUGAGGUUUGGCUCUAAAGAUAAGGUACCCGAACUAGCAGAUUCCUCGAUCUUCACCCAUUAUAGGUUCAUACAGACCGAGUUCGGUUCAGGGGAAUACAUUUCCCUAUGGCUGCACGGAGAUGAAAAUCUCACGAAGACAUAGGUACGGAUGUAUCCCGAAAGCGAUCCACUAUCCUGCACGGAGGUGAAAACCUCACGAAGGAGUAGCUUCUCACUCCCACUUAAAAGGUGUGACCAGCAGUCAUGCAAUGCAAUGCAGAAAGAUAUAAAAAUUUAAAAUACAAAACAUGAUGAAAACUAUAACUCAAAACAAAUGAAAUGCAAUGAGAGGAUCGUAUAUUUAAAUCAAAUUUUUGACUUUCGACAAAAAGACAAAAAGUAAUCAACUCGUGGCUUGACUCUCUUAUUUUUGGGUCCCCAGCGGAGUCGCCAAGCUGUUGACACCAUUUUUUUGGAUGGAAAACGGGGUCGACUUGGGUUUUAAAAAAUGAAACAAAAACGGGAGUCGCCACCAAUCCUUUUUUAUAAGGUGUGAUUGGAUCACCUCGAAAAGUGGUUAUUUUUAAUAAAAGGUUUGAUUUUAUUAAAACAACAAGUUUGGUCCACGAAAUUCAGAAAAAAUGGGUUCGGGAGUCGGUUACGCACGAGGAAGGAUUAGCACCCUCGAUACGCCCAAAAUUGGUACCUAGUUGAUCACUCAAGGUCUGCAUGUCGGAAAUUGAAAACUUUAAAGAAAUUUAAAAUACGAUCCUUAAAAAAACUUGAAUGGCAUGGAUUAAAAUUUAAGAGGAUAUUUGGCAAUUUGGUUAAACGAGAAAUCGAAACCCAGCACAUUAGGGCACGUUCCUCGAAUUUCCGAAGGCAAAACAUUGCCUUAUUUUGAAAUAUAUAUAUAUAUUUUAAAAAGGAUAUUAAGUCAUUUGGUUGAACGAGAAAAAUCAACACCCAGCACCUUAGGGCGUGUUUUCUCGAAUUUCCAAACGCAAAACAUUGCCAUAUUUUGAAAUUUUUUAAAGGAUAUUAAGCCAUUUGGUUGAAUGAGAAAAAUCGACACCCAGCACCUUAGGGCGUGUUUUCUCGAAUUUCCAAACGCAAAAUAUUGCCUUAUUUAGGAAUAUUUUCCUUUUUUAAAAUAUGAUAUUAAUAUGCAGAGUGGAAUAAUAAAUAUGAUAGUGUGAAAUAAAAAUGAACAAAAAUAAAUAAUAAAACAAAUCAAUCAUGCAUAUAUCAUAGCAAAUAAAUAAAUAAACUAAAGCAUAAAGAUGGACAUAUAAAUGAAUACAUAAGUGAACAUAAAAUUAAAGGAAAAUAUAUGAAAAUUAUAAAAUAUAAAAAAGGUAGGUACAUAUGAGGGAAAUAUGUAUGUAUAUACAUAAAAUUAUGGAAAUAUAAAAGAUGUGUAUAUAAAAGUAUGUAUAUAUGUGUAUACUUUUUAUAAAAGAGAACUAUGUACGUAUAAAUAUGUUAUAUAAAUGUAUUAACGUGUGUAUAUAUAUAUAUAUACUUUGAAAUUAUAAAAUAAAAACAUAUGUACAUAUUUUAAAAUUAUUAUAUAAAAUAUAUAUAUAUAAGUAAGUAUAUACAUAUUCGUGAGAAAAAAAUAUAAAUAUACAUAUAUAUAAAUAUAUAUAAUGAGUAUUUAUGUAUGUAUAAAAAAAUAAAAAAUAUAUAUACAUAUAUAUAUGUAAGCAAUUAUAUAAUAAUAAUAUAAUAUGUCACAUAUAUCUAAGAUUUAUAUAAGUAAAUAUAAGUAUAAAUAUAAUGAUAGUAAUAAGAAUAUUAGUAAUAAUACUAAUAAUAAUAAUAAUAAUAAAACUACUGAAAAAAGGACUAAAUCGAACUACUGAAAAAAGGACUAAAUCGAAAUAAAAUAAAAAUACUGGGCGAAUUUGAAAUAAAAAAGACGAAAAGGACCAAAUGGGAAAUAAUCCCCAUCCUCAAACGCGCAGGUUCAUAGGACCAAACGAAAAGCCAAAGGAGUNNNNNNNNNNNNNNNNNNNNNNNNNNNNNNNNNNNNNNNNNNNNNNNNNNNNNNNNNNNNNNNNNNNNNNNNNNNNNNNNNNNNNNNNNNNNNNNNNNNNNNNNNNNNNNNNNNNNNNNNNNNNNNNNNNNNNNNNNNNNNNNNNNNNNNNNNNNNNNNNNNNNNNNNNNNNNNNNNNNNNNNNNNNNNNNNNNNNNNNNNNNNNNNNNNNNNNNNNNNNNNNNNNNNNNNNNNNNNNNNNNNNNNNNNNNNNNNNNNNNNNNNNNNNNNNNNNNNNNNNNNNNNNNNNNNNNNNNNNNNNNNNNNNNNNNNNNNNNNNNNNNNNNNNNNNNNNNNNNNNNNNNNNNNNNNNNNNNNNNNNNNNNNNNNNNNNNNNNNNNNNNNNNNNNNNNNNNNNNNNNNNNNNNNNNNNNNNNNNNNNNNNNNNNNNNNNNNNNNNNNNNNNNNNNNNNNNNNNNNNNNNNNNNNNNNNNNNNNNNNNNNNNNNNNNNNNNNNNNNNNNNNNNNNNNNNNNNNNNNNNNNNNNNNNNNNNNNNNNNNNNNNNNNNNGGCUUUAUAGCCGAUUACAUGUUAUUAUUUUGCUUUUUUUGUUCUUUGCGUGUCUUCUCCCCUUGCAGGUGGAGUCGGUGGCGACGUGACGUGACGGAGGCGUGUGAGGCGCAGUGGCAGGUAGGCAUAGUAGGGUAGGGCGGCAGCAGAGGCUAGAAGAGACCUGAAGGCCCUAGGUACGGCGCCUAGGGUUUUUUCUUUCAUUUUGUUUGGCUGAAAAUGUUUAGUUUUGGGCUUAGGGUUUCAGUUUGUAGUGGGCUGGUAUUGUAAUGUGGGCUUGUGGGUUGUAAUUGGGUAUUGGGUCUUUUAUUUAUAAUGGGCCCCGGGCAAAUUUGGGCUUUUACACAUAUAUAUUAUCAUGUAGGUUAUAACAUCAAUUUUUUAUGAAGUACAUUUGUAUUAUCAUACCGUAUUCAACAGACUGUCAUUCAAGUGGCCAUCCGAGUUUUCUAUUUUUCAUCAUAUGAUGAUUCCCUAUGGAAUUAGCCCUUUAUUAACUGAUACAUUUUCAAUAAUUUCCCUUUAAAGAGGAAUAGUAUUGACAGACAUAUCUCUCACUUAGUUCAUCCUUUCUAGUACCUCUUUCCGUCAAAGGGAUUCUAACUAACUCUUCUUUACCGAUUUGUUUGUAACUCUUCUUUUCAAAUCAAUCCUUCCUACAUGACAAACCUUUUGUCUUCUUUAAUUAUGAACAAAUCACAAUUCUUAGAAGGGUUCAAAGGGUUAAGUGUUUUGAAGGACAGUGGCAGAUCAGAUUUAUGUCUAAAGAAACAAACUUAAUUGCGGACCGAUUGGCUAAGCUUUGCCUUGCAUGAAAGUCGAGCUUACAAAUUUUUGAUGUACCUCCUAAUGAAGUAUUGGGGACUCUUCAACAAGAUAAAGCUUGUGGUGCUUUUGAACAAUUGAAUUGAUAUGAUUUUGUUUUACCUUCACCAAAAAAAUACAAAUUAUAACAAAAGAAAAAUAGUAUAGAUAUAUAAUCAUAAAUUUUAUAAAACAUAAAUUCUCAAAGAGGCAUAGCACAUUAACUACAAAGGUAGCCUACUGGUGAUAAAAUCUUCCAGUUAAACAGAUAAACUCCAAAUUUAUCAUAUGACAAUAAAUGAAAAAGAAAGGUGGAACAAGCCAAAAUAAGCAGAUCAUUUAAGCAAGAAGAGCACAAACAAACAAACAAAAAUUCCUUCUUUUAUUAUGUUAAGUCGUGCCGUCUUUGUAAGGAAUAAAAAGGUGGCAAGAUGUCUUUGUUCCCAGGCUCGUAAACUCGCUCCUAGUUCUUCUCCCAUUUUCGUCCACUAGGUAAGGGGUAAAGUGCAAUUUUACCUUUACCGAUUUAAAAUUUUUAAAGAACCUAAAUGAAUAAUUUUUCAUUUUAGGGGGAGCUGGCCCUGCUAGUCCUUUUUAGGGGUGAACUCCUUUUGGUUCAGCUUUUGGGUACAAACUAAAUAAAUAAGAAAGACUAAAAAAGAUAAAGAACAAAUUUCUUGGAGCUUUCCUCUGACAAAUAUUUUAAUUAUGAAUGGCAUUCUAUGGUGCUAAUUACAGUUUAAUUUCGGUCCUUAAAAAAGUUUUUUUUUCUUUUUUUAUUUCACUCCGGCCUCUUUGUGAAAUUCCUUGGAGCUUUCCUUUGACAAAUAUUUUCAUAUGAAUGGCAUUAUAGUCCUUUUAUUCUAUUGUGCUAAUCACUUGGUUUCUUUGGGUCAUGGGAUUAUAAACCUUUCGUCUUCAUUAAUUAUAAACAAUUCUAAGUGCUUGCCAAUUAUUAUUAUGAAGUCAUUCUUUAAUAUAAGUUAUAUAUUAGUCUUGAUAUAGCUUUUCCUUAUUCCAUUUCUUGUUGGUUCUCAACUGUUGAAGGGUUCAAUAUCAUUUCUACUCUCCUUUUCUGCAGUCAUCAUAUCAAGCGACUUCACAGGGAAAACGAUGAAGAAAUAGUGGAUAAUUGAUGAAAGAGAGUAAUGAUAAUAAUUCAUCAUAAUCAGAUCUUUACGAGUAUUGAAUUGAAUAAUAUAAUUAAAUUUAAAUCAAUCAAUUAAUUAAUUCACACAUUUCUUUUAUAAAGUAAAUGUUUAAUAUUCGAAAUUAUUUUAAUAAAUCUUUUCUAAAAUCUUAACCUCAAGAUUUUAUUGACAUGUCAAUUGUCAAUUGUAACCUUAAUGCUUAUGCAUUUUAAAAAUUAUACAAAUCUCACAUUGUUGAAGAAAGAUUUUGAAAUUCUUGUUUAUAAGCAGGAAAAAUUAAGUUUAGAGGGUCUUGUGACUUGUGCAUUGAGCCGCAAAGCCAAUGCAAUUUACAUCCAAUGUCUUUUUUGUUUUUGAAAUUAUUUUUUUACUCAAUUUUUGAGAGUUAAAAGAAAAGUAAUUAAUCGUUUUAACUUGUAAGAUCUAUAUUUAGUCAAACUAAAAAUAACUUAAUCGAUUGAAGUUAUUUUUAGUUAAAUACAGAUUCAUUUUGAAGAUCAACAGAGAUUGGUGUUUGAAUGAAACAUGGAUGACAAGGGAAGAAUAGAGCAAUAGGAGAAAUAAUGAUACUGACUUGUUGUAGAUUGUGUUGGAAUAGCUAGUACCAUAAUUAGGGGAGAGUAAAACUCGAUUCGACUCAAAAAAAAUUUUAAUUUUAAAUUUUGAGUUAAUUGAAUCAAGUUAUUCGGUUUUUUUUAGCCAACUCAAAUAAGUAAUUUGAGUUUUGAGUUCAAGUAGAGUUAUAUUUUACAAUUUGAAUAAUAGAUUGGUAUAAAUACACCUUUGAUCCCUGUCAAUUUUAAAAAUGAGCAAAAUGAUUUCUCUAAAAAAAAAAAACCAAACUUGUUUAAAGUAUUGUGAUAAGGGGAGUAGUUUCACAUGGAUGAACACACAUUUUCAUUCUGUUAUAGACCGAAGAAACCUGAAGAAGAUCAUGUGGCACUUGAUACUAGCAUACUUUUAAUUACCACAACUAGUUUAGAUUUUGUGAAGAAGAGGGAGCACUGUGUGCUAUUGCUAUUGCAAUUCUAUUGUUGCAAUUUUGCUACUACAAUUUAGGGAGACUUAUUUUUAUCAACAAAAAUGUGACAAGGUUAUCUCGAUUUAAAAAUGCUUUAUUCUCAUAAAAAUGUAAGUAUGAACAAACAUAAAAUAUAUUAAUCGAUCAUGAUUGUCCGCACAUGAACGGAGAAAUCUUAGUACAUAAUAUUUUUUACUUGUUAUCUUAUUACAUAAUAAAGUUGUAAAGAAUUUAAACUAUAAUAAUUUAUAAUUUAAAUUAAUUUAAUAAAGUACCUACUGAAUCAUUAGCCUUCUAAAAUUUUAUUAGACCAUUAUUAGUGAAUUAAAUAAACCUAAUUGACUCAUAUAAAUAAUUGGAUCCAUCGUGCACUGCCAUGAGGCGUGAAUUACAUUCUAGUUAGUCUAAAUGUUGUAUUAAUUUCUUUUAACUUUUGGUUGAGCUUUUGGGUACUAACUAAAUAAAUAAGAAAGACUACAAAAAGAUAAAGAGAUGUCCUCUUUGCAGUGGCGUUUGUUGGGGUUAGCAAGGCACGGCUUUGUUAAAAUAGAAAUUUGUUUAUUUAAGUUUUUUAAAAAUUUUAAAAUUUUAAAUUAAUAAAGAUAAAUUAUAUUUUAGUUAACUUAAAAAUGAUAAAAAUUUGAUUUAAUCUUCUAAAAAUUAUAAAGAUACAGGUUAUUAAAAAUUACAGUUUAAUUUUGACCCCUAAAAAAGUUUUCUGACUUUGCCUCUAUCUCGUUGUAAAAUUUCUUCGAGCUUUUCUUUGACAAAUAUUUUCAUAUGAAUGGUAUUAUAGUCCUUUUAUUCUAUUGUGCUAAUCACUUGGUUUCUUUGGGUUAUGGGAUUUCCCACUUAGUUAUAUAAUAAUUAUUACCAAAAUAAUAAUCUCAUAAAAUAUGAGAUUUAUUAUAACAAACUUUAUGACAUAGGAAUAUUAUAUUUUUAUACCAAUUUUAUUGCUAUUUAUAUUCUUUAAAUUUUUAAAUAAAAAAUCAUGUGUUUAAAUAUAUUUGGAUUCAAUUUUUUAUUAUUGUAAUAACAAAAAAAUUAAUUAAAGUAAUACUUAGUUAGCGAUAUAGUACAAUUAUCUUCAUAGGAGAGUGCAUAAUCAAAAAGAUUCUAACAUUUUAUCCUCUUUUCGUGCUGCUUGAAUCUCCAAAAACGGUGGCCCACUUCAACAAACCUUUUGUCUCCCUUAAUUAUGAACAAUUCUAAGUGUUUGCCAAUUAUUAUUAUGGACUCAUUCUUUAAUGUAAGUUAUAUAUUAGUCUUGAUAUAUAAAGCCUAAAAAAGAUAAAGAACAAAUUUCUUGGAGCUUUCCUCUGGCAAAUAUUUUAAUUAUGAAUGCCAUUCUAUUGUGCUAAUUACAGUUUAAUUUCGGUCCUUAAAAAAAAGGUUUUUUUUUUAAAUUUCAGUCCGGCCUCUUUGUGAAAUUCCUUGGAGCUUUCCUUUGGCAAAUAUUUUCAUAUGAAUGGCAUUAUAGUGCUUUUCUUCUGUUGUGCUAACCACUUGGUUUCUUUGGGUUAUGGGAUUAUAAACAUUUCUAAGUGCUUGCCAAUUAUUAUUAUGAAGUCAUUCUUUAAUAUAAGUUAUAUAUUAGUCUUGAUAUAAGGUUAAGGAGGAGUUACGUGUAGUUCUAGGUAUUAUAUCAAAUUUUCUCAGAAUAUUUUUUAACAUUUGUAUAAUUAAAUAUUCAAGUUUAUGUGAUAUAAAUUAUAUAAUAUAUAAAAAUACAUUAUAAAAGUAUAAAUCAAUCUAGGUUUGGGCUAGAGGUAAUCGUGGGUUGGGCCUCAAUAUGAUAUUAACAUACUUUAUACUUGUCCAAACCCACCCAUAUUUUCCAAAGAAUAAUCCAAGUCCGUUUAGGCCCGUCUAUAUUAUUUUUUAAUUUUUUUAAAAAUAUUUAUAUUAUACUAUUUUAAUAUUUAAUAAGUUGCAUAUUUUUUAUUUAUUAAAUUUUUUAUAUAGUCCUCUUAACAUUAUUUUAUUGCUUACAUUAAGCCAGUAUUAUAUAUUUACGAAAGAUUAACUCAAGCCCUUUUAGGCCGCCCAUAUUAUUUUUUCAAAUUUUUUAAAAAUAUUUAUUUUAUUUUAAUAUCUAAUGCUCUCUAGUGUUCGUUCUGAUGAUUGGUGGUAUUAACGUUGGAUUUUGGUUUCAUUUAUUAAGUAAAAUAAACAAAACUCACAAUAUUUAGAGGUUCAUGAUUGGAUUUCUCUCCGAUUUGUAUCAAGAAUUUUGACCUUAAAAUAUAAAAAUUCGAUCUAAUCCCUCUAUCUGAACUGCGAUCCGACAAAUUCCCAAUCAACUUGGUCAUUUGAAUUCUUUCAAUAACCUUUGGGAUAAUGUUUAAAACCUUACAUAUUUCUAAUUAACAUCAUACACUUUCUAACACUAAUCAUAUCUUUUUAAUAAUAUUUUAACUUUAAUUAGUGUUGAUUAAUUAAAUAAAUUUGAAGCUAAAAAUCAAACAAAAUUAAUGAACAAUAAUAGUAAAACAAGGCUUAUGGAUUUGGUUUUGUUCGUGGAACUAAAUUUAUGAUUUUAGAGAAAGGGUUAAAUAAAGAUUGAGGGCUAAAAAGGUUUAGGAUUAUAGAGUCAAGGGUUUUGUUUGUUGAAUAAAACAUUGUGUGCAUUUUGAGUUUUUAUUCAUUUCACCACUUUAAAAAAAAUUAUUUAAAUGAAAGAUUGUUUAUCUAUUUAUGCAUGGAUAUUGGUUACACAUGAAAGGAGAAAUCUUAUUAGAAUUUAUAAUUUAAAUUAAGUUGGCCUUCUAAAAUUUUCUUAGACCAUUAUUAGUGAAUUAAAUAAACCUAAUUGGCUCAUAUAAAUAAUUUGAACCAUCGUGCAGUGCCAUGAGACAAGAAUCUACUUAGUCUAAAUGUUGUAUUAAUUAACCAUUAAUGAAUAUUAAUGGUAAAAAGCCAAGAUGUAAGUCCUUAUCAUAAUAAAGAUAAAAGAAAAUUACUUUGGCACCACCUCUCAUUAAUUCAUAAUAUAUAUUUGUGUGAAUGUUUAUUAAUCUUCACAAAGGAUGGUCUUCUUUAAUUAUGAACAAUUCUAAGUGCUUGUCAAUUCUUAUUAUGAAGUCAUUCUUUAGUAUCUUUUCUGCAGUCAUCGUAUCAAGCGACUUCCAGGAAACCGAUGAAGAAACAGUGGAUAAUUGAUGGAAGAGAGUAAUGACAAUAAUCCCACCACAAUCAAGUGUUAGAAUUGAAUAAUAUAAUUCAACUAUACAAAUCUCAUAUUGUUAAAGUGAAAUUUUGAGAUUCUUGUCUAUAAGUCAUUAUACUUCAUUAAGUUAACAAAUUAAAUUUAGACCGUGAACUUGUGGCCUACAAGGCUAAUGCAAUUUACAUCCAAGUCCUUUUUGUUUUUAAAAUUACUUUUUACUGAAUGUUUUAGAAAACUUCUUAACCUGUAAAAAUAUUUUAAUCGACUGAAGCUAUUUUCAGUUGAGUUCAUUUUAACCUUUUUCAAACUAUUUUUAGCUAAUUCAAUCGACUUACCUAUGUUAUAGUUAACCAGUGAAAUUUUUAUAAAUACUCCUUCAAAGUUCCCAAUUUAUUCUUUACAUUCUCUUUCAAAAACUCCUUGUUUACUCAAAAGCUCUCUUCUACAAUUUUAACCGAAUAUUUAUUUGAUUUGUUUUUCCUACCAAUUAAUAGAAUUGUUUGUUGAAUUCUAGAGAAUACGUAAAUUCACGAAAUAUUUGUAAGGACUGUUGACAACAUUUUUUUUGAUGAAAAACGGGGUCCAAUUGGGUUUUGAAAACGAAAAAGGGAGUCGCCACCAAUCCUUUUUUGAGGUGUGAUUGGGUCACCUUGGAAAGAGGUUGUUUCUAAUAAAUAAUUUAAUUUUAUUAAAACAACGGUUUUGGUCAACGGAAUCUAGAAAACGGGUUCGGGAGUCGGUUACGUACGAGGAAGGGUUAGCACCCUCGUAACGCCCAGAAAUUGGUACCUAGUUAAUUAUCUAAUGUCUUGAUGUCGAGAACUGAAAACUUGAAAAAUUUUUAAAAUACGAUCCCUUGGUAUUAAACAUUAAAAAUUUGGGAAAAGAAGCAUAUUUUAUGUUAAUCGAGAAAAAGAAUCGUAUCCAGUAAGUUAGGACACAAUAUCUCGAAUUCCCAAUAUACAAAAAAAUGCUUAUUUAAAAGGUAUUUUUAGCUAUCUCGGAUUCGAAAGUGAGGUCACAACCAGUAAGUUAGGAUGCGAUUCUUUUUAAAUCCCUAGAUCAUUUAAAACUUGAGUUUGAAAGAUUCGUGUAUUUAGAUUUAUUGUGAAAAUCGAAACCCAGUAAGUUAGGGUACGGCAUUCUCAAAUCUAAACACGAGAUUUUGCUUAUUCAAAAAUUGUAAUUUUAUGUAUUGAAAUGAAUUAAUCUAACAUGAAAUUAUAAAACCCGAUGUUAAUACUCAUAACAAGACGAUAUUGAAUACAAUAGUGCAAAAUAAUACGAACAAUUGCAACGUAAAUAAGAUAAAUACAAAGUAUGAAUCAAUAACAUACGAAAUAGCAAUGUAUACAAGCAAAUAAAAUUAAAGCAUUCAUUCAGAUCAAUAACGCAAAUGAAAUAAAUAACUAAAUGAAUACGAAUAUAAAAAGUAAAAAGAUAUAUGUGUGUGCAUAAAAUUAUGAGAAUGUAAAAAAUCUAUGUACGUAAAAAUAUGUGUAAAUAUNNNNNNNNNNNNNNNNNNNNNNNNNNNNNNNNNNNNNNNNNNNNNNNNNNNNNNNNNNNNNNNNNNNNNNNNNNNNNNNNNNNNNNNNNNNNNNNNNNNNNNNNNNNNNNNNNNNNNNNNNNNNNNNNNNNNNNNNNNNNNNNNNNNNNNNNNNNNNNNNNNNNNNNNNNNNNNNNNNNNNNNNNNNNNNNNNNNNNNNNNNNNNNUAUAUAUAUAUAUAUAUAGACAUGCGGCUAUAUACAAUAAAAAUAAUAAAAGAUAAAUAUGUAUAGGUAUUCAUAAAAAUAAAAUAUGUGUAUUCGUAUAUUAAAGUAUAAAGUAUAAAUAAUAUAUAUCUAAGUAGAUAUACAUAUGUAAGUAAACUUGGAAAGUUAUGCGUACACAUACUAUGACAAUAUGAAUGUAUAUGUAUAAAUUAUAGAAUGUAUUAAAGCGUAAGUAUGUAAAUAGGUAUGUACACAUAUAUCAUAAUCAAAAAACAGUAUAAAUGGGUAAACAAUAAAGGCAAAUAAUAAAAAUAAAAGCAAUAAUGAUAAUAAUAAUAAUAAUAAUGGUAAUAAAACUAAUUACUUUUAAAAAAAAUAAAACGGGACUAAAUAAAAAAAAAAGCAAAAUCCCAGGGGAGAAAAGUAAAAAGAAAAAAACUAAAACAGGGACCAGAUUGGAGGGAAGCCCAGAAGCAGGAGGACUGAAAGGGUAAAUAGACCCUCAGUCCAAAACACGCGGAUCCCUGGGAUCCAUCGGGUCAACGAGCGGGUCGCGCUCAAUACGGCGCCGUUUUGGAGCCAUUGAUCAGACUCCAAACGGCGUCGUUUCAGACAACACCUAAGGCCCAAGAAAUACCUUAAUCUGAUAGCCUCCAUUCAUUUUUUAAACAAACAAAGAAAAAGAAAAUAAAAAAACAAAAAAGGAAAACUGAGAGCCCGAAUGCUCUCCUCCCCACGCCUCUCUCGGCCCUUAAGCUCAGGCCGCCAUCUCCGCCUCCAUGGCCAAUGGCCGGAGUUGCGCGAGAACGGCCCCUAGGCCUCCCCCAUUUGCGGCGUCCCCGAAGGCUAAGCCUUCUCAACCGCGAGAUCAAAAGGAAAAGGGAUGAAAUGCCCCUUUUGGCUAGUCUCCGACGACGGCAAGGGUGGGGUUCCGACACCAGCCCGUCGAAGCGGUAAGGUAUUUACUCCUUUCCCUUUUAGUUCAUUUUCUUUGUUGAACGAUUGCGAAGGGAAAAAAAUAAUAAACAAUAAAUAAAGAGUAAAGUAAAUAAGAAACAAGAACAGAGAAGAAUAAACUGGAGUCAACCUUUUUGAUCUGUUUUUCCUUUUUUUGAAUUCAAAACGCUGUGUAAAAAAUUGUACAGAGAUAUUGUUUGGCUUUUAUAGCCUUUUCCAUUGUAUUUUGAUUGUAUUUUGCUGUCUUGCACUAUCUGUUGCGUGCUCCUGCUUUUUUCUAUCAUUUUUUUGCAGGCGUUGAUGAAGCUAGUAGCGGCGGGUGGCGAUGGGACAAAACGAAUGAUGAUGGCAGAGGGAUGGGCGCGGUGCUAGGCUUGGCUAGGGUUUCCGUUUUCUGAAACCCUUGACUGGGUUCUGGGCCUGUUGGGUUUAUUGGGCCGUUUGGGCUCUGUUAAUUGGCCCCGGGCAAUAAUUGGGUUGUACAGCUGCCCCUCUUUGCUCGUUGUCGUGUAACAAUAACAGAGCAAAGACUAAGAAAGACCAAUUUUUGCCCAGUCUUGCCGAGGAAAAGAUUCUCCGUUGCGGCUUCAAUCUGUUCCGCUGCGUCGCCUGGAAGUAAGAUUCGCCGUUGUGGCUUCGAUCUUUUAAAUUGCAAUGUCGGCUUGAAUCUCAAAAAACGGUGGCCCACUUCAACAAACCUUUUGUCUCCCUUAAUUAUGAACAAUUCUAAGUGUUUGCCAAUUAUUAUUAUGGACUCAUUCUUUAAUGUAAGUUAUAUAUUAGUCUUGAUAUAUAAAGCCUAAAAAAGAUAAAGAACAAAUUUCUUGGAGCUUUCCUCUGGCAAAUAUUUUAAUUAUGAAUGCCAUUCUAUUGUGCUAAUUACAGUUUAAUUUCGGUCCUUAAAAAAAAGGUUUUUUUUUUAAAUUUCAGUCCGGCCUCUUUGUGAAAUUCCUUGGAGCUUUCCUUUGGCAAAUAUUUUCAUAUGAAUGGCAUUAUAGUGCUUUUCUUCUGUUGUGCUAACCACUUGGUUUCUUUGGGUUAUGGGAUUAUAAACAUUUCUAAGUGCUUGCCAAUUAUUAUUAUGAAGUCAUUCUUUAAUAUAAGUUAUAUAUUAGUCUUGAUAUAAGGUUAAGGAGGAGUUACGUGUAGUUCUAGGUAUUAUAUCAAAUUUUCUCAGAAUAUUUUUUAAUGGAGGGCGUUGGAUUGAAGAUGGUGGAAGGAUUUUAAACUCUCUGGCUGAUGGGUUCCAAUGGCAGCCUUAUCCUUUGAAGGAUCAAGUAAACAUAAUAAUCCAUGACAAGCACCAUAAACAGAGGGGAGAUCAUUCUUAAAAAAGGGCAAGUGAAUGUUUUGUUUUACUAUAUAAUUUUGAUCUUUUUCAUUUGAAAGUUGAGAGUAAUAAAGUUAGAAGGCGUUACCAUCAAGGCGACUAAGAAGUAGAUUAAGGUUGUUGUUUUCAAGGUUAUUGGAAAUGAAAUGAGGAGUUUGAAUAGAAGAACACCAAUACUUACAAACACAGUUGAAGCGAGUAAGGGAUUUAACUGGAAGCUUUGACAGAAUUUCAAUAACCAAAGCUUCUGGCAAUUCAAACCUUGGCCUCUGCAUCUUGCUAUUUUGUUGGUGUUAAGAGGCAAUAGCAAGCUGGUUUCAGCUUGCUUGGACAGCAAGUGUCGAGCCUUGCUGAAGAAACAAACUCAAAAAGAAACAGAAAUCAAGCUUGCAAGUGGAAAAACAGAAAAACGAGAGAGAGUUUGAAUGAAAAACAAACUGAAAGUUUUUCAUUAACAUUAAACAAGGCAUUGAGCCAUUACAUAUAUUAGCUAACAUGUAAUACAAACAAGUAAUUGCCUAAUCAACUACCUAACUCCACUAAUCUGUCUUGAAACUUACAAAAAUAGCUUCAUCAUAUUGCUAUGUUGAUUUUCAAUCAAUCAACAUCAAAAUUACAUCAAAACAUUUAUCUACUUAGUUCAACAUGAACUAGAUUACAAAAUAAUUAAAAUUCAACUAAAACACAACAAUUAAUUUGGCAACUUCAAGCUCCAGCUUCUGCACAUCAUGGCUCGACUGCUUGUUGCCAUUUCUUCUUGUAUGGCCACCUUUGCAUAGGAACUAAUCUCAACACUCCUCCUUAGUUGCCAUGUUAGUGACACCUAGUUCCUUCUUCAACUUUAUAAACCUUGACACAUUUAAAGCUUUGGUAAAAAUGUCAGCAAUUUGCUCCUCCGAAUUGCAAUGAACCAGCUCGAUUUCAUGAGCUUGUUCCAUCUCUCUUAUAACAUGUAGUUUGAUGUUAAAGUGCUUCGUUCUGCCAUGAAAGAUGGGAUUCUUUGCAAUUGCAACAGCAGAUUUGUUAUCACAGUAAAUCUCUGUUGCUUCUUCUUGGUUUUGGUUUAAAUCAGCCAAGAUUUUUCUAAGCCAUAUGGCUUGAUUCACAGCAGAUGCAGCAGCAACAUAUUCAACUUCUGCUGUUGAUUGUGCCACCAGACUCUGCUUCUUAGAACUCCAGCAAAACAUGCCUGAGCCAAGGCUAAAUGCAUAUCCAGAUGUGCUUCUCAUGUCAUCACAUGAUCCAGCCCAAUCACUAUCGACAUAGCCUAUUAACUUCAUGUUUUCAGCUCUUUUGAACAUCACACCAUGGUUAAUGGUGCCUUUGAUGUACCUCAGCACUCGUUUAGCUGCUUGAAAAUGCUGAUUGUUGCAGCAAUUCAUGCAUCUGGAUAGCACACUAACUGCAAACAUAAUAUCGGGCCUUGUUGCAGUCAAAUAUAGUAGACUACAAAUGAGACUUUUGUACAUAGUCUCACAAACUGGUUCACCAGUUUCCUGCCUCGAUAGCUUCAUUCCAACAACCAUUGGUGUGCUUGUUGGCUUGCAGUUCUUCAUUGAGAACUUGUUUAAAACUUUCAUAGCGAAGGAACUCUGGCUGAGAAAGAUUCCAGUUCCAUUUUGUUUUACUUCCAUUCCUAGGAAGUAGUUCAUUCUGCCUAAAUCAGACAUCUCGAACAUUUUCAUCAUUUUCUUCUUGAAAUCAUGCAUCAUAUUUUUGUCUCCUCCAGUUACUAACAAAUCAUCAACAUAGAGUGACAAGAUAAGUUGAGUCUCAGCUUAAUUUUUCUUCACAUGCAGUGUUGGUUCACUGGCACUUCUCUCGAAUUCCAAACUGAGCAAGUAGGAAUCAAUUCGAGCAUACCAGGCUCGAGGGGCCUGUUUCAGGCCGUACAAGGCCUUUUUCAAUCUGUAGACCAUGUGUUCUUUGCCAGUGACUACAAACCCUUGAGGUUGCUCAAUGUAAAUCUCUUCUUCUAGGAAGCCAUUGAGGAAUGCAGACUUCACAUCCAGCUGAUGAAUGGUCCACUGAUUUUGAGCAACCAAAGCAACUAUCAUUCUGACCGUGUCAAGUCUGGCUACUGGUGCAAAGGUUUCCAAGUAGUCCAGACCAUACCUUUGGCUAAAACCUUUGACAACAAGCCUGGCCUUCAGUUUGUUCAAACUGCCAUCUGCAUUUUGUUUUGCUCGAUAGACCCAUUUUACUCCAAUGGUCUUCUUUCCAGCUGGUUUAUCAACCAGCUCCCAUGUUUGAUUCUUUUGAAUCAUAUUGAUUUCAUCAAGCAUAGCUUGUUUCCAGCCUUCAUCUGCCUCAGCCUCUUCAAAACUGCUAGGUUCUGCUGUAGCAACCUGUGCCCUUUCAUAAAUCUCAUCUAGGGGCCUUGUGCCUCUCACAGGUACAUCAGCAACAUCCAACUCAGAACCAAGCUGCUCGAGUUCAGUUUGAUUAGGCACCAAGUCUUCUGAAACUGUUUCAGGCUCAUUUUUCUCUCAAUUCCAGCAAGCCUUUUCAUCAAAGAUAACAUCUCUGCUUACCUGAACUUUGCUUGUCAAGGGAUCCAGAAUCCUGUAGCCCUUCUUGACCGAGCUAUAGCCCACUAGGAUGCCAGGUUGGGAUCUCUUUGACAGCUUGUCCCUCUUUGCUGCUGGUAUUUGUGCAUAGCAUAGGCAACCAAACACCUUCAGAUGUGCCAAUGAAGGUUUGAAGCCAAACCAUGCCUCGAAAGGUGUCUUGGAUGCAAGAGCUUUGGUAGGAAGCCUAUUCUGAAGGUAAACAGCAGUGUUUACUGCCUCAGCCCACAUGGUCUUAGGCAGUUUCUUCUCAAACAGUAAGCAUCUUGCCAUAUCCAUUAGGCUUCUGUUCUUCCUUUCAGAUACCCCAUUCUGCUGAGGUGUGUACACAUUUGUUAGCUGGUGUUUAAUGCCAGCAUCAUUGCAAAUGGGUUGGAACUGAGUUGAAUUGUACUCAGUGCCAUUGUCUGACCUUAUCGAUUUCAGCUUGCAGCCUGUUUCUGUCUCUAUAGCAGUUUUAAACUUCACAAACACUUGAGCUACCUCAGACUUGUGUUUCAAGAAGAAAAUCCAGCAAAACCUUGUAAAAUCAUCAAUGAAGAGGAUGAAAUACUUGUUUUUGCUGAGUGAUUCAGUCCUCAUAGGUCCACAUACAUCAGAGUGCACCAGCUGCAAUCUUUCAGUGGCUCUCCAUGCUAAACUUGUAGGAAAUGGCAGUCUUGCCUGUUUUCCCAUCUGGCACACUUCACACACAUCAUCAUGCUCCAUUGAGCUGGUGAAGUUCUUUGCCAAUCCCUCUUUGGCCAAUCGAGCCAUUGAUCUGAAGUUGGCAUACCCGAGCCUUUGGUACCAAAUCUUGGAAUCAUCAACAGAGGCAGUGUAUGCUGACUUUGAGUUAUUUGGCCAAUGGACCUCAAAGCAUUUAUCAGUCAUUGUGACUGUCAUAAGGCUUGAUCCACUUAGAUCAGCAAUGUGGCACUGUUUGUCCUUGAACACAACAGAAUAACCUUUCUCAAGCAAUUGAGCUAUGCUGAGAAGGUUUCUGUCAAUUUCAGGUACCAGCAAGACAUUUGAGAUAACUUUGUUUCCUGUAGGAGUACAUAUCAGCACCUCUCCUCUUCCUUCAGCCCUUAUGAACUGACCAUUUCCAACCUUGACCUUGGUUUUGCAACUUCUAUCCAAGGUUUUAAAUAAGGAGGUAUCUGGUGACAUGUGGUUAGUACAACCACUGUCCAAUAACCAGCCUUUUGAACUUUUCUUUUCAGCAGCUAAGCAAGAAACAGCAAAGACCUGCUCUUCUUGAUCACUACUGUCCUCAGCCACUCGAGCUUCAACCUUUGGCUGCUGAAAUUGAUUCUGCCUUGGCUUAUUCCUGUUUUUACAGACCCUUUCAACAUGGCCCUUCUUCUUGCAGUGUUGGCACACAGCAUCUGGCCUAAACCAGCAUCUAUCUUCUGGAUGUCUUGACCUCUUGCAAUAUCUGCAGGGCUGGUCAUUGCUCCUUGCAGCAUCAGGCUUAGGCCUACUUUUCCAAGGCUUUUUGCCUCUUUGAGCAUUUACGCUUGAGGCUUCUCUGGCUUUGGCUUGAAAUGCACCUUCUUGGUGAUCUUCAGCUCUGCUAGCUCUCCUUUGUUCCUGAGCAUAAAAGGUGUUAAUUAGCUCAGUCAAAGAGAUGCUAGCAAGAUCUCUUGAGUCCUCUAAGGAGGAUAUCUUUGCCUCAUAUCUCUCAGGCAAAGUGGAGAGGACUUUCUCCACAAUUCUUGCCUCAUCAAAGUGCUCACCAAGGAGCCUUAUGCUGUUAACCACUGCCAUGAUUCUAUCUGCAUACUGCUUCACUAUUUCUUCUUCCUUCAUCUUCAGAUUCUCGAAAUCCCUUCUCAAAUUCAAUAGCUGCUGUUGCCUUGUCCUCUCAGUGCCUUGAAACUCCUCCUUAAGCUUGUCCCAGGCCUGUUUUGGAGUCUCACAGGCCAUAAUUCUGGUGAAGAUGACAUCUGACACACAGUUCUGGAUGCAAGACAUGGCUUUGUGCCUCUUGGUCCUCUCAUCAGCAUGUUGUCUGAUCUGAGCUACUGUGGGAUUAGCCCUCAGUGGUGCUGGCUCAGCAUCUGUGUUGACAACUUCCCACAGAUCAAAAGCCUGCAGGUAAGUCUUCAUCUUUACCAGCCAUAUAUGAAAGCCUUCUCCAUUAAAGACUGGUGGGGCUGCUGGUGAAAAUCCUGAAGAAGCCAUCAGGUUCCUUGACUUUAAGUAACAGGUCCACUAAGACAAGAGCUCUAGAUACCAAUUUGUUGGUGUUAAGAGGCAACAGCAAGCUGGUUUUAGCUUGCUUGGACAGCAAGUGUCGAGCCUUGCUGAAGAAACAAACUCGAAAAGAAACAGAAAUCAAGCUUGCAAGUGGAAAAACAGAAAAAGGAGAGAGUUUGAAUGAAAAACAAACUGAAAGUUUUUCAUUAACAUUAAACAAGGCAUUGAGCCAUUACAUAUACUAGCUAACAUGUAAUACAAACAAGUAAUUACCUAAUCAACUACCUAACUCCACUAAUCUGUCUUGAAACUUACAAAAAUAGCUUCAUCAUAUUGCUAUGCUGAUUUUCAAUCAAUCAACACAAAAGUACAUCAAAACAUUUAUCUACUUAGUUCAACAUGAACUAGAUUACAAAAUAAUUAAAAUUCAACUAAAACACAACAAGUAAUUUGGCAACUUCAAGCUCCAGCUUCUGCACAUCAUGGCUCGACUGCUUGCUGCCAUUUCUUCUUGCAUGGCCACCUUUGCAUGGGAACUAAUCUCAACAUAUUUUGAUUUUCUUUGUAAUUGACUAAGAGGAAUAAAUAAGCAAGCAAAAGGGGAGUUGGUAGGUGUCAUCUAUGGUCGAAACCUUAACCAUGAAGCAAACAUAAAAGGUAAGCAUUUGAUACAUUAUAAUAAUUAUAUGCAAUUUAGGAAAUUUCCUUAUUUGCUCAUUUGUAUCCAUGUGAAGAAUGAUUAAGAUUGAAUAUAAUCUAAUAUAUACCUUUUGAAUUUUAUCCCCAAUUUUUAAAAGAAUAAAUUUAAAGAAUACAAUACGCUCAACAUUUAUGUACUUUUUGUAUAUUUAAAAUUUAAUCCCUAAUUUUUUAUUUUUAAAAAUUUAGUCUCUUUAUUUUUAAAUUUUAGAAAUUUAGGAUCGUUAAAAUUAUUUGACAUAAUUGUUGAAAAUACCUUCCAUGUUUAUGAGUUUUUGUGUUUGAGCCAUUAACCUUCUUUUUUUAUUGACACCCUCAACAUUACAAUUUGUUUAGAAAUCAACCUAAUUUUCACGGGAUACAAGAGUUGAUCGUCAGUCAAACAAAAGGUUAACGAAGUAGCCUAUGUGGCGUGUCAUAUAUGCACGAGAUCAUAGAUGAUGGCAUCUAUAAAAACAAAAUUGUUUAAAAAAAAUUUUUUAUUUUGUUUCAAUAUUCUUUAUUCUUCUCCUCUUUCUCUCUUCCCCUCUAGCUCCUGUCAUCGUCGUGUCCAAACCCUUCCACCGUUGCCUUCCCUCUCACUCCUAACCGUUGUUCUCACCAAAAAUGUUAGAAGAAAUGUUAGAAGAGAUACUAAUAUAUAUAGAAUUUAUCUGAAUUCAUCCCUCAAAGUCAGAAAAAAAAAUACAUCUUCAAUCACCAGCAAUAUCAUACAAUCAUUAAAAUCCAAAACACCAACUAAAAAAAAAACUAGCUUUCAUCCUAUUGACAAAUUUUGAAGAACAUGUAGAAAACUCAAAAUAAACCUUACCAUUAACAAUCCACAAAGAUCAUAAACAAAGCAACACAACAAAGACAUUAAACUGGGGAUAAAAAAAAAAAAAAGGUACUGACUUUAUCCAUGGAAAAAAAGGGCCAACCCAUUUGAGAAAAACAUCAACCAAUAAUCCUAGAAAGGUAAGUAAAAUUCCCAACUUGAUUCAGUACCAAAUAGACCUUCUCGAUUGAGAACAAAAACCUGGCUCCUUUAGCAAAGAAUUAUUCUCUUCCGCUUCACAUUAUUCUAAUAAUCUCUGUCUCAAACUUACCCUUUUCUCAUUAACAUCAUCAUCACCUUCAACUCAUAAUUUUAGCUCCGGCAUCACUUCUCCUCCCUCAUCAUCAUUUUUAUCAUCAUUGAAAGUCAUUGAAUUUUUAGAACAAGAACCCAAAUUUCACCUGAGAAAAUUAGAGAAGGUGAAGCAAUAAAUGGAUAGAUGAAUUGAAAAACAAAGAAGGAUAUCAAAUAUACCGAAAGAAACCAAACCUAAACCAAACAAAGCGAGUUUGAUUUUUCUAGUUUUUUUAAAUUUAAAAGAAAACCAAAACCCUAAAAUGGGUUACAACAGUGAGUCUCUUUUUGCUUUUUCUUUAUUCUUUUUGGUUGUAUAGAAUUUUGGGUGUUUGACGAAAUUGUCUUUUGUAAGGCUAGCAGAGAUGAACUAGACGUUGAUGAUGAUGAUGAGGAGGAGGAUGGAGAUGGAGAAGAUUUUGGGACAUUUAUGGUAAGAUCGAGGUGAGGUGUGAGAGGGAAGGCGACAGUGGUGGGGGUUGUCUAGCCACAUAGGCUACUUUGUUGACAUGUGGUUUGAUUGACUGUCAACUCAUGUUUCUCACUAAAAUUUGGUUAAUUUCUAAAAAAAUCGUAACGUUGAUAAUGUCAAUUCAAAAAAAAAAGAAGGUUAAAAGCCCAAACCCAAAAACCUAUAAAUGUUGAGGGUAUUUUCGACAAUUAUGCCAAAUUCUUUUGUUAAAUUUGUCGGUUUGAUAUUCUAAAUUUCUUUUUUUUUUUAAAAAACCAUACUCCAUAAUCAUAUUACCGAAAAUGGCAUUAUAAUGGACUUGAAGCUAACAAAAAAAUUUAACGAUGUUAACGCUUCUUUAAACUUACGUCAAAAUUUUAAUUAGAAUAAAAUAUUUAGUCAACGUUGAAGCACCAAACUAUAAAAGAAGUAUAAAGGCUAAAUCUCGAAUUUUAACAUAGUAUAGAGACCAAAUUUGAAAUUUAACUAUUUUUAUCCAUGUGAGCAUUUGAUAGGUUAUAAUAAUUAUAUGCAAUUUAGGAAAAUUUCCUUAUUUGCAUUUGUAUCCAUGUGAGGAAGGAUUAAGAUCAAAUAUAAUAUAAUACAUACUUUUUGAAUUUAAUCCCUGAUUUUUAAAAGAUUAAAUUUAAAGGAUAUCACAUUUAUGUACUUUUGUAUAUUUGAAAUUUAAUACUUAAUUUUUAUUUUUAAGAAUUCAAUCUCUCUAUUUUUUUAAAAUUAUAAAUUUUGGUAUGGUUAACACCGUUAAAAUUGUUAAAAUUCUUUGGCAUAAUUGUCGAAAAUACUCUCAAUGUUUAUGGGUUUUUGGGUUGAGCUCUUAAAUUAUUUUUUUUUUGGAUUGACACCCUCAAUGUUACGAUUUUUCAUAAAUCAAUCCAAUUUUAACAGGAAACAUGAGUUAACCGUUAGUCAAAUCGCAAGUCAAUGAAGUAGCCUAUGUGGCUUGCCACAUAAGCAUGAGGUCAUAGAUGAAGUCAUUUAUAAAAAUAAAAUUGUUUAACAAAUUUUUUUUCAUUUUGUUUCAAUCUUCUUUUCUCUUCUUCUCUUUCUCUCUUCCCCUCUAGCUGUUGUCGCCGUUGUGUCCAACCCUAUCGUCGCCUUCCCUCUCACUCCUCACCAACCCAACCCCCACCACCUCUCACUUCCCUCUCACUCCUCACCGUUGAUCUCAUUGGCAUCUCUUCUAACAUUUGUGGUGAGAUCGACAGUGAAGAGUGAGAGGGAAGGCGGCGGCGGUGGGGGUUGGACACAACGGCAACAGUAGCUAGAGGGGAAAAUAUAAAGAGGAGAAGAAAUAAAUUGAAACAAAAUGAAAAAAAAUGUUAAACAAUUUUGUUUAUAGAUGACAUCAUCUAUGAACUCGUGCUUAUGGGGCACGCCACAUAGGCUACUUCGUUGAUCUGUGGUUUGACCGACUGUCAACUCACAUUUUCCGUUAAAAUUGGGCUGACUUAUUAAAAAAUCGUAACGUUAAGGGUGUCAAUCCAAAAAAAAAAAAAGGUUAAUGGCUCAAACCCAAAAACUCAAAAAUAUUGAGGUUUUUUCGACAAUUAUGCCAAAUUCUUUGUUAAAUUUGUUGGUUUGAUAUCCUAAAAUUUUUUUUAAAAAAAAAGUACUUACUCCAUAAUCAUGUCACAGAAAAUGGCAUUAUAAUGGACUUGAAGCUAAUAAGAAAAUAUUAAAGAUGUUAACACUUAUUUAAAUUUACGUAAAAAAUUAAUUAGAAUAAAAUAUUUAGACUAAAUAAUGACAUUAUAAACAUUGAAGCACCAAAUUAUAAAAAAGUAUAAAGUCCAAAUCUCAAAUUUUAACAUAGUACAAAGACCAAAACUGAAAUUUAAAUAAUCAUACAAUUACUUUCUUUUUUGUUGCAUAUCAUUUCCAAAUACAUAAAACGAUCCAUAUUCAACUAUAACAUAUUGUACACCAAAAAAUAAUUUUGAAAUCAAACAAUUGAAGAAAAAGAGUUAGCUGGAUGCUACAGAACAGUAGUCAAUGUCUGUCAGUUUGACUUUGGCUUGCGCUGCAUGAUUCUAGCUUGUUAUGAAUGCUUAAACUAUGGGUCACUUUCAUAAGACUUUUUCUCUAAUUCCAUGUCCAUUGUAAUUGCUGAAAUUCAUCUUCAUUUUUAGCUACUUGUUAGUGUAUAAAUUGUAGAAAAAUGUCUUCGUUUAAGUUCGAAUUGUUGUAAACUGUCCCUUAAAAAUCUUUAAUACGCAUUGAAGAAAUGAAAACUCGAAUGAAAUACAUGCAUGUUAUCGUGUUUGUUGUGAGUAUGAUCAUUGCAGGGUUCAAUGGAGUCGAUGCAAUGAGUAAAUAUUACAGUCACUGCGGGAAACAUGACAUCGAAAAGGAGGCUCAAAAUCUGUUCCCAUGUUAUGAGAUUAGUUAACGGGAAACAUGAGUUAACCGUUAGUCAAAUCGCAAGUUUCUUAUUUAAAUAAGAAACAUGUCCUAAACAUGGUAUAUCACCACUCAAUAAGAAACCGAUUGGAAGUAUGACAGAGGAUGUUGUGCAAAGUCGGAACAUGUCCUAAGCUGUAUGUUGUACAAACUCUGAACCUGUCAAUACCAAGUCCGGCCAUAGUGUGGGCAAUUGGUUCCAAAGAGCUAUAUCACCACUCAACAAUUGCUUUUAAAUAAGAAACAAAAAAAUUGAUUAGAUUACAGAUAAAUUACUUAAUAGUUUCAAGUGAAGAAUGUAUAUGCGUACUUGGAGUCGUGGCCGGGUUAGAAUAGGUUGUGGAUGGGUGCAAGGCUUCCUUGCAUUGUAUGGGGGCACCGGCAUGUCAUGAGCGUCUUGCGCCCAAAUUCCAUGUAUUUUGAAUUCAGUUGGGAUUGGGAGUUUACAGUUGAAAGUAGAGCUGCAAACAGAGGAGGCCACUGCAGUGCCAACUUAUAGAAGUCUACCACUGGAAUUACUGGCGGCUGGGGUACUGCAAAUGCUACCCAUAAUGAAAAAUGAUACAAUGCAUUUUUACAAAUUUACAAAUCAAAAGAGAACUACUCCAUAUAUAGAUCUUACAUGCAUAGAUGGUCGGGCUGAGAUUGGAUGAUUGUGCUUUGCAAGCAGCUGGUUUAUGAUCUCCUUUAUAAGCUUGGCACACAUAUUUCACGAAAUUUUCAAAGUCCUGCAACCAUGAAAUAAAUGUUGAAGUUACUUGUCACAAAAUGUUACUUCACAGUCACACCAAGAGGGAGAAAUAAACAAACUCACUUGUCUGAGUGGCUGAUUAUUCACCACCACCCAUGGCACAUAUUCUUGAGGUGGCUUCAGAUGUGCAGUCUCGUUAGCAUAUUGCAGCAGAAGCUGCAUUUUAUUAACUUGGAAAUUCAAUGUUAGAAAAAGCUAAGGAGAAGUGUUAAUUAAAUACUAAUACAUGCAGCCAACCUUAUAUCCAAAUCCAGUAGUAUAGCAUUGGUUGAUUAUCACCUCAUUCAAUCUCAGCUUUUCACUGCAAUUUUUCCACAGUGCUUCAACGGGCCACCCCUUUAAGCUUUGUUGCUCUGUGCAGCCAAUGAAUUCCAAGUGUUCUUUCUGCUACAAAGUAGAGUAAGUAAACACGAGUUGGAGACGAGUACAAAUACUUAUGGCUAAUAGAAGUUACCACAUCAGGCCAGAAAUGGAUGACACAACUAUGUAUAGUGUUUAAGUGGCAUUCUUCUUCUCCAUGCUGGACAUUGUUGCAUAAACUAUAAUUAGUUACAGUAGAAGAAAGAAAUUGAACUUCAUUAGUUAAUAAUGAAAAUAUAUUAAAAUGAAGAAUGGAGUUGUAAACCUGGCAAUGGAUUUCAGCAUUGCUCCAAGGGACCAAUCUUAGAUUGAUAAUGGUAUGGAGGUCAGUGUGGAAGACCUUGACGAGGUCGUUGGAGAUAAAGGAGGCACAACGUGGACAUAAACUUGUUUCAUAGUACAGUGACACAGUAACCCUGUCAUUAACAUUAUCUAAAGAGGAAUGGGAGGGAGAAAUAAGCCAAAAUAUUGCAAGAGCAGACAGAAUAUAGAAGAUCAGUGGUUGAAGAUAAGCCAUUGUUUUAGUGGUAGCUUCUGCACAAUGCUGAACCUCCAUUAUGCAAUGUUUUUUAUAGUUGAGAAAGGGGAUGAUGGCUAUUGUUUUCUAUCACUUUCAGAAACCAUGUGACGUUAUCACUUUCAGAAACCACUUUAAAAAAUUAUUUACAUGAAGAUUGUUUAUUUAUGUAUAUGGUUCUUGCUUUUUCUAAUUUUACUUUGGAAAUUACAAAAAUAAUCAACAUUGUAGUUAUAUCUAAUACUAGUUUCAAUCACAUGUAAUAAGUUCCACGUUAAUAAAAUAAGUCCUUAAUUUUUCUUAACAUGGCUUUCGAUGUGUCUGUUUCAAUAUGUAUAAAUAUGGGGAAUCAACUUCACAAGUAAUUGCUUAUAAUGGUUUAUUGCUUAUAACAAUUGAUAUAUAUAUGUAUAUAUAUGAACUUAACCAAACAUCCUCAAAGUUGUUGGAAUUUUGGUUUCUUUAAAAUUUUAGUAGGGUUUAAAACUUGAUUAAGAGUAUGGUAAUUAAUGGUUAGAGGAGAAAAUGAAUUGAUUUGUUUUUAUAAGUACUGUUAGUCUUUCACAUGAAAUAGGGUAAGAAUCUCAAUUUAACAAAAAUGGAUUUGCUUUUAUCAAAGUCUCAAGAUUAUAAGGUAGCAUUGGUUGGCUGGUAUUUUCAUGCGUAAAAAUAUAUUCAUUUUUGUUAAAUUGUGAUUUUUCCUACACUUGUAUGUGAUUCACACUAGCAGGUAAAUUCUUUCGUUUGUUGAGUAAAUUAAAUUAUCAAAGGUGUUCAAAGUCAAAUAUUAACUUAAAUGUUGCAAUAAUUAAUGCAAAAGGGAGAUUAUGAGUGAUUGUUGGAGGUCAUACCAUAGGUAGAAAGGGAGGAAACAGUGGGACAACCAACAAAGCCAAGACUUGAUCCAUUUAUACUCAGCCAUUAAGAUGUAAUGUAGUAGUUUAUACUUCUGAUUUUGGUUUCUCAAGAAUUAGAUUUAUCCAUAAUCGAAUUGGAUUGAGAUUAUCUCAAGUUUUCCUAACGUAACCAAUGCCACAUUUAUUAAAAGUAUAUAAUCAUGUUUUAAAGUAGAAAAAAAUGAUUUUAUUCUUUGCAUCUUUGUUUUGAUUUGUAAGAAACUUGCAAGUAUAACUAUGCCAUUUUGGAAGGACAAUCAGAGUGCUUAUGGAGCAAAUCUUAACAAUAAAGCAAAGAAGCAUUUAAUACAUUAAUUUUAUUCUUGUAGUGACAGCGAUGUUUAAUUUUUAAGAGUUAUUAAAACUCUUUAUUUGCAACCCAAUGGUUAUCUGAAAUCGAAUUAAAUUUCUUUUUAUUUAAUAUACAAUUAAUUUUAAUUUUUUAUUAUAAAAAUAAAUAUUAUUUGUUUAAAAUAGUAUAAAUAACUUAAAAAUUCUUGUAAAAUCAUUAUUAUUAUUUUUUUGCAAAUAUUUAUUAAAAGGGCUUUCAAAUUUGUCAAAUAAUAUUAAAAAAAAGCAUAAAACAAAGUCAAUUUUGUUAAAAUAAGUCUAAAAAUCUAAAAUAAAACAUUAUUAUGAAAAAAUUAACAACUCUUCAUAAAUUCUAUUUAUGCCCCCAAAAAUGAUACAAAUUUGAUUUAUUCUCUAAAAAUUUAUAUAGAUAUAAGUUAUUAAAAUUGUGAAAUUGCAUCUUUACUAUCAUAAAAAUAUAUAAUUUUAUCCCCAAAAUAAAACUUUCCUAGCUUCACCCCUGAUCGACAAUGCUAAUAUAAGUUUGUUACAAAAGAUUGGCAUUAUAGUGGAAUUGGAGCUAACAAAAAAAAAAAUAACAAUGUUAAUGUUUCUUUAAAUUUAGGUCAGAAUUUUUAUUAGAAUAAAAUAUUAAGGGUAAAUUACACAUAAAAGUCCUAUUUUUUUAAAAUUUACCGAAAUGGGCCCGGUAUUUUAUUAUUUACCGGAAUGGGCCAUUUUCCCCGAAAUCGCCUCCACGUCAGCGCGAUGUCAGGGGAUGUGUCAGCAAAUCGCGUCCACAUCAGCGCGAUUACUUACGUGGCAACAAAUCGCGUCCACGUAAGCGCGAUUUGCUGACGUGGAAGCAAUAAUUCAUGAACAGUUUAUGUUUUUUAGCUUGGAAAACUUUGAAAGGCCAUAACUUUUGACUCGGUUAUCCGAUUGAGACGAUUCAUUAAAAUACAUUAACAUUACCUAAAGAGGAAUGGGAGGGAGAAAUAAGCCAAAAUAUUGCAAGAGCAGACAGAAUAUAGAAGAUCAGUGGUUGAAGAUAAGCCAUUGUUUUAGUGGUAGCUUCUGCACAAUGCUGAACCUCCAUUAUGCAAUGUUUUUUAUAGUUGAGAAAGGGGAUGAUGGCUAUUGUUUUCUAUCACUUUCAGAAACCAUGUGACGUUAUCACUUUCAGAAACCACUUUAAAAAAUUAUUUACAUGAAGAUUGUUUAUUUAUGUAUAUGGUUCUUGCUUUUUCUAAUUUUACUUUGGAAAUUACAAAAAUAAUCAACAUUGUAGUUAUAUCUAAUACUAGUUUCAAUCACAUGUAAUAAGUUCCACGUUAAUAAAAUAAGUCCUUAAUUUUUCUUAACAUGGCUUUCGAUGUGUCUGUUUCAAUCUUUAUAAAUAUGGCGAAUCAACUUCACAAGUAAUUACUUAUAACAAUUGAUAUAUAUGUUUAUAUAUGAACUUAACCAAACAUCGUCAAAGUUGUUGGAAUUUUGGUUUCUUUAAAAUUUUAGUAGGGUUUAAAUCUUGAUUAAGAGUAUGGUAAUUAAUGGUUAGAGGAGAAAAUGAAAUGAUUUGUUUUUAUAAGUACUGUUAGUCUUUCACAUGAAAUAGUGUAAGAAUCUCAAUUUAACAAAAAUGGAUUUGCUUUUAUCAAAGUCUCAAGAUUAUAAGGUAGCAUUGGUUGGCUGGUAUUUUCAUGCGUAAAAAUAUAUUCAUUUUUGUUAAAUUGUGAUUUUUCCUACACUUUUAUGUGACUCACGCUAGCAGGUAAAUUCUUUCGUUUGUUGAGUAAAUUAAAUUAUCAAAGGUGUUCAAAGUCAAAUAUUAACUUAGAUGUUGCAAUAAUCAAUGCAAAACAGAGAUUAUGAGUGAUUGUCGGAGAUCAUACCAUAGGUAGAAAGGGAGGAAACAGUGGGACAACCAACAAAGCCAAGACUUGAUCCAUUUAUCAAAUCCUUGCUAUCUCAACUCAGCCAUUAAGAUGUCAUGUAGUAGUUUAUACUUCUGAGUUUGGUUUCUCAAGAAUUAAAUUUAUUAUCAAAAUUAGAUUUAUCCAUAAUCGAAUUGGAUUGAGAUUAUCUAACGUAACCAAUGCCACAUUUAUUAAAAGUAUAUAAUCAUGUUUUAAAGUAGAAAAAAAUGAUUUUACAAAACACACAAGUUUUUAUAAGAGAAGAUUAGAAAGGAACAUAGCCUUUUGAAGUUGUAAUUUGUGAUGGGAAAGAAACGAUAAAACUUUGAUUUAAUUCUCUAAAAAUUAUAAAGAUAUAAGUUCCUGAAAUAGUAAAAUUGCAUUUUAACUAUCGUAAAAUUAUACAAUUUAAUCUCUCCAAAAUGAAAUUUUCCUAACUUCAUCCCUAAUUGACAAUACUAAUUUAAAUUUACUCCUAAGUCGUAUUUUAGAUCCGUCACUAUGCACACAAAAUUUUCAUCACCCAAGCUUCGGGUAGUUGAAAGCUCCUCCUUUGCAUCUUUGUUUUGAUUUGUAAGACACUUGCAAGUAUAACUAUGCCAUUUUGGAAGGACAAAACCUUAACAAUAAAGCAAAGAAGCAUUUAAUACAUUAAUUUUAUUCUUUUGGUUACAGCAAUGUUUAAUUUUUAAGAGUUAUUAAAAGUCUUUAUUUGCAACCCAAUGGUUAUCUGAAAUCGAAUUAAAUUUCUUUUUAUUUCAUAUAUAAUUAAUUUUAAUUUUUUAUUAUAGAAAUAAAUAUUAUUUGUUUAAAAUGGUAUAAAUAACGUAAAAAUUCUUGUAAAAUCAUUAAUUUUUUUGCAAAUAUUUAUUAAAAGGGCUUUCAAAUUUGUCAAAUAAUAUUAAAAAAAAGCAUAAAACAAAGUCAAUUUUGUUAAAAUAAGUCUAAAAAAUAUAAAAUAAAAAAUUAAUAUGAAAAAAUUAACAACUCUUCAUAAAUUCUAUUUAUGCUUAAAUAAGUCUAUUAGAAAGGGCAUGCCGUUUUAGCAAUGAAAAUAUAUUUUUAAAUAAUUUCAGAGUUUUUCUUCAAUUAUCUUAAAUUUUUACCCAUAUAUCAUAGGGGUUAUUAAGCUUUAUUGAAAACAAAUAUUUAGAUGGAUCUUAUAAACAUCCAUCUGUGACACUCAUAUACUUGUAUGGAUAUAAUUUUUUUUUUAAAUAUUCAUAUCAAUUAUUAAUUAUUUUUUAUAUCCUAUAAUUACUUCCUAAUUCAAUCUUAAUAUUCAAAGCAAUGGGUAUGAGGAGAAGCUUCGAGUUGAAAUUAAUACAAAAAAAGUAAAAGCAUAUACAGAAAAAAAAAUUCUAUUUAUGAAAAAUUUAACAUGUGGGUUGACUCAAUAGCUUUCAAAAAGCCAAACAAAAUUAAACUCUUGGUGGGAAAAAAGGGGGAAAAUAGAAAAUUGGAAGAAUAAAACCCCAAACUUUUAAAAGUAAAUACUUUUUUGGGAGGGAAAAGAUUUGAUUUUUUUUUUGUUCAAUUGCUAGAAUCUGGUUAGUGAGUUUCCCUUUUCUCUGUUUCCAAACUUUCAAUUAUUUAUCUAUUUAUGUAAGAAGGUUGCAGUUUAUAAGAAGUUAAUCCCAAAGCUUUGAUGGACAAAAGAAAACAUGUGUGAAACUAUCAAAGAUUCCAUUGACAGUAAACAAAAAUGGAUUUGCUUUCACGUAUCAACUUACCUAGCUACCAUAAUAUUAAUGCAAAUUCCUUUCUCAAACAAUGCUUUGAGUCUCAAAAUUAUAAUGUAGAAUUGGUUAGCUGGUAUCUUCAUGCAUCAAGAUAUCCUUAUUGGCAGGUUUAUCCAUGUGAAGAAGGAUUACGAUAAAAUAUUCUUAUUUGCAGGGCUAACCACUACCAAAUUUACUGGCAAAAAUAAAGUAGAUUAGUUUUUCAAGAAAAUCGGUCAAUUUUAAUUUUUAUGCAAAUCAUUGGACACCAUCAAUAAAAAUUAAUAAUUAUUUAAAGAGAUAUUGUCAUAUUUAUGAAAAGGGUUUUCAAAUUUAUCAAAUAAUAUUAAAAAAAAUGCACAAAACAAAGUUAAUUUUGUCAAAAUAAGUCUAAAAAUUCAAAACCAAAAAUUAAUAUGAAAAAAUCGAGAACCGAACUAUGAUGGACAGUUUAAAAACUCUAAAACCCCCGACUGUAUAGUAAUACUCUAUUUAUUUAUAGAGAGAAGAAGACGCACCUACGUAUUACUAAAAUAUUUGAAUUCAACAUUAUAAUCAUGUCACAAAAAAUAAAAUUAUAAUGGACUUGAAUUUAACAAAAAAUUUAACGAAGCUAACGCUCCUAUAAAUUUAUGUCAGAAUUUUAAUUAGAAUAAAAUAUUUAAACUAACUAAUGACAUUAUAAACGUUGAAGCACCAAACUAUAUAAAAAAGAUCAAAUAUAAAGUUUAAAUCUCAAAUUUUAACAUAGUAUAGAGACUAAAAUUGAAAUUUAUCUAUUAAUGUAUAAAGGUUGCACUUUACAAGCACUUAAGUGUUUGAUGAAAAGGAUAUAAAUUAAUUAUAUAAUAUAAACUACCAUGCCACAAUAAUUAUAUAAUAUACAAAUUCAUUAUACCCAUGCAGACUUCAUUUAUGCAUACAACGUAAUCUUAAAACUUAAAGUUGAAUAUAAUUAUUGUAACUUAACGUGGAUUGAAUGCAAAACUUAGGGUGGGUUUGGAUGGGCGAUUGGGUGCGGUGCGGUGCGUUUAGCCUACAUUUUGUCUCACGCUACAGUGUUGCUACAGUAUUUAAUCUCACCGCCACCGUUGUUUUUACAUUAACCGCAGGUAAACGCACUGCCCAUCCAAACUCACCCUAAGUAUAUCUUUAUAUUUAUUAGUGUUCAUCUAUUGCUUUCAAUAAACCACAUGUACAUAUUGAUUAUGACAUUCUAAAAUAAACACAACAUUUUAACAUAACUCUUAUAAUACAUUCUUUCAACUCUAACAUAUCAUAUCAUAUCAUUACAUUAAUUACACAUAAAAUAUUCUUUUACACAUAAUCUGCCAAAAUAUUAUUUGUUGUUAUCAUCAUACCGUAAAAUGAACCGGACUACAAAUUCAAUGCAUUUAGGGAAUAUUAUUUGAGAAAUGUCUUAGUUAUGCUGAAUAUUGCAUUCAAGAAAUGGAAACUCAAGUGAAGUAGAUGUGGGUUAUGGUGUUUAUUGUGAGUAUUAAGCAUUGCAGGGUUCUAUGGAACUCAAUAGCUUUCAAAAAGUCGAACAAAAUUAAAUUGUUAGUGGGGAUUGAAACUCAAUCGAUAAAAAAAGAAAAAGAAGAGAAAAUUGAAAAUUGAAAAUUGAAAAUUGGAAGAAUAAACAAUUAAUGUAAAUAGAAAUCUGAUUGGUGAGUUUUCAUUUUUGUUUUAUGAAAUUUCUCUUUUCUUUGUUUCCAAUCUUUCAAUUGUUUAUCUAUUUAUGUAUGAAGGUUGCAGUUUAUAAGAUCUCAAAUGUUUGAUAAAAAGAAUUUAAAUUAAUCCCAAAGCUUUAAUGUGCAAAAGAAAACAUGCCAAAAUUGUCAAAGAUUCCAUUGACAACAAACAAAAAUGGAUUUGCUUUCACAUAUCAACUUACCCACCAUAAUAUUAAUGCAAAUUCCUUUAUCAAAACAAUGCUUUGAGUCUCCAAAUUAUAAUGUAAAAUUGGUUAGCUGGUGUUUUCAAGCAUCAAAAUAUAUCUAUUUUUGUUGUGAUUCACACCAGCUGACAGAAAGAUUAGCUUAGCAAGAUUCCUUGCUUUGUUGAGUAAAUUGAAAUUAUUGAAGGUGUUCAAGGUCAAAUAUUAACCUAAAUGUUACAAUAUUUAACGCAAAAGGAAUACCAUAAGUGAUUGUUGCAUAUCAUACCAUAGAUAAAAAGGAAUAAAACGGUGGGACAACCAACAAAGUCAAGACUUGAUUCAUUUAUCAAAUCCUUGCUAUCUCAGCUCAGCCAUCAAAAUGUAACGUAGUAGUUUAUACUUGUGAGUUUGGUUUCUCAAGAAUUGAAUUUAUUAUCAAAAUUCAACAUUUCCAAUAAUUAUCAAAAUACCGGUGAGCUCCAGUUUCCGAGCGUUGCUGCGCUAUAAUAGAGAAAAAGCUUAGCAAUCCAGACUGUCUCUGUGCUAUUUUGCAAACUCGUAUGCUGGAGUGAGAAAUGAAAUCCAAGUGUAGCCAGUUUUCUCAAUUCAUAUUUGAUCUUUAAGAUAUCAUCCCUAUUAUUUAGGGAUGGCAAAACUCAAACCAUCAUUCAGAAUAGAGAGGAUUUUCUUUUGAAAGUGAAUGCAGAUUGAAUUUUAUAGUAGUUAAAGCAAUUAACACACAAGCUUGUAACACAAGGUAACUUGAAAAAAGUACCAUAAUUUCACUCACUCGAACGAAAUGGGAUCAUGGCAACAUGGAUUUGUGGCUGAUUCGAUGCUCGUGUUGUGUUGUGGUGUUCAUCGGAUCUUCAUCUGUUUAAGAAUCUUAACCAUCAGGUGAGACCUGUUUUGGAUUAAGUUAUAAAAAUUAUGCCACUUACAGCAAUUAUUUUAAUUAGUUAAUGACAACCUUAAACAUCAAAUCCUCUUCGACUUGCAAUUUUUUUCCGCAGAAAACAAUAUCAACAUCUAAGCAAUCUUAUAGAUAUCUAACCAACAAAAACCAAAUAUAAACUGAACAAUUCUCCAAAUACAGAAACCAGGAAAUAGUUAACAUCUCAAACAUAUAACCCAAACAAUAACAGCAAUAUUAAGAAGCUCACAACAAAAAAUUCCUAUUACAUCUUACACAUAUAUGUUCUAGCUCCGCAUCCCUCUUCAUAUUCAGUAUCCAUUUCAUGCCUUCUUCAUAUUUAGUAUUCAUUUGAUGCAUCUCUCGCUGGUUGACGUAUUACAUGUUUCUCAAUAUUCUCUUGUAUUCCAUUGAUACGAACCAGGCUCUCUAAAUAUGCAUGAAGGGAGAUGGUGAACCGAAAAUGAUCUAGAUAAGUAUUAAUCUGAAGCUCCUUAAGCUCUUGGGUGGAGGCGUCAAAUAGGAGUACUUCAUCAUUUGUGUCUCUAAGAAACAAGUCACCAUUUUUCCCAAAUCCCAAUGGGUGUACAACUCCAGAAAUGGAUUUAAUAUUGAAUUGUUUAGUCCACACUCCUUCACUUGUAACCCAUAAAUCAAAAGACGUGUCAAUUCCUUCCGUUGGGUAAACAAUAGCACCAAGUGAUCCAUUAAACACCAAUAGAUUAACAUAGUAUUCUGGGAAAGACCCAACGAAUUCUGGGAUAGGUAAAAUUGAGAACUUCUCAUUCCCCAUGUCAAAUGAAAGAAUUAGUCCUCUAAAAUCAAGAUAUGCCCGUCUCUGUUUUCAUAUAGCAAAUUCCGUCUACAUAAUUAUUUCCCAAAGUUGUUCCAGUUGGUUUAUAAUCAGGACAUGGAAUUUCCUUCCAGGAAUUACUUCUAAGAGAAUACAACUCAACUUGGUACAUAAAAUGAGAAUGUGGAUAUUGUUCUUCACUAUUAACAAAAGUAAGAGUAACAAAUCGUAUGACUUUGUAGUCAUCAGUUUUAGAAUCAAACCCAAAAGAAGCGUGGUUAAAUUCAACGUGAUCUAAAGUAAGGUAGGUUUCUUCGAAUGGGGAAAAAUAUGGAGGGCGUUGGAUUGAAGAUGGUGGAAGGAUUUUAAACUCUCUGGUUGAUGGGUUCCAAAUGGCAGCCUUAUCCUUUGAAGGAUCAAGUAAACACAACAAUCCAUGACAAGCACCAUAAACAGAGGGGCGAUCAUUCUUAAAAAAGGGCAAGUGAAUGUUUUGUUUUACUAUAUAAUUUUGAUAUUUUUCAUUUGAAAGUUGAGAGAAAUAACGUUGGAAGGUGUUACCAUCACAGCGACUAAGCAGUAGAUUAAGGUUGUUGUUUUCAAGGUUGUUGUGAUAAUUAUUGGAAAUGAAAUGAGGAGUUUGAAAAGAAGAACACCAAUACUUACAAACACAGUUGAAGCGAGUAAGGGAUUUAACUGGCAGCUUUGACAGAAUUUCCAUAACCAAAGCUUCUGGCAAUUCAAACCUUGGCCUCUGCAUCUUGCUAUUUUGAUUUUCUUUGUAAUUGGGUAAGAGGAAUGAAUAAAAUGGGAGUUGGUAGGUGUCAUCUAUGGUCCAAACCUUAACCAGGAAGCAAAGAAGCAUAAAAGGUAAGCAUUUGAUAGGUUAUAAUAAUUAUAUGGAAUUUAGGAAAAUUUACUUAUUUGCAUUUGUAUCCAUGUGAGGAAGGAUUAAGAUCAAAUAUAAUAUAAUACGUACUUUUUGAAUUUAAUCCCCAAUUUUUAAAAGAAUAAAUUUAAAGGAUAUCACAUUUAUUUACUUUUUGUAUAUUUGAAAUUUAAUACUUAAUUUUUAUUUUAAAGAAUUCAAUCUCUCUAUUUUUUAAAAGCCAAAAACAGUGAUGUAGUUUUUUUUUUCACACGGCAAUCAAAAAAAAAAAUUUAAAGGUAGUUUUUUUUUCUCGUUUCUGCUCUUUUUCUUUUUUUCGUCUGUUCUAUUUUACUUGCGUUUUUUUUUUUGAGUUUUUUCUUUUCUUCUUUCGACAUACAUAUAUCUACAUUUUUUUAAAAAAAAGAACAGUUUAUAUAUAUACAUACACAAAAAAAUAAAAAUAAAAAAACUCACCUUUGAACUUUCCGGACUCGGCUACGUCGGCCGGUGCGGCGGAGACAAGGCGGCCCUUUGGCCGGAAUCUGGAUUUCAUCCAGAGAAAAGAGACCCCCUUUUCCCUUUUUUUGGUUUCUUUACAGACUGCCGGGAAUGAUUUCUUUUCCUCAAAAGUUGUCUUUUAUAGCCCCCCCCCCAACACCCCAGCAAAACGAUGUCGUUUUGGUUGGCGUACUUGAGCAAGAAACGACGUCGUUUUGGCCUUAGGAUCCGCUUGUGACCCGACCCGCAAAGAGGAUCCGCGUGUCACCAUUUAGGGGGAUAUCUUCACAAUUGGUGCCUCCACUUUUGUCUCGCUUUCAAUGUAGUUUUUUCAUAUAUUUUUAAUUUUGGCUACAUAAUUUUUCGUCUGUUUUAAUUUGGUCCCCAGACCAUGCACACGCGCCUCACUAGAACGAUGCCGUUUGGUCAGUUAGGGAGUAUUUCCGUUUUUGCUCCUCUUCCUUUCACGCGUGUUGUGAUUUAGUCCUUUUUGUGCUUUUUAUUGUUAAUUUCGACCCUAAAACCUUGUUUAUUUUCAAUUUAAUCCUUAAUCUGCUAUUUUAGUUAUUUUUCCUGUUAAAUUAAUUAUUUUAACAUUAUUAAAACUAUUAUAUUGCAUAAUUAUUAUUUAUUAUUAAUAUUAUUAUCCUUAUCUCGUUUGUACCUUUUUAUUCUAAAAUUUUGUUAUAUAUAUAUAUACAUAUCCGCAUAUGCUUUUCUAAUAUAUAUAUGUAUAUUUUUAAGGUUAUUAUAAAUAUACUUUUAUAUUUCAUUUUUUAUACUUAUAUCUAUAUCCACGUAUUUUAAUUUAUAUACAUAUAGAUUUUAUAUAUACUUAUUAUAAUUUUUUUAUUGUCAUAAAUACAUACACAUGUACACAUACUUUUAUAUGUUCUUCUAUAUUCCAUAAUUCUUAUAUACAUCCAUAUACAUAUGUAUAUUUUAAUCUACAUACAUAUAUGUAUAUAUACACAUACGACAUAUAUUUCUAUUUUAUAAUUUUAAAAUAAAUAUAUAUAUAUCUAUAUAUUCUUCUUAUUUUUAUAUACACAUGCAUAUAUUUUAUAUUUCCUUUAUUGUUUCGUUGUUUCGCGUAAUGUCAACCUUUUUAUGCCUAUUUUAUUUUAAAAGCAUUUUAAUUCGACUCUUUUAUUUACUAUUUAUCUUACAUUAAUUAAUUUGUCUCUGUAUUUAUUUUGCUACGUACAAAAUCGUGCUACAUUUUACCCGAUUCAUUAAAAAUGAUGUUUUAAACAAGCAAUAUUCAUAUUUUGAAAUUCGAAAAGUCGUUCCCUAACUUACGGGGUUUCGACUUUCUAAAAAAAAUCCAAAUACCGAACAUUUUUAAGCAUAAAUUUUAAAUAAUCUCAAGAAUUACUAAAAGAUCGUGUUCUAACUUAGGGAAUAUGAUUUUUUUCUAAAACCGAUAUAGUCAAACAUCUUUUAAAAUAAAUUUUUCGGCGUUUAUUUGUGCAUCAAGAAUUUAAGACAUUGUGUCCUAAUUCACGGGACGCGAUUCAUUUUCUCGAUUAACGUAAAAUAUGUCCAUUUGUCAACUUUUUAAUAUUUUAACAAGGGAUCGUAUUUUAAAUCUCUUUAAAGUUUUCAAUUUUUGACGAGACACUAAUUAAUCAACUAAGUACCAAUUUUGGGCGCGGGGGUGCUAAUUAGAGGUGAUCAUGGGUUGGGCAGUCCGGCCCGGCCCGAUGGCCCACCCAAAAUAUGAGAGGGUUUGGGUAAAAAUAUAGGCCCGAAAUAUGGGUUUGGGCAAAAAAUGAGGCCCGUUGGCAAAACUUUUUUGGUCCAGGCCUGGCCCGAAUAUAUAAUAAAUAUAUAUUUUUAUUUUUAAAAUACAUUUUCCAUUUCCCCAUUUCCCCAUUUCCCAUUAGACAUUUAGUAUUUAUAUAAUAAAUAUAUAUUUUUUAUUUUUUAAUUUUAAAGUAUUUUUAAAAUACUUCUUUUAUUUUUUAUUUUUAAGAUACAAUUUUGUUGUUUAUUAAAAAAAGGGUCGGGCUCGGGCUUAGGAUUUUUUCUCGGGCCAGGCUUGGACAAAAUUUCAGGCCCAUAUUUUGGGCUAGGCCGGGCCCAGGCCUAGGACGCGGGCCAAAAAAAAAUUUAGGCCUGGCCCAGCCCAUGAUCACCUUUAGUGCUAAUCCUUCCUUGUACGUAACCGACGCCCGAACUCGUGCUUAUGUGGCACGGCACAUAGGCUACUUUGUUGACCUAUGGUUUGACCGACGAUCAACUCACAUUUUCUGUUAAAAUUGGGCUAAUUUAUUAAAAAAUUGUACCGUUAACGGUGUCAAUCCAAAAAAAAAAAGGUUAAUGGCUCAAACCCAAAAACUCAAAAAAUUGAGUGUUUUUUCGACAAUUAUGCGAAAUUCUUUGUUAAAUUUGUUGGUUUGAUAUUCUUUCAAAAGUACAUUAUAAUGCCUUUUUUUUUAACCCAAACCCAAACUUUUGAAAUCAAAUACUAUUUUGAGAGGGAAAAUAUUUGAUUUUUUUUUUUGUUCAAUUGCUUGAAUCUGGUUGGAUAGUUUCUAUUUUCGUUUUAUUAAAUUUCCUUUUUCUCUGUUUGAAGGCGACUUUAAAGAAAAGAGUAACAUGCGAAGGAAUUGCAUUGGACUUUGCAAAGAUCAUAAAACACACAUUAAAAAUAUGUAUUAUUAGUUCUGUUGGACUUAAAGAUUUUGGGUUGUAACACUAGUAGAAAUUAUAUAAAGAAAGAUAUUGAAUGUUAUGGGAUUGGGUUUGGGUUAUUUUAAAUCUAUAUUCAGAUUAAUGUUAUUUUAAAAUCGAAUAAUUUUGAGUUUAAAUCAUUCAAAGUUGUUGAUCGGAUUUUAUAAAGAUAAAAAAACAUAUUGAAAAUAUGUAAUAUUAAUUGGAUUAUUUUAAACUAUGACAUAAAUACUUGAGUCUCAAAAUAAACACUAGCUCAAUAAAACGCAUAUGAUAAUUUAGAGUACUGUAAUAAAAUACAUAUUGAUAAUUCAGAUAUUACAUUAAACAUUUUUAAACAUACAUGAGACAAUUGUGGUAAAGCUGGCUAUGGUAAUUUUAUGGUAUCGGAUCCAUUACUGCAUAGGCCGUAAAAUAAGUUGGAACAAUUUUGGGGAGUUCCAAAGGUAUGGGAUGGCCCCGGUCUUCCAUAACAAAUAAACAUCUCCCCGAGUAGUAGAACUCUAGUUCUUCUGUGUUUACUGCAUGAAAUUUGUGGAGAUGCUCCUAUAAGUCGGAAAACUAUGUCCGCAACUUGUCGGACCGUAUAGGUGGAUCUAGGUGUGAGUCCCAUAGCUAAAUCCCAAAAUUCAUUAAAACAAAUAAGAGACAAUAAAGUAUAUUAAACACAAAUCUGAAUGUGAAGAAAAAAUAAAAACAAUUUAUUCGAUAUACCCGGAUCUAAAUUUGUCCUAAGUUGUAUGGCCGAUUGGAAGUAUGCCAGAGGAUAUGGUGCAAAGUCGGAACAUGUGCCAUGUUUUGUCCAUUCGUUGUGCAAAAAGCUAAUGUCUAACUUUCCCAAUAUCAAGUUUGGCCAUAGUCGGGGCAAGUCUACCCAAAGAACUGGAUCACUUUUCAGCAAACUCUUUGAAAUUAAAAACAAAAAUCUGGUUAGAUGACAGAUAAUUUACUUAAUAGUUUUAGGCGAAGAAUGUACGUAUGCGUACUUCGAGUUUCUUCUUAUCUAGAUUAGGAUUCGGAUUGUUGCAAAGAUUACUUGGACCAUACUGGGUCACCGGCUUGUCAUUAGCAUCUUGUGCCCAAAUUCCAUGUAUUGUAAAUUCUGUUGGGAUAGGGGUUUUACAUCUCGAAGUAGAGCUGCAAACUGAUGGAGGCCAUUGAAGUGCCAGCUUGUAGAAGUGCGGAAUUGCUGGUUGCUGAGGUACUGCAAAUGCUACCCAUAAUGAAAAAUUGAUACAAUGCAUUUUUACAAAUUUACAAAUAAAAAGAGAACUACUCCAUAUAUAAAUAUUACAUGCAUGGAUGAUUGGGCUGAGAUUGGAUGAUUGUGCUUUGCGAGUAGCUGGUUUAUGAUCUCCUUUAUAAUCUUGGCGCACAUAUUUCACAAAAUUUUCAAAGUCCUGCAACCAUGAAAUAAAUAUUGAGGUUACUUAUCACAAAGUGUUACUUCACAAUCACACCAAGAGAGAAAUAAACAAACUCACUUGUCUGAGUGGCUGAUUAUUCACCACCACCCAUGGCACAUCUUCUUGAGGUGGCUUCAGAUGUGCAGUCUCGUUAGCAUAUUGCAGCAGAAGCUGCAUUUCAUUAAUUUGGAAAAUCAAUGUUAGAAAAAGCUAAGAAGUGUUAAUUAAAUACUAAGACAUGCAGCCAACCUUAUAUCCAAAUCCAGUAGUAUAGCAUUUGUUGAUUAUCUCCUCAUUCAAUCUCAGCUUUUCACUGCAAUUUUUCCACAGUGCUUCAACGGGCCCCCCCUUUAAGCUUUGUUGCUCUGUGCAGCGAAUGAAUUCCAAGUGCUCUUUCUGCACCACAGUAGAGUAAUUAAACACGAGUUGGAGAUGAGUACAAAUACUUAUGGCUCAUAGCAGUUACUGCAUCAGGCCAUAAAUGGAUGACACAACUAUGUAUAGUGUUUAAGUGACGUUCUUCUUCUCCAUGUUGCACAUUAUCGCAAAAACUAUAAUUAGUUAUAACACCAAAAAGAACUAGAACUUCAUUAGUUAAUAAUGAUAAUACAUUAAAAUGAAGAACGGAGUAGUAAACCUGGCAAUGGAUUUCAGCAUUGCCCCAAGGGACCAAUCUUAGAUUGGUAAUGGUAUGGAGGUCAGUGCGGAAGACCUUGACUAGGCUAUUGGAGAUAAGCGAGAAUAUUGCAAGAGCAGCCAGAAUAUAGAAGAUUAAUGGUUGAAGAUAAGCCAUUGUUUCAGUGGUAGCUUUUGCACAAUGCUAGACCUCCAUUGUGCAAGGCUUCUUAUAGUUGAGAAUUGGGAUGCUGAGUAUUGCUUUCUGUCACGUUCAGAAACCAUGAGACAAAUUUACAAAGUUAUCAUCUUUAAAAAAACAAUUAUACACCACUUUAAAAAAAAAUUAUUUACAUGAAAGCUUGUUUAUCUAUUUAUGUAUGAAUAUUGUCUAAACAUGAAAGGAGAAAUCUUAUUAGAUAAUAGAGUUUUAUAAUAACUUAUAAUUUAAAUUAAGUUAUUAACGUAUUUACUGAAUCAUUGGCCUUCUAAAAUGCUUUUAGAUAUCAAAUCCUCUUCGACUUGCAAUUUUUUUCUGCAGAAAACAAUAUCAACAUCUAAGCAAUCUUAUAGAUAUCUAAGCAACAAAAACCAAACAUAAACUGAACAAUUCUCCAAAUACAGAAACCAGGAAAUAGUUAACAUCUCAAACAUAUAACCCAAACAAUUAUAGCAAUAUUAAGAAGCUCACAACAAAAAAUUCCUAUUACAUCUUACACAUAUAUGUUCCAGCUCCACAUCCCUCUUCAUAUUCAGUAUCCAUUUCAUGCCUUCUUCAUAUUUAGUAUUCAUUUGAUGCAUCUCUCGCUGGUUGACGUAUUACAUGUUUCUCAAUAUUCUCUUGUAUUCCAUUGAUACGAACCAGGCUCUCUAAAUAAGCAUGAAGGGAGAUGGUGAACCGAAAAUGAUCUAGGUAAGUAUUAAUCUCAAGCUCCUUAAGCUCUUGGGUGGAGGCGUCAAAUAGGAGUACUUCAUCAUUUGUGUCUGUAAGAAACAAGUCACCAUUUUUUCCAAAUCCCAAUGGGUGUACAACUCCAGAAAUGGAUUGUUUAGUCCACACUCCUUCACUUGUAACCCAUAAAUCAAAAGACGUGUCAAUUCUUUCCGUUGGGUAAACAAUAGCACCAAGUGAUCCAUUAAACACCAACAGAUUAACAUAGUAUUCUGGGAAAGACCCAACGAAUUCUGGGAUAGGUAAAAUUGAGAACUUCUCAUUCCCCAUGUCAAAUGAAAGAAUUAGUCCUCUAAAAUCAAGAUAUGCCCGUCUCUGUUUUCAUAUAGCAAAUUCCGUCUACAUAAUUAUUUCCCAAAGUUGUUCCAGUUGGUUUAUAAUCAGGACAUGGAAUUUCCUUCCAGGAAUUACUUCUAAGAGAAUACAACUCAACUUGGUACAUAAAAUGAGAAUGUGGAUAUUGUUCUUCACUAUUAACAAAAGUAAGAGUAACAAAUCGUAUGACUUUGUAGUCAUCAGUUUUAGAAUCAAACCCAAAAGAAGCGUGGUUAAAUUCAACGUGAUCUAAAGUAAGGUAGGUUUCUUCGAAUGGGGAAAAAUAUGGAGGGCGUUGGAUUGAAGAUGGUGGAAGGAUUUUAAACUCUCUGGUUGAUGGGUUCCAAAUGGCAGCCUUAUCCUUUGAAGGAUCAAGUAAACACAACAAUCCAUGACAAGCACCAUAAACAGAGGGGCGAUCAUUCUUAAAAAAGGGCAAGUGAAUGUUUUGUUUUACUAUAUAAUUUUGAUAUUUUUCAUUUGAAAGUUGAGAGAAAUAACGUUGGAAGGUGUUACCAUCACAGCGACUAAGCAGUAGAUUAAGGUUGUUGUUUUCAAGGUUGUUGUGAUAAUUAUUGGAAAUGAAAUGAGGAGUUUGAAAAGAAGAACACCAAUACUUACAAACACAGUUGAAGCGAGUAAGGGAUUUAACUGGAAGCUUUGACAGAAUUCCCAUAACCAAAGCUUCUGGCAAUUCAAAUCUUGGCCUCUGCAUCUUGCUAUUUUGAUUUUCUUUGUAAUUGGGUAAGAGGAAUGAAUAAGCAAGCAAAAUGGGAGUUGGUAUGGUCCAAACCUUAACCAGGAAGCAAAGAAGCAUAAAAGGUAAGCAUUUGAUAGGUUAUAAAAAUUAUAUGGAAUUUAGGAAAAUUUACUUAUUUGCAUUUGUAUCCAUGUGAGGAAGGAUUAAGAUCAAAUAUAAUAUAAUACAUACUUUUUGAAUUUAAUCCCCAAUUUUUAAAAGAUUAAAUUUAAAGGAUAUCAC
Molecule: long non-coding RNA, 150845 nt
Filed under: Gossypium raimondii (Peruvian cotton)
Lineage: Eukaryota; Viridiplantae; Streptophyta; Magnoliopsida; Malvales; Malvaceae
Description: long non-coding RNA (GRAI_LNC009689)
Source: RNAcentral